Molecule: long non-coding RNA, 92531 nt
Filed under: Triticum aestivum (bread wheat)
Lineage: Eukaryota; Viridiplantae; Streptophyta; Magnoliopsida; Poales; Poaceae
Source: RNAcentral
UUUUUUUUUGUGAAGCCUUAAUCUCAUAGGCGUACGUGGUCCCCUUUUUUCCAAAGCUGGAUAUUCUUUCCUAAAUUCCUUAGUUACAUCUAGAUGAUUACGUUUCCUAGAUUCCACUAAAAAAUGAUGUUGCACAGACGUGACAACAUGUAGGUCCAAUAAGUUGAUAAAUAUAUAUUAACAUGUUACGUAAAAACUUCUAAAUCUCAGCCAUUAAUUUUCAAAUCAAACGGUGCAAAUAAUAUUAACAUAUGUGGAUAAACGUAAUAGCUUGUUUGCCUCUUGUCUUAAGUAUAUAAUAAUAGAUAGAAGAUUCUCUUCUAUUUCACCCACAAAUUCUUUUGUUUUCCUUCAUCAGAUCCUAUUUGGUUCCAUCGUGGCAUGUUCCUGUGCAUUCUACUGCUCACCGUGAUCCCUAUUCCGGUAUUCCCCAUAGGAUUGAGAGAGUGCCAAGAAGUAUACUAGUGUCCUGCUCGAGUACGACGCUGAACUAGAUGCCGAUGUGCUUCGUGCUCGUGGAGACGUCACCAGAAUGGACAUCGCAACAUACAACAAAAAUAUAAAAAUUUACCAUUAAAAUUAUACAAAACCAAAGAUGACCAAUAUAUAUGAAAACUACUCCAAUUUAGUCAGAUCUUUAGCCUGAAACCAAUUACCAAUUUUUUUAGACAACCUCGCGAUGCUUUUUAUUAAGUCCUCACAAUGUUUACAGGGACGAGAGAAAGAUCUCCGGGUUGGCCCAACCACACACGGCGGCCGAUCCCGAGCGACAAAGCAUGCUUCGCUAGGUUGUGAGCUUCAAAAUUAGAGCUCCUAAAUUCAUGGCUAAACUUGCAAAAACCAAAAACAGAAGAGUGGCUGCAGCGUUGAAGGGCGUGUCCCGCGACCUAUCAAGAUGGAGUAAGGAUGUGGUGGGUGAUACGGAGAAGAAACCUAAAGGAGGCCAAGUGUGAGCUGGAGAAUUGUAGAAAGCAAGCUAUCACACUGGAGAAGGUUGCUGAGGAGGUGAGCUUACGGUGUUUGGUUGAUCAUUUGGAGGAAGACAUUGAUAUAAAGUGGAGGCAACGAGCUCAUGUUUGGUGGCUGAAGGAGGGGGAUAGGAACACAAAGUUUUUCUUUUGAUAUGCCUCGGCGAGAAGGAAGGCCGAUAGAAUCCGAAGGCUUAGGAGGGAGGUUCGAGUGGUGGUGGAGGAAGGAAUGGAUCUCACUAACUAUGUCAUGUCUUAUUUUCAGGACCUGUUCACCUCGAAUGGUAAUGGCCAAUAUGAUGAGCUUCUCUGGCCUGUUCCGGUGAAGGUAACAAGUGCUAUGAAUGAGAGCCUCACAGCUGCAUUCUCUGAUAUGGAAAUCAAAGCUGCCCUUGAUUAGAUAGGGGACCUGAAAGCACCAGGGCCAGAUGGUAUGCCCGCGGUGGUCUUCCAGAAAUAUUGCCAUUUGAUGGGCAGGAACAUCAUUGAGGAGGUGAGACAUGUCCUUGAGGGGGGUGAGAUGCCGGCUGGAUGGAAUGAUACCCAUGUUGUUCUAAUACCCAAGGUCAAAAAACCAUCAAGGAUAAAGGACCUCCGACCCAAAAGUUUGUGUAAUGUUCUGUAUAAGAUCAUCUCUAAGGUAAUGGUGAAUAGACUCAAGCUCAUACUGCUGCAGAUCAUCUCUGAUAAUUAGAGUGCGUUUGUACCUGGACGACUAAUAACUGACAAUAUCCUCCUGGCCUAUGAGAUCUCACAUUUCUUGAUGAAAAAACAAACUGGGAAGGAAGAGUUUGCGGCGGUCAAGGUGGACAUGAGCAAAGACUAUGAUCGGGUCGAGUGGGCCUUCCUGGAAGCAAUGUUGUAUAAACUUGGGUUCGUGAGGAGCUGGGUGAAGCUUGCAAUGAAGUGUGUAACUCGAUGAGGUAUAGCGUCAAAGUUAAUGGCGAGCUAUUCCAACAAUUUGCGCCUUCAAGAGGGCUCCGGCAGGGUGAUCCGAGCUCGCCCUAUCUCUUUGCAAUUUGUGCAGAGAGUUUGUUGGCUUUGCUGAAUGAGGCCCAGCAGUGAGGUAGAUUUGGAGGUAUACAUAUCUGUCCGGGAGCUCUGUCUAUCUCGCACCUAUUUUUUGCUAAUGACUCGGUGCUUCUCAUGAGAGUGCGGACGGAGGAAGCCUUGGAACUUCAACGCAUCCUACAGAUCUAUGAGAGAUGUUCGGGACAAUGUGUAAAUCAUGAGAAAUCUGUGGUGAUGUUCAGUAAAAACUGCUCCGAACAUACCAAAGGAAAUGUGAAGGGGGCCUUUGGGCAUUGAUAGUGAGGCGUACAAUGAUAAAUAUUUGGGACUCCCAGUGUAAAUUGGGCGUUCCAAGCGCAAGGCUUUUGCUUACCUGAAGGACCAGAUUUGGAACUACAUCCAGGGCUGGAAUGAGAGGACACUAUCUAGGCAACGCAAGGAAAUUCUUGUUAAGGGUGUUGCGUAGGUGGUUCCAACAUUUGCAAUGUCAGUGUUCUACCUCACCAAAACCUUUUGCGGAGAGCUUAGUGCUAUGAUUUCUAGGUACUGGUGGAGCCAGCGGGACAAGGAUAACAGAUUCAUUGGGUUGGCUAGCCAAUGCUAACAAGGUCGAAGGGUUGGGGGGACUUGGUUUCAGGGACAUCCAUGACUUUAACAUUGCUAUGUUGGCCCGGCAAGUGUGGCUUCUGAUAGAGCAGCCACACAGUUUGUGUGCGCAGCUCGUGAAGGCCAAGUACUACCCGGAUUGCUCCAUUCUGGAUGCGGCGCAGAGUUCAAACAUGUCCUAUGCAUGGCGCAGCAUCACAUACGGAAUUGACCUAGUUAAAUAAGGUAUGAUCUGGCGUGUGGGGGAUGGGCAUAAUAUUAACAUUUGGGAUGACCCAUGGAUACCCAGAGCUUGGUUUAGGCGAGUCAUCACUCCUCGUGGGGGUAAUCUUUUGACCAAAGUUUCUAAGCUCAUCGACCCAACUACUGGCAAGUGGGAUAUGGAAUUGGUCAAGGAUACGUUCUGGGAUGAGGAUGCCAAGUUGAUUCUUCAGAUGCCAUUAAGGGACGGGACAGUAGAUCUCUUGGCAUGGCACUUUGACCCACAAGGUGUGUUCUCGGUUAAGCAGACGUAUAAAUUGAAACGGGCACUGUCCGAGACCAGGUGUGCACAGGAGAAUGGUAUAUCCCAUGAUGCGGCGAAUUUAGAUGGAGGUGGGGAGGCGAAAUUUAAGAGACUAUGGAAAAUGCCAUGUCCUGGGAAGGUUCGGCAUUUCAUGUGGCGGCUUGCGCACAACACACUAGCCACUAAGGAUAUCCUAUGUCGAAGGGGAAUGGUUAUUGAGGAUCAUAAGUGCUUCUUGUGCAAUGCGAGGAAUGAGUCGGCCAAACACAUGUUUGUUGAGUGCCAUGAGGUAAAGCAUGUAUGGCGGGGUCUCAAUCUUGAGUAUGUCAGGCAGCAGCUUGCGGAGUGCGAUAGUGUUGACACCAACCUGGGCUGUUUGUGGCAACUACCUGAGAAAGACCGGAUGGUUAUCAUCGUCAUGUGGUGGCAGUGGUGGGCUCGACGGAGUAAGGUCCGGGAGGGAGACAAGCCGAUGGAGCACGUGCAGUUCGCCGUUAGGGCUGCAUGUACUGCCGGCGAGUACCAUGGGUGUUUCCGCAAAACGCUUACCCCGCCGGCAAGCGCGCCUCGCUGGACCCCUCCACCACAUGACAUGCUAAAGUUCAACGUUGAUGGAUCUUUUGUUGAGCUUGGUAUGAAGGGGGGGCUGGGGAGUGGCACUAGUAGAAAACAGGGGCUUUGGUUCGGCCAGAAAAGAGCAUUAAUCUCGGUUGCAUUACGAACCGGGACUAAUGUGAGCAUUAGUCCCGGUUCGAGCGGCUAGGGCACCAUACAGGCAUUACUCCCGAUUCAAAUGGGACCUUUAGUCCCGGUUAGUGCCAUGAACCGGGACUAAAGGGUGCGAUGCCCAUCAGUACCGGUUCGUGGCACGAACCGGUUCUAAAGGUCUAACCUUUAGUACCGGUCCGUGCCACGAACUGGUACUAAUGGGGGUUAGUACCUUUAGUACCGGUUNNNNNNNNNNNNNNNNNNNNNNNNNNNNNNNNNNNNNNNNNNNNNNNNNNNNNNNNNNNNNNNNNNNNNNNNNNNNNNNNNNNNNNNNNNNNNNNNNNNNNNNNNNNNNNNNNNNNNNNNNNNNNNNNNNNNNNNNNNNNNNNNNNNNNNNNNNNNNNNNNNNNNNNNNNNNNNNNNNNNNNNNNNNNNNNNNNNNNNNNNNNNNNNNNNNNNNNNNNNNNNNNNNNNNNNNNNNNNNNNNNNNNNNNNNNNNNNNNNNNNNNNNNNNNNNNNNNNNNNNNNNNNNNNNNNNNNNNNNNNNNNNNNNNNUAUUGCCUUUUUAGUUUUGUAAAAAGCAAAAGAAAAUGAUAAAAACUUCAAUUUGGACAUGUUUUGCAAAAAGUGUAGGGAAAAUGUAAAACAGAUAUAACUUUUGCAUACGAUGUCAGCUUGGGGGAGUUGAUACGUCUUCAUCGUAUCUAUUUUUCCAAACACUUUUGCCCUUUUUUGGACUCUAACUUGCAUGAUUUGAAUGGAACUAACCCGGACUGACGUUGUUUUCGGCAGAAUUGCCAUGGUGUUAUAUUUGUGUAGAAAUAAAAGUUCUCGGAAUGACCUGAAAAUCAACGGAGAAUAUUUUUGGAAUAUACAAAAAAUACUGGCGAAAGAAUCAAGUCCAUGGGGCCCACACCCUGUCCACGAGGGUGGGGGCGCACCCCCCUGCCUCGUGGGCCCCCUGGUGCUCCACCGACCUCAACUCCAACUCUAUAUAUUCACGUUCAGGGAGAAAAAAAUCAAGGAGAAGGAUUCAUCACGUUUUCGAUACGGAGCCGCCGCCAAGCCCUAAUCUCUCUCGGGAGGGCUGACCCGGAGUCUAUUCGGGGCUCCGAAGAGGGGAAUCUAUCGCCAUUGUCAUCAUCAACCUUCCUCCAUCACCAAUUUCAUGAUGCUCACCGCCGUGCGUGAGUAAUUCCAUCGUAGGCUUGCUGGACGGUGAUGGGUUGGAUGAGAUUUAUCAUGUAAUCGAGUUAGUUUUGUUAGGGUUUGAUCCCUAGUAUCCACUAUGUUCUGAGAUUGAUGUUGCUAUGACUUUGCUAUGCUUAAUGCUUGUCACUAGGGCCCGAGUGCCAUGAUUUCAAAUCUGAACCAAUUAUGUUUUGAUGAAUAUAUGUGAGUUCUUGAUCCUAUCUUGCCAGUCUAUAGUCACCUAUUAUGUGUUAUGAUCUGUUAACCCCGAAGUGACAAUAAUCGGGAUACUUACCGGUGAUGACCUUAGUUUGAGGAGUUCAUGUAUUCACUAAGUGCUAAUGUUGUGGUCUCGUACUCUAUUAAAAGGAGGCAUUAAUAUCUCUUAGUUUCCAAUAGGACCCCGCUGCCACAAGAGGGUAGGACAAAAGAUGACAUGCAAGUUCUUUUCCAUAAGCACGAAUGACUAUAUUCGGAAUACAUGCCUACAUUACAUUGAUGAACUGGAGCUAGUUCUGUGUCACCCUAUGUUAUAACUAUUGCAUGAGGAAUCGCAUCCGACAUAAUUAUCCAUCACUCAUCCAUUGCCUACGAGCUUUUCAUAUAUUGAUCUUUGCUUAUUUACUUUUCCGUUGCUACUGUUACAGUCACUAUAAAACCAAAACUAUUACUUUUGCUACCGUUACCUCUACUAUCAUACUACUUUGCUACUAAAUACUUUGCUGCAGAUAUUAAGUUUCCAGGUGUGGUUGAAUUGACAACUCAGCUGCUAAUACUUGAGAAUAUUCUUUGUCUCCCCUUGUGUCGAAUCAAUAAAUUUGGGUUGAAUACUCUACCCUCGAAAACUGUUGUGAUCCCCUGUACUUGUGGGUUAUCAAGACUAUUUUCUGGCGCCGUUGCCAAGGAGCAUAGCUCUAUUCUUUGAGUUACUUGGGAUUUAUAUCUGCUGAUCACUAUGAAGAACAUGAAAGAUAAAAGAACCAAGAUUUUUCCCUCAACUACGAGGCAAGGUAAGGAACUGCCAUCUUGCUCUGCACUUGAUUCACCUUCUGUUUUGAGUAAACUUGCGACACCUACUCCUUCUAUUCAUUCUGAUAUGUCGCAUGUUAUUGAUGACGCCACUUCUGCUUUGCAUGAUACUUAUGAUGAAACUACUUCUAUGCUUGAUAAUACUGUGCCACUAGGUGAAUUUCUUGAUGAACAACUUGCUAGGGUUAGAGAGAAUGAAAUUAUUGAAACUAAUAAUAUUGAUGAAAGUGAUGAUGAAGAUUCUCCCCCUAGAUAUGAAUUGUCUGUUGUGCCCGAGGGUUAUGUUAUGGACGAAGAAACUGCUAGAGACUUUUUAGCGUGCAAUGAUAGAUAUGAUCUUAAGAAAUUAUUAGUUAAGCUUAAAGAAAGUCUUUGAAUGCUAGAAUGAAAUAUGACCCUACUUUUGCUACGUCACCUAUCUUUAUUUACGAUAAGGAUUAUGAUUUCUCUAUCGAUCCUGAGUUAAUUACUUUGGUUGAAUCUGAUCCUUUUUAUGGCUAUGAAUCUGAAACUGUUGUGGCACAUCUUACUAAAUUAAAUGAUAUAGCCACCCUGUUCACUAAUGAUAAGAAAACUCGCUAUUACUUUAUCCUUAAGUUGUUUCCAUUCUCAUUAAAGGGUGAUGCUAAAACAUGGUUUAAUUCUCUUGAUCCUGGUUGUGUGAGUAGUCACCAGGAUAUGAUUUAUUACUUCUCUGCUAAAUAUUUCCCCGCUAUUAAGAAACAAGCUGCCUUAAGGGAAAUAUAUAAUUUUGUGCAAAUUGAAGAAGAGAGUCUCCAACAAGCUUGGGGGAGGCUUCUCCAAUUACUUAAUGCUUUUCCUGAUCAUCCUCUCAAGAAAAAUGAAAUACUUGAUAUCUUUUAUAAUGGACUGACUGAUGCUUCCAGAGACCACCUGGAUAGUUGUGUUGGUUGUGUUUUCAGGGAAAGAAUUUUUGAUCAAGAUGAAUUGCUAUUGAAUAAUAUGUUGUGUAAUGAAAAUGAUUGGACACUUCGUGAACCAACUCCUAAGCCAACUCCGAAGAAAAGGGGUAUUCUAUUUCUCAGUCAUGAAGAUAUGCAAGAGGCAAAGAAAUCUAUGAAAGAAAAAGGUAUUAAAGCUGAAGAUGUUAAGAAUUUACCGCAUAUUGAAGAAAUACAUGGUCUUGAUAACCCGACACAGGUAGUAAAGGUAAAUUCUCUCUAUAGAUUUGAUAAAUUUGAAAUCCCAUCUACUAAGUUUGCUAGCCAAUGCUUGGAUGAGUUUGAUAAUUUUAUGGUUAAACAAGAAGACUUCAAUGCUUAUGUUGGUAGACAAUUGAAACAUAAUGCUGAUAUGAUUGAACACUUGAGUGAUUAUAUGUCUAGAGUUAAAGGUGAACUUAAACUCAUUAGUAAACAUGCUUCUAUGGUUACCGCUCAAGUAGAACAAGUGCUUAAAGCUCAGAAUGAUUUGCUCAAUGUAUUAAAUAAUAAGAACAAUGAUAAUGUUGUUAGAGUUAUGACUAGAGGGGGUAAAAUGACUCAGGAACCUUUGUAUCCUGAGGGCCACCCUAAGAGAAUUGAGCAAGAUUCUCAGAGAACUAAUGUUGAUGCACCUAGUCCUUCUAAAAGGAAGAAAAAGAAUAAUGAUAGGACUUUGCAUGCUUCUAGUGAACCUGUUGUUGACACACCUGAGAAUCCCAAUGAUAUCUCUAUUUCUGAUGUUGAAACACAAUCUAGUAAUGAACAUGAACCUAGUGAUAAUGUUAAUGAUGAUGUUCAUGUUGAUGCUCAACCUAGCAAUAACAAUGAUGUGGAGAUUGAACCUGCUGUUGAUCUUGAUAACCCACAAUCAAAGAAUCAACGUUAUGAUAAGAGAGACUUCAUUGCUAGGAAGCACAGUAAAGAAAGAGAACCAUGGGUUCAGAAACCCAUGCCUUUUCCUCCUAAACCAUCCAAGAAAAAGGAUGAUGAGGAUUUUGAGCGCUUUGCUAAAAUGAUUAGACCUAUAUUUUUGCAUAUGCGUUUGAAUGAUAUGCUUAAAAUGAACCCUUAUGCUAAGUAUAUGAAAGGUAUUGUUACUAAUAAAAUAAAUAUACCGGAAGCUGAAAUUUCCACCAUGCUUGCUAAUUAUACUUUUAAGGGUGGAAUACCAAAGAAACUUGGAGAUCCAGGAGUACCAACUAUACCAUGCUCCAUUAAAAGAAACUAUGUUAAAACUGCUUUAUGUGAUAUUGGAGCCGGUAUUAGUGCUAUGCCUCUCUCUUUAUAUCGUAGACUUGAUUUGAAUAAGUUGACACCUACUGAAAUAUCUUUGCAAAUGGCUGAUAAAUCAACUGCUAUACAUAUUGGUAUUUGUGAGGAUGUGUCUGUUGUGGUUGCAAACAUUACUAUUUUAACAGACUUUGUUAUUCUUGAUAUUCCCGAGGAUGAUAGUAUGUCCAUUAUUCUUGGAAGACCCUUUUUGAAUACUGCAGGGGCUGUUAUUGGUUGCAACAAAGGCAGUGUCACUUUUCAUGUUAAUGGUAAAUAGCAUACGGUACACUUUCCGAGGAAACAACCUCAAGUCCACAGUAUCAACUCUAUUGGAAAAUUUUCAACGAUUACUUUUGGAGGUUUUGAAUUUCCGCUUCCUACUGUCAAGAAGAAAUAUGAUAUUCUUAUUGUUGGGGACGUGCAUAUCCCUGUUGAGGUAACCUAGUGUUAUUUGAAAAAUCUCUCCAGUUUCAUGCGAUUAGGAAUGAGUUUGUUAACAAGACUUGAUCAACCUUGUUAGUGGAUUCCUUUUGAUGAGCAUGAGCUGGAUGAAGUUAGAAAGCACAACUCUCUGUACCCUCCUUUUACUUUCUAUUAUUUAGUUUAAAUAAAGUAAAAUAUUUUUUGUCUGUUUUCUGAAUUAUCCUUGCAAUAAAAAAUACCCCAAACAUAAAAGUUCUCCAAAUGCCCUGAAAGUUUAAUAUGAUUAUUUCUGGAAUAUUUAAGAAUUAUUGGCACUGAGAACACACUAGGGGGACCCACCAUGUGCCCACGAGGGAGGAGGGCGCGCCCUACCCCCCUGGGCGUGCCCCCUGCCUCAUGCACCCCACGUGGGUCCCCUCCACUUAUUCUUGCACCCACACACUUCGUCUUCCUCCAAAAAAAAUCAUCCACCAGCUCAAACCCGAGUUCUAGCUCAUCUUGCUGCCAUUUUCAAUCUCCUUGCUCAAAGCUCCAUUCACCAAACUGCUUUGGGGGAUUGUUCUUCGGUAUGUGUCUCCUCCAAUGGUCCAAUUAGUUUUUGUUCUAGUGCUUUAUUUAUUGCAAUUUUUUGUUGCUUAGGUGACCCUGUUCUUGAGCUUGCAUGUCAAAUUUAUGUGGUCAAAAGUAGUUCUAAUGCAUGAUAUGGCCUCUAGGCACUUGUAGGAGUAGUUGAUAUCAAUCUUGUUGAGUUUGGUUCACUUUUUAUUUUUGAGUUACUAAAAAUUUCAGAAAUUUUCAGAAUAAGACGAAGAGAUUUUUGAGGGGCUCUUUGAGCCGAAGCUCGAAGGAUAAGCAAAGUGAAGAAAAAAAGAAACCCAAAUAUAAUCUCCCUCGCACUGCGGAGGCCUCACCGACUUCCUCCACGACUAGCGUGAAAAACAUGUACCUUGUUCUGCCGGAGGCCAUUCAUGCCUACCGGAGCCUGACAUCAGCUCCAGAGCCCGAGCCGGAGCCACCACUUGAUCCUCACCGUCAGUCUGUUUAUCAGCGGGAUCCGGAGGAGAUCGCCAACCAGUGGCACCCUGAGGAUCCUCCUCAGUAUACCGAAGAGGGCAGCUUUGAUCUGUGGCCAUAGACCAACUUAGGCCAAAAUCCUAAGCUUGGGGGAGUACGUAUCUCUCACCGACAUUACAUUCAUGUUCACACACUCAUGCCAGUUGUCGGUGCUCAUACUUUUUCAUUGCAUUAUCCAUGCUAGUUUAUUUUGUUUUUAAGCUUUCUUCUUGUGUGUUUGAAAAACCUUAAUAAAACCCAAAAAAAAUUAGUUGUAGCUUCUAGCUAGUUUACUUUCCAAGCUUGUAGUAGUAAUAAUUAAAAAGAAAACCCAAAAAGAUUUUUCGUUCUUCGUUUGCUUGUUGGGAGCUUUCCCGUGUAAAUAAUUUUAUUUCUUUCCUUUGGGGGUCGAGAGGAGAAGAUAAUAAUGAAAAUGUUGAGUGGCUCUCAUAUGCAUUAUUGUUGAUCUAACAAAGAGCCCAUAUUACCUUGUCUUCUCCCUUGAAUUGAAUGCUUGCAGAUUCCAGCUUAGUCCAAUGCACGUGCACUAUUAUUUUUUUAUCCAUGCUGUUUGGUUGUGCAAGUGAAAGGGAAUAAUGACGAUAUAUGAUGGACUGAUUGAGAUGAGAAAAGCUGGUAUGAACUCGACCUCUCUUGUUUUUGUAAAUAUGAUUAGUUCACCAUUCCUGAUUCAGCCUAUUAUGAAUGAAACAUGUUUGUAGUGACCAUUAGAGAUUAUAGUUGCUCAUUCCAUGCUUAAUUUGCUAGGAGUUUAUAAUGGUUUACCUUGCGUGCCAACAUGCUAUUAAAAUGCUUGUGAUGUGGUAUGAUAGGGUGGUAUCCUCCUUUGAACGAUUCGAGUGGCUUGACUUGGCACAUGUUCAUGCAUGUAGUUGAAACAAAAUCAACAUAGCCUCCACGAUAUUUAUGUUCAUGGUGAAUUAUAUCCUACUCAUGCUUGCAUUCAGUGUUGAUUAAUUUUAAUGCAUGUUCAUGACUGUUGUUGCUCUCUAGCUAGUCGCUUCCCAGUCUCUUUCUAGCGUUCACUUGUACUAAGCGGGAAUACUGCUUGUGCAACCACUUCCAUAAACCCCAAAAGUUAUUCCAUAUGAGUCCACCAUACCUUCCUAUAUGCGGUAUCUACCUGACGUUCCAAGUACAUUUGUAUGUGCCAAACUCUAAACCUUCAAAUGAAAUUCUGUUUUGUAUGAUCGAAUAGCUCAUGUAUCAACUAGGGUUGUCUGUAUCUUCCAUGCUAGGCGGGUUAUUCUCAAGAGGAGUGGACUCCGCUCCUCACUCAUGAGAAAAUGGCUGGUCGCCAGGAUGCCCAGUCCCAUGCUCAAACCAAAUCAAAAUAAUUGCAAACAAAACUCCCCCAGGAUUGUUGUUAGUUGGAGGCAUCCGUUGUUUCAGGCAAGCCAUGGAUUGAUACUUGUUGGUGGUGGGGGAGUAUAAACUUUACCAUUCUGGUUGGGAACCGCCUAUAAUGUGUGUAGCAUGGAAGAUAUCGAGAUCUCUCGGUUGUUAUGUUGACAAUGAAAGUAUACCGCUCAAAAUAUUAUUCUUCUCUAUUUCAAAACCGAGCUCUAGCACCUCUACAAAUCCCUGCUUCCCUCUGCGAAGGGCCUAUCUAUUUACUUAUAUGUUGAGUCAUCAUCCUCUUAUUAAAAAGCACCAGUUGGAGAGCACCGCUGUCAUUUGCCUGCAUUACUAUUAGUUUACAUUGAGUACGAAUGUGACUGGAUCUCUUUUACCAUGAAUUACAAUUUCCAAUCAGUCCUUUAGAGGUGCUAUGCAUUUAUGUUUUGCGGUCUCAGAAAGGGCUAGUGAGAUACCAUCUUGUUAUAUCAUAUUAUGAUUGUUUUGAGAAAGUGUUGUCAUCCGAGAUUUACUAUUAUUGAUCGCUAGUUGAUUAUGCCAUUGAUAUGAGUAAACAUGAGACCUAAAUGUUAUUGUGAAUAUGGUUAGUUCAUAAUCUUUGCUGAAAACUUGAAUGAUGGCUUUACAUAUUUACAACAACAAGGGCAAACAAAAUUUGUAAAAGUUUUUCUUUAUCACUUUCAGUUUAUCAACUGAACUGCUUGAGGACAAGAAAAGGUUUAAGCUUGGGGGAGUUGAUACGUCUCUAUCGUAUCUACUUUUCCAAACACUUUUGCCCUUGUUUUGGACUCUAACUUGCAUGAUUUGAAUGGGACUAACCCGGACUGACGUUGUUUUCAGCAGAAUUGCCAUGGUGUUAUUUUUGUGCAGAAAUAAAAGUUCUCGGAAUGACCUGAAAAUCAACGGAGAAUAUUUUUGGAAUAUAUAAAAAAUAUUGGCGAAAGAAUCAAGGCCAGGGGCCACACCCUGUCCACGAGAGUGGGGGGUGCCCCCCUGCCUCGUGGGCCCACUGGUGCUCCACCGACCUCAACUCCAACUCUUUAUAUUCACGUUCGGGGAGAAAAAAAUCAAGGAGAAGGAUUCAUCGCAUUUUAUGAUACGGAGCCGCCGCCAAGUCCUAAUCACUCUCGGGAGGGCUGAUCUGGAGUCCGCUCGGGGCUCCGAAGAGGGGAAUCUAUCGCCAUUGUCAUCAUCAACCUUCCUCCAUCACCAAUUUCAUGAUGCUCACCGCCGUGCGUGAGUAAUUCCAUCGUAGGCUUGCUGGACGGUGAUGGGUUGGAUGAGAUUUAUCAUGUAAUCGAGUUAGUUUUGUUAGGGUUUGAUCCCUAGUAUCCACUAUGUUCUGACAUUGAUGUUGCUACGACUUUGCUAUGCUUAAUGCUUGUCUGUAGGGCCCGAGUGCCAUGAUUUCAAAUCUGAACCUAUUAUGUUUUCAUGAAUAUAUGUGAGUUCUUGAUCCUAUCUUGCCAGUCUAUAGUCACCUAUUAUGUGUUAUGAUCUGUUAACCCCGAAGUGACAAUAAUCGGGAAACUUACCGGUGAUGACCGUAGUAUGAGUAGUUCAUGUAUUCACUAAGUGAUAAUGUUGUGGUCCGGUACUCUAUUAAAAGGAGGCCUUAAUAUCCCUUAGUUUCCAAUAAGACCCCACUGCCACAUGAGGGUAGGACAAAAGAUGCCAUGCGAGUUCUUUUCCAUAAGCAUGUAUGACUAUAUUCGGAAUACAUGCCUACAUUACAUUGAUGAACUAGAGCUAGUUCUAUGUCACCCUAUGUUAUAACUAUUGCAUGAGGAAUCGCAUCCGGCAUAAUUGUCCAUCACUGAUCCAUUGCCUACGAGCUUUUCAUAUAUUGAUCUUUGCUUAUUUACUUUUCCGUUGCUACUGUUACAAUCACUAUAAAACCAAAACUAUUACUUUUGCUACCCUUAUCGCUACUAUCAUACUACUUCGUACUAAAUACUUUGCUGCAGAUAUUAAGUAUCCAAGUGUGGUUGAUUUGACAACUCAGUUGCUAAUACUUAAUAAUAUUCUUUGGCUCCCCUUGUGUCGAAUCAAUAAAUUUGGGUUGAAUACUCUACCCUCGAAAAUUGUUGUGAUCCCCUAUACUUGUGGGUUAUCAUGGCCCGCGACCUAUCAAGAUGGAGUAAGGAUGUGCUGAGUGAUACGGAGAAGAAACCAAAGGAGGCCAAGCAUGAGUAGCAGAAUUGUAGAAAGCAAGCUAUCACACCGGAGAAGGUUGCUGAGGAGGUGAGAUUACGGUGUUUGGUUGAUCAUUUGGAGGAAGUCAUUGACAUAAAGUAGAGGCAAUGAGCUUCUGUCUGGUGGCUGAAGGAGGGGGAUAGGAACACAAAGUUUUUAUUUAGAUAUGCCUCGGUGAGAAGGAAGGCCAAUAGAAUCUGAAGGCUUAGGAGGGAGGAUGGAGUGGUGGUGGAGGAAGGAAGGGAUCUCACUAACUAUGUCAUAUCUUAUUUUCAGGACAUGUUCACCUCGAAUGGUAAUGGCCAAUAUGAUGAGCUUCUCCGGGUUGUUCCGAUGAAGGUAACGAGUGCUAUGAAUGAGAGCCUCACAGCUGCAUUCUCUGAUAUGGAAAUCAAAGCUGCCCUUGAUCAGAUAGGGGACCUGAAAGCACUGGGGCCGGAUGGUAUGCCCGUAGUGGUCUUCAAGAAAUAUUGCCAUUUGAUGGGCAGGAACAUCAUUGAGGAGGUGAGAAAUGUCCUCGAGGGGGUGAGAUACCGGCUGGAUGGAAUGAUACCCAUGUUGUGCUAAUACCCAUGGUCAAAAACCCCUCAAGGAUAAAGGACCUCUGACCCAUCGGUUUCUGUAAUGUCCUGUAUAAGAUCAUCUCUAAGGUAAUGGCGAAUCGACUCAAGAUCAUACUGCCGCAGAUCAUCUCUGAGAAUCAGAGUGCGUUUGUACCUGGACGACUGAUAACUGACAAUAUCCUCAUGGCCUGUGAGAUCUCACAUUUCUUGAUGAACAAACAAACUGCUAAGGAAGAGUUUGCGGCGGUCAAGGUGGACAUGAGCAAAGCCUAUGACUGGGUCGAGUGGGCCUUCCUGGAAGCAAUGAUGUAUAAACUUGGGUUCGCAAGAAGCUGGGCGAAGCUUGUAAUGAAGUGUGUAACCUCGGUGAGGUACAGCAUCAAAGUUAAUGGCGAGCUAUCCCAACAAUUUGCGCCUUCAAGAGGGCUCCGGCAGGGCGAUUCGAGCUCGCCCUAUCUCUUUGCAAUUUGUGUAGAGGGUUUGUCGGCUUUGCUGAAUGAGACCCAGCAGUGAGGUAGAUUUGGAUGUAUAUAGAUUUGUCUGGGAGCUCCAUCUAUCUCGCACCUGUUUUUUUGAUGACUCGAUGCUUCUCAUGAGAGCGCGGACGGAGGGAACCUUGGAACUUCAACGCAUCCUACAGGUCUAUGAGAGAUGUUCGGGACAAUGCGUAAAUGAUGAGAAAUCUGCGGUGAUCUUCAGUAAAAACUGCUCCGAACAGACCAAAGGAAAUGUGAAGGGGGCCUUGGGCAUUGAUAGUGAGGCGUGCAAUGAUAAAUAUUCGGGACUCGUAGUGUACAUUGGGCGUUCCAAGCGCAAGGCUUUUGCUUACCUAUAAAGGACCGGAUGUGGAACUACAUGCAGGGCCGGAAUGAGAGGACACUAUCUAGGCAAGGCAAGGAAAUUCUUGUUAAGGGUGUUGCGCAGGUGGUUCCAGCAUUUGCAAUGUUAGUGUUCUACCUCACCAAAACCUUUUGCAAAGAGAUUAGUGCUAUGAUUUCUAGGUACUGGUGGAGCCAGCAGGACAAAGAUAACAAGAUUCAUUGGGUUGGCUGGCCAAAGCUAACAUGGUCAAAAGGAAGGGGGGACUUGGUUUCAGAGACAUCCAUGACUUUAACAUCGCUAUGUUGGCCCGGCAAGUGUGGCUUCUAAUAGAGCAGCCAGACAGUUUGCGUGUGCAGCUCGUGAAGGCUAAGUACUACCCGGAUUGCUCCAUUCUGGAUGCGGGGCAGAGUUCAAACAUGUCCUAUGGAUGGCGCAGCAUCACAUAUGGCAUUGACCUAGUUAAAAAAGGUAUGAUCUGGUGUGUGGGGGAUGGGCAUAACAUUCACAUUUGGGAUGACCCAUGGAUACCCAGAGCUUGCUCUAGGCGAGUCAUCACUCCUCGUGGGGGUAAUCUUUUGACCAAAGUUUCUGAGCUCAUCGACCCAAGUACUGGCAAGUGGGAUAUGGAAUUGGUCAAUGAUAUGUUCUGGGUUGAGGAUGCCAAGUUGAUUCUUCAGAUGCCAUCAAGGGACAAGGCAGUAGAUUUCUUGGCAUGGCACUUUGACCCAAAAGGUGUGUUCUCGGUUAAGCAGGCAUAUAACUUGAAACGGGCAUUGUCCAAGACCAGGGGUGCACGGGCGGAUGCUAUAUCCCAUGAUGCGGGGAAUUUAGAUGGAGGUGGGGAGGCGAAAUGGAAGAGCUAUGGGAAAUGCCAUGUCCUGGGAAGGUUCGGCAUUUCAUGUGGCGGCUUACGCACAACACACUGGCCACUAAGGAUAUCCUAUGUCGAAGGGGAAUGGUUAUUGAGGAUCAUAAGUGUUGCUUGUGCAAUGCGAGGAACGAUUCGGCCAAACACCUGUUUGUUGAUUUCCAUGAGGUAAAGCAUGUAUGGCGGGGUGACAAUCUUGAGUAUGUCGGGCAACAGCUUGCGGAGUGCGAUAGUGUUGAAGACACCACCCUUGACUUUUUGUGGCAGGUACCUGAGAAAGACCGGAUGGUUAUCAUCGUCAUGUGGUGGCAGUGGUGGGCUCAACCGAAUAAGAUCUGGGGGGAGACAAGCCGAUGCAGCAUGUGCAGUUCGUCGUUAGGGCUGCAUGUACUGCCGGCGAGUACCAGGGGUGUUUCUGCAAAACGCCUACCCCACCGGCAAGCGCGCCUCGCUGGACCCCUCCACCACAUGUUGAUGGAGCUUUUGUUGAGGAUGGCAUGAGGGGGGCCUGGGGAGUGGUGGUACAGGAUAAUACAGGUGAGGUGGUGGUAGCAAGGGCUGGGCGACUUGAUCAUGCUGCGGAUGCAUUCAGCACUGAGCUGAGAGCAGUGGAGCAAGCGCUAGAUCUUGCAGCUGAACUGGGGGUCGUGCGGCUGACUAUUGAAAUGGAUGCCCUACUGCUUGAACAGGUCCUAAAUAGACAUGCUCCAGAUUGUUCUUGACAAGCAUAGGAGAUUAAAGACAUCAAGGUGUAGUCCCAGUUAUGGUUCUCUUCAUGUGUGUUUGCCCAUUGUAAGCGCGAGGCCAACAUGCCAGCGCACAAUAUGGCCAAGUUAGGCCUGGCUCUCCAAGUGGGAGAUGUUCUAGUUGCUGAUGAUGUAAUUCCAGCCAUUGUUGAUGAGUUUGUAAUGGGCGAUCUUGCCCAGUACAUUUCGUAAUAAAGAUAUUUUCUUGCCCUCAAAAAAUAAUUCACAUCUCAAUUUGCAAUGGUUAGUACAAUUCUCUUCUAUUUCACCCACAGAUUCUUUUGUUUUUCUUCAUCAGAUCCUAUUUGGUUCCAUCAUGGCAUGUUCUUGUGCAUUCUAGUGCUCACCUCGAUCCCUAUUCUGGUAUUCCCCACAGGAUUGAGAGAGUGCCAAUAAGUAUACUAGUGUCCUUCUCGAGUACGACACUAAACUAGAUGCCAAUGUGCUUCGUGCUCGUGGAGAUAUCACCAGGCUGGACAUCGCAAGAUACAACAAAAAUAUAAAAAUUUACCAUUAAAAUAAUACAAAACCAAAGAUGACCAAUAUAUAUGAAAACUACUCCAAUUUAGUCAGAUCUUCAGCCCGAAACCAAUUACCAAUUUAUUUUAGACAACCUCGUGAAGCUUUUUAUUAAGUCGUCAAAAUGUUUACAGGGACGAAAGGAAGAUCUCCGGGUUGGCCCAACCACACACGGCGGCCGAUCCCGAGCGAAAAAGCAUGCUUCUCUAGGUUGUGAGCUUCAAAAUUAGAGCUCCUAAAUUCAUUGCUAAACUUGCAAAAAUCAAAAACACAAGAGUGGUUGCGGUGUUGAAGGGCGUGGCUCGCGACCUAUCAAGAUGGAGUAAGGAUGUGGUGGGUGAUACGAAGAAGAAACUAAAGGAGGCCAAGCGUGAGUUGGAGAAUUGUAGAAAGCAAGCUAUCACACCGAUGAAGGUUGCUGAGGAGGUGACAUUACGGUGUUUGGCUGAUCAUUUGGAGGAAGUCAUUGAUAUAAGUGGAGGCAACGAGCUCACAUUUUGUGGCUGAAGGAGGGGGGUAGGAACACAAAGUUUUUCUUUAGAUAUGCCUCGGCAAGAAGGAAGGCCAAUAGAAUCCGAAGGCUUGAGAGGGAGGAUGGAGUGGUGGUGGAGGAACGAAGGGAUCUCACUAACUAUGUCAUAUCUUAUUUUCAUGACAUGUUCACCUCGAAUGGUAAUGGACAAUAUGAUGAGCUUCUCCGGGCUGUUCCGGUGAAGGUAACGAGUGCUAUGAAUGAGAGCCUCGCAGCUGCAUUCUCUGAUAUAGAAAUCAAAGCUGCCCUUGAUCAGAUAGGGGACCUGAAAGCACUGGGGCCGGAUGGUAUGCCCGCGGUGGUCUUCAAGAAAUAUUGCCAUUUGAUGGGCAGGAACAUCACUGAGGAGGUUAGAAAUGUCCUCGAGGGGGGUGAGAUGUCGGCUGUAUGGAAUGAUACCCAUGUUAUGCUAAUACCCAAGGUCAAAAACCCCUCAAGGAUAAAGGACCUCCGACCCAUCAGUUUGUGUAAUGUUCUGUAUAAGAUCAUCUCUAAGGUAAUGGCGAAUCGACUCAAGCUCAUACUGCCAAAGGAAAUGUGAAGGGGGCCUUGGGCAUUGAUAGUGAUUUGUACAAUGAUAAAUAUUUGGGACUCCCAAUGUAGAUUGGGCGUUCCAAGUGCAAGACUUUUGCUUACCUAAAGGACCGGAUUUGGAACUACAUGCAGGGCUGGAAUGAGAGGAAACUAUCUAGGCAAGGCAAGGAAAUUCUUGUUAAGGUUGUUGCGCAGGCGGUUCCAACAUUUGCAAUGUAAGUGUUCUACCUCACCAAAACCUUCUGCGAAGAGCUUAGUGCUAUGAUUGCUUCGUACUAGUGGAGCCAGCGGGACAAGGAUAACAAGAUUCAUUGGGUUGGCUGGCAAAAGCUAACAAGGUCAAAGGGAAGGGGGGACUUGGUUUCAGAGACAUCCAUGACUUUAACAUUGCUAUGUUGGCCCUGCAAGUGGGGCUUCUGAUAGAGCAGCCAGACAGUUUGUUUGCGCAGCUCGUGAAGGCCAAGUACUACCCGGAUUGCUCCAUUCUGGAUGCAGGGCAGAGUCCAAACAUGUCCUAUGCAUGGCGCAGCAUCACAUACGGCAUUGACCUAGUUAAACAAGGUAUGAUCUGGCGUGUGGGGGAUGGGCAUAACAUUCACAUGUGGGAUGACCCAUGGAUACCAAGAGCUUGGUCUAGGCGAGUCAUCACUCCUCGUGGGGGUAAUCUUUUGACCAAAGUUUCUAAGCUCAUCGACCCAACUACUGGCAAGUGGGAUAUGGAAUUGGUCAAUGAUACGCUCUGGGAUGAGGAUGCCAAGUUGAUUCUUCAGAUUCCAUUAAGGGACGGGGCAAUAGAUUUCUUGGCAUGGCACUUUGACCCAAAAGGUGUGUUCUCAUUUAAGCAGGCGUAUAAAUUGAAAUGGGCACUGUCCGAGACCAGGGGUGCACAGGCGAAUGGUAUAUCCCAUGAUGCGGGGAAUUUAGAUGGAGAUGGGGAGGCGAAAUGGAAGAGACUAUGGAAUGCCAUGUCCUGGGAAGGUUUAGCAUUUCAUGUGGCGGCUUGCGCACAACACACUGGCUACUAUGGAUAUCCUAUGUCGAAGGGGAAUGGUUAUUGAGGAUCAUAAGUGCUUCUUGUGCAAUGCGAGGAACGAGUCGGCCAAACACCUGUUUGUUGAGUGCCUUGAGGUAAAGCAUGCAUGGCGGGGUCUCAAUCUUGAGUAUGUCAGGCAGCAGCUUGCGGAGUGUGAUACUGUUGAUACCACCCUGGACUGUUUGUGGCAGCUACCUGAGAAAGACCGGAUGGUUAUCAUCGUCAUGUGGUGGCACUGGUGGGCUCAACGGAAUAAGGUCCGGGAGGGAGACAAGCCGAUGGAGCAUGUGCAGUUCGCUGUUAGGGCUGCAUGUACUGCCGAUGAGUACCAAGGUUGUUUCUGCAAAACACCUACCCUGCCGGCAAGCGCGCCUCACUGGACCCCUCCACCACAGGACAUGCUAAAGUUCAAUGUUUAUGGAGCUUUUGUUGAGGAUGCCAUGCAGGGGGGCUGGGGAGUGGUGGUACGGCAUAAUACAAGUGUGUUGGUGGCAGCACGGGCUGGGCGACUUGAUCAUGUUGCGGAUCCAUUCACCACUGAGCUGAGAGCAGUGGAGCAAGCGCUAGAUCUUCCGGCCGAACUGGGGGUCGUGCGGCUGACUAUUGAAAUGUACGCCCUGUAGCUUGAACAGGCCCUAAACAGACAUGCUCCAGAUUGUUCGCGACAAGCACGGGCGAUUGAAGACAUCAAGGUGUAGUCCCGGUUAUGGUUCUCUUCAUGUGUUUUUGCCCAUUGUAAGCGCGAGGCCAACAUGCCAGUGCACCAUAUGGCCAAGUUAGGCCUGGCUCUCCAAGUGGGAGUUGUUCUAGUUGCUGAUGAUGUAAUUCCAGCCAUUGUUGCUGAGUUUGUAAUGUGCGAUCUUGCCCAGUACGUUUCGUAAUAAAGCUAUUUUCUUGCCCUCAAAAAACAAUUCACAUCUCAAUUUGCAAUGGUUAGUACAAUUCUCUUCUAUUUCACCCACAGAUUCUUUUGUUUUCCUUCAUCAGAUCCUAUUUGGUUCCAUCAUGGCAUGUUCCUGUGCAUUCUAGUGCUCAGCGUGAUCCCUAUUCCGGUAUUUCCCAUAGGAUUGAGAGAGUGCCAAGAAGUAUACUAGUGUUCUGCUCGACUAUGACACUGAACUAGAUGCCGAUGUGCUUCGUGCUCGUGGAGACAUCACCGGGCUGGACAUCACAACAUACAACAAAAAUAUAAAAAUUUACCAUUAAAAUAAUACAAAACCAAAGAUGACCAAUAUAUAUGAAAACUACUCCAAUUUAGUUAGAUCUCCUGAAACCAAUUACCAAUUUUUUUAGACAACCUCGCGAAGCUUUUUAUUAAUUCGUCACAAUGUUUACAAGGACGAACAGAAGAUCUCUGGGUUGGCCCAACCACACACGGCGGCCGAUCCCGAGCGGCAAAGCGUGCUUCGCUAGGUUGUGAGCUUCAAAAUUAGAGCUCCUAAAUUCAUGGCUAAACUUGCAAAAAUCAAAAACUAAAGAGUGACUGGGGCAUUGAAGGGUGUGGCCCGCGACCUAUCAAGAUGGAGUAAGGAUGUUGUCAGUGUCAAAACCGGCGGAUCUCGGGUAGGGGGUCCCGAACUGUGCGUCUAGGCCGGAUGGUAACAGGAGGCAGGGAACACAGUGUUUUACCCAGGUUUGGACCCUCUUGAUGGAGGUAAAACCCUAUGUCCUGCUUGAUUAAUAUUGAUGAUAUGGGUAGUACAAGAGUAGAUCUACCACGAGAUCAGAGAGGCUAAACCCUAGAAGCUAGCCUAUGGUUUGAUUGUAUGUUGUAGUUGUUGUCCUACGGACUAAAACCCUCCGAUUUAUAUAGACACCGGAGAGGGCUAGGGUUACACAAGGUCGGUUACAAAGGAGGAGAUAUCCAUAUCCGUAUUGCCUAGCUUGCCUUCCACGCCAAGUAGAGUCCCAUCCGGACACGGGACGAAGUCUUCAAUCUUGUAUCUUCAUAGUCCAACAGUCCAGCCAAAGGUUAUAGUCCGGCUAUCCGGACACCCCCUAAUCCAGGACUCCCUCAGUAGCCCCUGAACUAGGCUUUCAAUGACCAUGAGUCCGGCGCGCAGUGUUGUCUUCGGCAUUGCAAGGCGGGUUCCUCCUCCGGAUACACCACAGAAGAAUUUCAAAUAUAUGGAUAGUAUCCGACCCUACAAAACAAGUUCCACAUACCAUCGUAGAGAUAAUAAUAUUUCCACAAAUCUUUAAUCUGCUGACACGUUUUGGCAACAUGACAUUACGUCACGGCCCGGUGAUUAUUUGAACUGUUUCCUUUAACUAGCCCCGCACAUAACGCGAGGCAGUUUUUUGACACGUCUUGUCAAAGCAGAGAUCGUGUCCCCUGAUUACGGGAUUCUCAUCAAUACGGGUGUGCGUAACCCAACCACGCCAUCAAUUACGGCGCUUGGGGGACAAGCGAGUUUUACCAGGCUAGUGGGGACGCUUAGUUUCGGCCUCCCAUAUAAAGGGAUAAGGAUUCACCUUUUCAUCCACGCCUUCUUGCUCCUUUGCUUAUCCGUUUUCGCGCACUCGAGCUCCAGCGCCCAAGUCCGCAUUCCCCACCUCUACCUUCUCCAGACAUGUCCGAAGCGGGAGACAAGUGGAUGGUCUCCUCCGUUACGGAGGGAGACAUCAAGAAGCUGAGGAGAGCCGGAUACCUGCCCGACGACAUCGCGCACCGGCUCCCAGAUGAGGGGCAGCUCAUCCCCACCCCCAGGCCCCAUGAGAGGGUGGUGUUCCUCAACCAUUUCCUCCGCGGACUGGGAUUUCCUCUCCACCCAUUGUCCGGGGGCUUAUGUUCUACUAUGGCCUGGAUUUCCACGAUCUGGCCCCGAACUUCAUCCUCAACAUCUCGGCGUUUAUCCUCGUGUGCGAGGCCUUCCUCCGCAUCAAGCCCCACUUCGGCUUAUGGCUGAAGACUUUCAAUGUCAAUACGAAGGUAGUGGGCGGCUGCCAGGCGGAGUGCGGAGGCGCCAUGGUGGGCAAGAUGCCCAACGUCACAUGGCUUGAGGGCUCCUUUGUGGAGACAAUAAAGGGGUGGCAAUCGGGGUGGUUCUAUAUCACCGAGCCGCGUGACCCUACAUGGGUAGCGGCCCCCGAGUUCCGAUCUGGCUUCCCCACACGGCUCACCACCUGGCAAGAGAAGGGCCUGUCCUGGGGUAAUCCGGGAGAGCUGACCGGACUCCAAACAUGCAUUCAAAGCAUGGUGAACAAGAAGCUCAAACUUGUCAACAUAGUCCAAGUUAUGCUCAUCCUCCGGAUCCUCCCGUGCCAACAAUGGGCCUUCAACUUGUGGGAGUUUGACCCGGCGCAGCACCGAACUCUGAACAAGCUCUUCGACACAACUCACGAAGAUGCCUGGAGGGUGCUGUUCAAGAGCGCUGAGGUCCCCCCCUCCUACUACUGAGGAUCGCGGAUUCAGCGCAAAGCGCCAAGCCAGCGUGGUAAGCUGCCUUUACCUCUUACAGGAUAGAUGUUUUUCAUAGCUUGGCUCCAUGCGGGAUCUAAACUCCCGUAUCUUUGACAGAAUUGGCAGGAGACGGCCGGACAGAUCGACUAUCCGGCUCCUUUACCCGAAGGCCCAGCAAACGCUCUUCUGACGAGGAUGCUGACUCCGGCUCCUUACACAGUGCCGGAGAAGACCAAGAAGGCCAAGGGAACCCGAAAGAGUUCUCGACGCCAGGCAUCACCGGACUUACCGUCCGAGGACUCUACGGCGCAAUCCUCCCCCGAAGACGAGGAGGACGCUCCCCCUCCAUACGGGGGAGACAAGAAAAGGAAGGCCGCCCCAACUGGGGAGGCCGGAGGGUCCAAGAAAGGGCGGACCCUCCCUACGGACUACUCCACCACCGCCGCCGACAGCGAAGACAAGUGGAUGCCCAAGGCCAAGCCCCUGGGAAGUCGUAAGUAUUCGGAUACCAGAGUAAGUCAUAGUAUUCCUUUGCCGCACUGCUUUCCCUAACGCCAAGAUAUGAUUAUGCAGGCUGCCACGAACCAGUAUCGAUGUAUCAUCGGACGGCUCCCUAGACUCGUCGGACAUGGAUAGCGAUCCAGUCCCGACCUCCACCUCCCCUCAUCCUGCUGAUGACACCGAGGUGCCAUCUCAAGAGGCACCGGGUCGAGGGGAGACAGCCCCGGAGGCGCCUCAAGGCGACCUUCCGGACUCCGGGAGCCGAGGCGACAGGGCCCCUGAGAGCUCCGAGUUCGGCCCUCAGCCGAACACCGCGCCGGAACCUCCAGUGGUUCCAGGCUUGGGUAGGCGGCCUCCUUCUAAGAGGGGCGAGAUGCCGGCACCGGUGACCUCUGUCCAUCCAGAGGCGACGGAUAAUCUACUAGAAGAGCUUCGCACCGCUUCCAUCGACGAGGAGCACCGCACUAUUAUGAGUGCGGUGAUCCAGAAGGUUCUGUCCGCUAAGAGCGGAUUGACUGAAGCCUGUGCCAGCCUUCUAACAGGCUUUGAGGUAAGUGUUUUAAAGUAUAGGAAAAAUAUUACCGCAUAGACAGUAGCCCCUGAUGCACUGUUCGGUGUUCACAAAGAAAAUCCGAAUAGAGGAUCAAACAAUAUCGCAGGAGUCUAAUAGAAGUAUGUCAAUAUGCAUAUGCAGGCUUCGCUGCUGGCGUCCGCCGCACUGACUGCGGAGGUCGCCGUACUGAAGCAGGACCUUAAAGGGUCCCAGGACGAGCUCGGCCUUUUCAAGAGGCAGCUCGAGGAGAAUAAAGGUAAGUAGCACCUAGUCUAUGUAUAUGUAUAAAAAUAAAUGCGAUUGCAAAAUGACAGGAGUAUCAUGAAUUUGCAAGGGGCCGCAACCGAAGUGGCGACCCUAAAGCAAGCGCUAUCCGAGGCCAAAGAUAAAGCGGACAAGGAGCUCACCGAGCGAGAGAAGCACGAGGCUCGGGUGGGCGAGGUGCAGCAAGAGCUCCAGGCUCUCGUGGCGAAGCACGAGGCGUUGGAGCUUGACUCAAAGACACGAGAGUCUGAGCUUGUAGCGGCCCUCGAGAGUGCAAAAAGUGCCAAGGCCGAGGCCCAAAAGGCCCUCCAGGAGAUCGACGCAAUGAAGAAGAUGGCGGCGGGUAAGGCUUUCUAUCUGAAAAUCAAGCAUGUACGAGUAAAUUACCGAUUACUUACUCGGAUCCGGAGCUCUCCAGGAGCAUUCGUAGAUUUGCCCCGCAGCGUGUCCGAUGCCGCACAAUUUUACCAGGCCGAGGAUGGAAGCUCAACGGAGAAGUUGUUCUGGUCUCAGUAUACUGAGGCCGAACACUCAGUGCCAAUGAGCGACCAGCUGAACCAGAUGGUCGAGCUACAUAAGGCGGCCGAACAGGCCAUGAAGGGCUUUAUAGUCCGGUUGUGGCCAGGCGACGCCCUUCCGAACAGCUUCUUCGGCCUGGUGAGGCGGCUUGUGGAUGCCUGCCCGCGGCUGGAGGUCAUCAAGCGAUCCGUCUGCAUUGAAGGUGCACGCCGGGCUUUCGUCCGUGUGAAAUUGGAGUGGGUCAAGCUAGACGCCGUCAAGCUGAUCAAGGAAGGGCCGCCGGAGGGCAAGGAGCACUGCCACCCCGAGAUGUACUAUGAGGGUGUUCUGCCGAGUGCCCGUCUCAUAGCGGAUGAGUGUACAAAAGAUGUAAUAUUUGAGUAAAACUCGCUCGUGUGAUCCUGUAUUUAUGAAAACUUGUUUCAUACGCGCUAUGCAACGCUUGUUUGAAUUUAAAAUAUUACCUUCUGUUUGGCCGUUUAUCCAAUCUGAGAGAUGGCUAGUCCUCGGCUUCUGCCCCCAUGCCACUAGUGAUGGGGUGUUCGGGAUAAACCUGAGCACUCUUGUUCCCAUGUUUGGGUCCUUCGAGGGAGGUGCUCAGCACAACAAACAAGGCAACCAGACUAAUAAUGCUUUAUCACUCUCACUUAGCCAUAGAAUUCUAUAAUUUUAAAUUUCGGCGAAGCCCCUGGUAUUCGGAAGGCCGAAUUCGGGGCGCGAUACACGCCUUUAAGCCGGACAGGGCCGGCCCCUCGUCCUAAGCGGCAUAAGUCUUUAGGGACUCGAAAACCUCGCCGAACAGCGACCAGUCUCUCGCCUUAUCAUGACAGUCAGUUUUAGCUUUCUCUACUGAGGUGCUAAGCCCGGCAGAACCGGGGCACAAUCGCAGUAGUUCUCCUAGCGCUACCUUAGCCGAUAGAGCGGAACGUAAGGUACCAAAACAUAGGAUCCAGGCAAACCCAACAUUUGACCAAAGACAUGAUUCGGAGCUGAUGCAUGUAAUGCUAUAAGUUCGGGGUGCCGCACUUGUGAAAGUGUUCGGACUUUUCACACCAUAUUGUGGGGUACGUAAGCCCCUGGUGUAUUGGCCGUACCAAAGUGUACGGUUGCAAGGCGUCGUUAAUGAACACAUAUAUGUAAAACAAGAAUGCAAUAAUAGGCGCAGUGCUAUGCAUUGUUUAUUCAAAAAGGUGCGUUAAAGCAUAGUGAUACAGAUAGUGCGAUAAGCAAAGAGUAGGACUGUGUCCCUUCCAGUGCCAGGCUGAGGAAUAGUACUAAAUCAAAUAUUUCACUCGUUACUGUAAUCCACCUGGGAAUUCCGUGGUGCGACGUAGCUUUCUGCCUCCUUGGUCGCUGCAUCAUGUGUUCGGGAAUAGUGCUGCCGGACAGGGUUUCCGGAGAUUAAAGUCCUGAAAAAGAGAAAAAUAACAAAGCUGGGAGCCCCUAGUGUGGUUUAAGCCGCGUCCUGGGGCGUGCCGCAGUUUUGCCCCCCUUCCCCACCUGCGCCCAUGGUAUUUUCAAUGCAUAAUUAUGUACGUGUGGCACGGAUUUCACCGUUUGGCUGGGACUGGGGUGGGGGCCGCAUUGCUACGCGAGCUCAGAUCGCACCAAACGGUCUAUUUGCUGAUUGCUCCGAGCGCGCUUGACGGUUUCCGGGUUUGGAAAGGUCGAACUGGUUAAUUGCCUUGAGAGGCUGCUUUGUGCUUCUGCUGCGAGGGCCACGGUGUGCUCCUCUGUUUAGAGAGAGCGCUCUGUGUUUCCAUUGAUGGUAAUAACUCCGUGAGGUCCUGGCAUCUUGAGCUUGAGGUAUGCAUAAUGCGGUACCGCAUUGAAUCUAGCAAAUGUGGUUCGCCCGAGCAAUGCAUGAUAACCACUGCGGAACGGGACUAUAUCGAAGAUUAACUCUUCGCUUCGGAAGUUAUCCGGGGAUCCGAAGACCACUUCCAGUGUAAUUGAGCCUGUGCAAUGGGCCUCUACACCUGGAAUGACGCCUUUCAAGGUCGUUUUUCUGGGUUUGAUCCUUGAGGAGUCUAUACCCAUUUUGCGCACUGUGUCCUAAUAAAGCAGGUUCAGGCUGCUGCCGCCAUCCAUGAGGACUCGAGUGAGGUGAAAUCCGUUAAUGAUUGGGUCUAGGACCAGUGCGGCGAAUCCACCAUGACAGCUAUGUUCGGGAACGUAGUAAUUUCAAAAAAAUUCCUAGACACAUGCAAGAUCAUGGUGAUGCAUAGCAACGAGAGGGGAGAGUGUUGUCUAUGUACCCUCGUAGACCGACAACGGAAGCGUUAUGACAACGCGGUUGAUGUAGUCAUACGUCUUCACGGCCCGACCGAUCAAGCACCGAAACUACGGCACCUCCGAGUUCUAGCACAUGUUCAGUUCGAUGACGAUCCCCGGACUCUGAUCCAGCAAAGUAUCGGGGAAGAGUUCUAUCAGCACGACGCCGUGGUGACGAUCUUGAUGUUCUACUGUCGCAGGGCUUCGCCUAAGCACCGCUACAAUAUUAUCGAGGAUUAUGGUGGAGGGGGGCACCGCACACGGCUAAGAGAACGAUCAUGAAGAUCAACUUCUGUGUCUAGAGGUGCCCCCCUGCCCCCGUAUAUAAAGGAGCAAGGGGGGAGGAGGCCGGUCCUAGGAGAGGCGCGCCAGGGGAGUAGGAUUCCUACUCCUAGUUGGAGUAGGUUUCCUCCUUUCCUAGUCCAACUAGGAGAAGGGGGGAAAGGGGGAAAGAGGGGAAGGAAGGGAGAGAGGGGCCGCGCCCCAAACCCCUUGUCCAAUUCGGACUGGGCUUGGGAGGGGCGCACGCCACCUCCUGGUCCUUCCCACUAAGGCCCAUUAAGGCCCAUUGCUUCUUCCUCGUAUUCCCGUAACUCCCCGGUACCUCCGAAAAUACCCGAAUCACUCGGAACCUUUCCGAUGUCCAAAUAUAGUCGUCCAAUAUAUCGAUCUUUACGUCUCGACCAUUUCGAGACUCCUCGUCAUGUCCCCGAUCUCAUCCGGGACUCCGAACUCCUUCGGUACAUCAAAACUUGUAAACUCAUAAUAUAACUAUCAUCGAAACCUUAAGCGUGCAGACCCUACGAGUUCGAGAACAAUGUAGACAUGACCGAGACAUGUCUCCGGUCAAUAACCAAUAGCGGAACCUGGAUGCUCAUAUUGGCUCCCACAUAUUCUAUGAAGAUCUUUAUCGGUCAGACCGCAUAACAACAUACGGUGUUCCCUUUGUCAUCGGUAUGUUACUUGCCCGAGAUUCGAUCGUCGGUAUCUCAAUACCUAGUUCAAUCUCGUUACCGGCAAGUCUCUUUACUCGUUUCGUAAUACAUCAUCUCGCAACUAACUCAUUAGUUGCAAUGCUUGCAAGGCUUAUGUGAUGUGCAUUACCGAGAGGGCCCAGAGAUACCUCUGCGAUAAUCGGAGUGACAAAUCCUAAUCUCGAAAUACGCCAACCCAACAUGUACCUUUGGAGACACCUGUAGAGCUCCUUUAUAAUCACCCAGUUACAUUGUGACGUUUGGUAGCACACAAAGUGUUCCUCCGGCAAACAGGAGUUGCAUAAUCUCAUAGUCAUAGGAACAUGUAUAAGUCAUGAAGAAAGCAAUAGCAACAUAUUAAACGAUCGGGUGCUAAGCUAAUGGAAUGGGUCAUGUCAAUCACAUCAUUCUUCUAAUGAUGUGAUCCAGUUAAUCAAAUAACAACUCUUUUGUUCAUGGUUAGGAAACAUAACCAUCUUCGAUUAACGAGCUAGUCAAGUAGAGGCAUACUAGUGACACUCUGUUUGUCUAUGUAUUCACACAUGUAUCAUGUUUCCGGUUAAUACAAUUCUAGCAUGGAUAAUAAACAUUUAUCAUGAUAUAAGGAAAUAAAUAAUAACUUUAUUAUUGCCUCUAGGGCAUAUUUCCUUCAGGAUACUAGUGGGGUGGUCCCUGCGAUCGAAGGUGAUCGGACAGGAGGACCAUGGGUUGAACUUUGGGGCGACUGGCUCCAACGCAUAUACGUCCCUGAGCACACGCUUCUGUUCCCGUUUGGGGAUGUGCGUUGCAUAUAUCAUGUUCACCGUCCGCACUUGUGGGGGGAACCUCUUCUAUCCUCUUGUAUUCCACUGCCGGGUCUCCUCCUCGUCAUCGCUAUGUGGCCCCUUAUUUUUGUUUUCGGCAAUUAACUUGCCGGCCUGCUUGAAUACCCAACAAUCCCUAUUGGUGUGGUUGGCUGGCUUGUCGGGGAUGCCGUGUAUUUGACACGAGCGAUCGAGUAUGCGGUCCAAACUGGAUGGGCCCGGCGUACUUUGUUUAAAUGGCUUUUUUCGCUGACCAGGUUUAGAGCCUUUGAAUCCAGCAUUGACUGCCGUAUCUUCAGGAUUAUCGUUGUUAAUGCGGCGCUUAUGUUUGUUGCGACGCGACCUGCUAUUGCCAUCCUUGGUAUCCGAAGUACCAUGGUUCUUUGAUAUGUUAUUACUGCGGGCCAGCCAGCUGUCUUCUCCCGCACAAAAGCGGGUCAUGAGUGUCGUGAGGGCUGCCAUAGAUUUCGGCUUUUCCUGACCAAGGUGCCGGGCUAGCCACUCGUCACGGAUGUUGUGUUUGAAAGCCUCUAAGGCCUCUGCGUCCGGACAGUCCACGAUUUGAUUUUUCUUUGUAAGGAACCGAGUCCAGAAUUGUCUGGCUGACUCUUCUGGCUGCUGAAUUAUGUGGCUCAAGUCAUCGGCAUCUGGCGGUCGCACAUAAGUUCCCUGAAAGUUGUCGAGGAAUGCGGCUUCCAGAUCUUCCCAACAGCUAAUGGAAUUUGCUGGCAAGCUGUUAAGCCAAUGCCGUGCUGGUCCUUUAAGCUUUAGUGGGAGGUAUUUGAUGGCGUGUAAGUCAUCGCCGCGGGCCAUGUGGAUGUGGAGGAGGAAAUCGUCGAUCCAUACCGCAGGAUCUGUAGUGUCGUCGUAUGAUUCAAUAUUUACAGGUUUGAAACCUUCUGGGAUUUGAUGAUCCACUACUUCGUCUGUGAAGCAUAGAGGGUGUGCGGCGCCUCUGUAUUGGGCUAUACCGCGACGCAGCUCAAAUGGGUCUUGCCCGCUGUGUUCAGCCCGGCCGGAUUUAUUUUUACUGUAUCCGGCAUGGCGUUUAUCGUCUCGCAUAGUGGCGCGCCCUCGUGAUCCGUAGAUCGAUCUUGCAUGCUUUGCUUUGUCCUCCUAUACGUCUCGCAGGUCUGGCGUGUUUCCCCAUGCUUUUUUAUUUGAAUGGCAUCGGGGUGCGGGCUGAGCUUUUGGCUGGAAUGCCUCUCUAUCACGGCCACGAGGUGGCCGAUCAGCCGCAUCAUACGCCUCUUCCUCCAACCGGGGUAGCAACCUGCACUUUGGGUAACUCUUGGAGGGGCGCUCGAGUUUAUAUUCCUCGACAGCGAGGACUUCAGUCCAUCUGUCAGCUAGCAGAUCUUGAUCAGCUUGAAGCUGCUACUGCUUUUUCUUCAGGCUAUUUGCCGUGGCCAUAAGCCGGCGCUUGAAGCGCUCUUGUUCUACGGGAUCCUCUGGCACAGCGAAUUCGUCAUCGCCGAGGCUUGCCUCGUCUUCGGAGGGGAGCAUGUAAUUAUCAUCCUCCUCCUCUCCGUCUGUCGCUCUCUCAGGAGGGAUGACUCCUCCAUCCUCCUGCUCUAAAUCUUGCUGGAGGGGAUUAUUGUUGUCUUCGGCACUAUCCGGAGUGUUAUUAUCUCCUGUGCUGGUAUCACCACUUUUGCUUUGGCGGGACUUAGAGCGGCGCCGCUGACGUCGGCGCUUGGGUUGCUUCUUGGAGGGGUCAUCCUCCAUUAUCUCGUCGCCAUUGCCUUCUUUGGGUGUAUCCACCAUGUAUAUAUCGUAUGAUGAGGUGGCUUUCCAGUGCCCUAUAGGUGCUGGUUCAUGUUCGUAUCCUACAUUGUCGUCCAUACCGUCGAUGUCUUCAGAGUCGAAGUCGAGCAUGUCGGUUAAAUCAUCGACAGUGGCUACGAAGUGGGUGGUGGGUGGGCGUCGAAUUUCUUUGUCGUCCGCAUCCCAAUCCUGUUGGCCAUAGUCCAGCCAGGGCUCUCCUGACAAAGAGAGAGACCUUAGUGAAUUCAGAAUGUCGCCGAAGGGCGAGUGCUGAAAGAUAUCCGCGGCGGUGAAUUCCAUGAUCGGCGCCCAAUCAGAUUCGAUUGGCAGGGGUGCGGAAGGUUCGGAGUCCGGAAAAGAGUCCGGCACCUUGGAGUCACGGGCUUCGCAGAGGAUGAGGCUGGUGUUCGGCUCGAUCGCCGUUGAGACCGCAGCCCCUGAGGCGAUGUCUAGCCACCCGUCCUCGAUCGGUGCAGUUGGCUCCGAGCUAAGGGUCGGAGGUGAUGCGGGCGCGGCCUCCAAGGCACUGUUUGGUGGCAGAGCUAGGUCAUACCCAUCGUGACAGUGCGGCACGCUCGGUUGUGGCUCGAAUCCGUCGAAGAUCAAGUCUCCGCGGAUGUCAACCAUGUAGUUCAAACUUCCAGAUCUGACCUGAUGGCCAGGGCGUAGCUUUCAAUCUGCUCCAGAUGGCCAAGCGAAUUGGCCCGCAGUGCAAAGCCGCCGAACACGAAGAUCUGUCCGGGGAGAAAGGUCUCACCCUGGACCGCGUUGUUGAUGAUCAGAGGAGCCAUCGGGCCUAAAAGUGACGACACAGAGGAACUCUCAAUGACAGCACCAAUGUCGGUGUCAAAACCGGCGGAUCUCAGGUAGGGGGUCCCGAACUGUGCGUCUAGGCCGGAUGGUAACAGGAGGCAGGGAACACGAUGUUUUACCCAGGUUCGGGCCCUCUUGAUGGAGGUAAAACCCUACGUCCUGCUUGAUUAAUAUUGAUGAUAUGGGUAGUACAAGAGUAGAUCUACCACGAGAUCAGAGAGGCUAAACCCUAGAAGCUAGCCUAUGGUUUGAUUGUAUGUUGUAGUUGUUGUCCUGCGGACUAAAACCCUCCGGUUUAUAUAGACACCGGAGAGGGCAAGGGUUACACAAGGUUGGUAAGAAAUGAGGAGAUAUCCAUAUCCGUAUUGCCUAGCUUGCCUUCCACGCCAAGUAGAGUCCCAUCCGGACAUGGGACGAAGUCUUCAAUCUUGUAUCUUCAUAGUCCAACAGCCCGGCCAAAGGUUAUAGUCCGGCUAUCUGGACACCCCCUAAUCCAGGACUCCCUCAGAUGUGGUGGGUGAUACGGAGAAGAAACUAAAGGAGGCCAAGUGUGAGUUGGAGAAUUGUAGAAAGCAAGCUAUCACACCGGAGAAGGUUGCUGAGGAGGUGAGAUUACGGUGUUUGGUUGAUCAUUUGGAGGAAGUCAUUGAUAUAAAGUGGAGGCAACGAGCUCACGUUUGGUGGCUAAAGGAGGGGGAUAGGAACACAAAGUUUUUCUUUAGAUAUGCCUCGGCGAGAAGGAAGGCCAAUAGAAUCCGAAGGCUUAGGAGGGAGGAUGGAGUGGUGGUGGAGGAACGAAGGGAUCUCACUAACUAUGUCAUAUCUUAUUUUCAGGACCUGUUCACCUCGAAUGGUAAUGGCCAAUAUGAUGAGCUUCUCCGGGCUGUUCCGGUGAAGGUAACGAGUGCUAUGAAUGAGAGCCUCACAGCUGCAUUCUCUGAUAUGGAAAUCAAAGCUGCCCUUGAUCAGAUAGGGGACCUAAAAGCAUCAGGGCCAGAUGGUAUGCCCGCGGUAGUCUUAUAGAAAUAAUGCCAUUUGAUGGGCAGGAACAUCAUUGAGGAGGUGAGACAUGUCCUCGAGGGGGGUGAGAUGUUGGCUGGAUGGAAUGAUACCCAUGUUGUGCUAAUACCCAAGGUCAAAAAACCCUAAAGGAUAAAGGACCUCCGACACAUCAGUUUGUGUAGUGUUCUGUAUAAGAUCAUCUCUAAGGUAAUGGCGAAUCGAAUCAAGCUCAUACUGUCGCAGAUCAUCUCUGACAAUCAGAGUGCGUUUGUACCUGGACGACUGAUAACUGACAAUAUACUCAUGGCCUAUGAGAUCUCACAUUUCUUGAUGAACAAACAAACUGCUAAGGAAGAGUUUGCGGCGGUCAAGGUGGACAUGAGCAAAGCCUAUGAUCGGGUCGAGUGGGCCUUCCUGGAAGCAAUGAUGUAUAAACUUGGGUUCGCGAGCAGCUUGCUGAAGCUUGUAAUGAAGUGUGUAACCUCGGUGAGGUACAGCAUCAAAGUUAAUGGCGAGCUAUCCCAACAAUUUGCGCCUUCAGGAGGGCUCCAGCAGGGCGAUCCGAGCUCUCCCUAUCUCUUUGCAAUUUGUGGAGGGUUUUGUCGGCUUUGCUGAAUGAGGCCCAGUAGUGAGGUAGAUUUGGAGGUAUACAGAUUUGUCCGGGAGCUCCGUCUAUCUCACACCUAUUUUUUGUUGAUGACUCGGUGCUUCUCAUGAGAGCACGAAUGGAGGAAGCCUUGGAACUUCAACGCACCCUACAGGUCUAUGAGAGAUGUUCGGGACAUUGUGUAAAUCAUGAGAAAUCUGCGGUGAUGUUUAGUAAAAACUGCUCCGAACAGACCAAAGGAAAUGUGAAGGGGGCCUUGGGCAUUGAUAGUGAUGCGUACAAUGAUAAAUAUUUGGGACUCCCAAUGUACAUUGGGCAUUCCAAGUGCAAGGCUUUUUCUUACCUAAAGGACCGGAUUUGGAACUACAUGCAGGGCUGGAAUGAGAGGAAACUAUCUAGGCAAGGCAAGGAAAUUCUUGUUAAGGUUGUUGUGCAGGCGGUUCCAACAUUUGCAAUGUAAGUGUUCUACCUCACCAAAACCUUCUGCGAAGAGCUUAGUGCUAUGAUUGCUAGGUACUGGUGGAGCCAGCAGGACAAGGAUAACAAGAUUCAUUGGGUUGGCUGGCCAAAGCUAACAAGGUCAAAGGGAAGGGGGGACUUGGUUUCAGAGACAUCCAUGACUUUAACAUUGCUAUGUUGGCCCGGCAAGUGUGGCUUCUGAUAGAGUAGGCAGACAGUUUGUGUGCGUAGCUCGUGAAGGCCAAGUACUACCCGGAUUGCUCCAUUCUGGAUGCGGGGCAGAGUUCAAACAUGUCCUAUGCAUGGCGCAGCAUCACAUACGGCACUGACCUAGUUAAACAAGGUAUGAUUGAUACGUCUCCAAUGUAUCUAUAAUUUUUUAUUGUUCCAUGCUAUUAUAUUAUCUGUUUUGGAUGUUAUUGGCUUAUUUAUACACUUUUAUAUUAUUUUUGGGACUAACCUACUAGCCCAAGGCCCAGUGCAAAUUGUUGUUUUUUGCCUAUUUCAAUGUUUCGCAGAAAAGGAAUAUCAAACUGAAUCCAAACGGAAUAAAACCUUUGGGAGAGUUAUUUUGGAACAAACAUGAUCCAGGGGACUUGAAGUGGACGUCAAGAAACCAACAAGGAGGCCACGAGGCAGGGGCGCUCCUACCCCCCCCCCCCCUUGGGCGCGCCCUACACCCUUGUGAGCCCCUUGUGGCUCCACCGACCUACUUCUUCCUCCUAUAUAUAUCCAUAUACCCCGAAAACAUCCAGGAGAACCACGAAACCCUAUUUCCACCGUCGCAACCAUUUGUACCCAAGAGAUCCCAUCUUGGGGCCUUUUCCGGAGCUCCGCAGGAGGGGGAAUCGAUCAUGGAGGGCUUGUACAUCAACACCAUAGCCUCUCUAAUGAUGUCUGAGUAGUUUACCUCAGACCUUCGGGUCCAUAGUUAUUAGCUAGAUGGCUUCUUCUCUCUCUUUGGAUCUCAAUACAAUGUUCUCCUUGAUCUUCUUGGAAAUCUAUUUGAUGUAACUCUUUUUGCGGUGUGUUUGUCGAGAUCCGAUGAAUUGUGGGUUUAUGAUCAAGUUUAUCUAUGAAAAUAUUUGAUUCUUCUCUGAAAUUUUUUAUGUAUGAUUGGUUAUCUUUGCAAGUCUCUUCGAAUUAUCAGUUUGGUUUGGCCUACUAGAUUGAUAUUUCUUGCAAUGAGAGAAGUGCUUAGCUUUGGGUUCAAUCUUGCGGUGUCCUUUCCCAGUGAAAGCAGGGGCAGCAAGGCACGUAUUGUAUUGUUGCCAUCGAGGAUAAAAAGAUGGGGUUUAUAUCAUAUUGCUUGAGUUUAUCCCUCUACAUCAUGUCAUCUUGCCUAAUGUGUUACUCUGUUCUUAUGAACUUAAUACUCUAGAUGCAUGCUGGAUAGCGGUCGAUGUGUGGAGUAAUAGUAGUAGAUGCAGAAUCGUUUUGGUCUACCUGUCACGGACGUGAUGCCUAUAUACAUGAUCAUGCCUAGAUAUUCUCAUAAUUAUGCACUUUUCUAUCAAUUGCUCGACAGUAAUUUGUUCACCCACCGUAAUACUUAUGCUAUCUUGAGAGGAGACACUAGUGAAACCUAUGGCCCCUGGGUCUAUCUUUUAUCAUAUAACUUUCCAAUCUAUUUUAUUUUGCAAUCUUUGUUUUCCUAUCUAUAUCAUAAAAAUACCAAAAAUAUUUAUCUUAUUAUUAUUAUCUCUAUCAGAUCUCAGUCUCGUAAGUGACCAUGAAGGGAUUGACAACCCCUUUAUCGCGUUGGUUGCGAAGUUCUUAUUUGUUUGUGUAGGUAUGAGGGACUUGCGUGUAGUCUCCUACUGGAUUGAUACAUUGGUUCUCAAAAUCUGAGGGAAAUACUUACGCUACUUUGCUGCAUCACCCUUUCCUCUUCAAGGGAAAACCAACGCAGUGCUCAAGAGGUAACAAUCAUCUGGCUUGUAGGGGGUGGGCAUAACAUUCACAUUUGGGAUGACCCAUGGAUACCAGAGCUUGGUCUAGGCGAGUCAUCACUCCUCGUGGGGGUAAUCUUUUGACCAAAGUUUCUGAGCUCAUCGAUCCAACUACUGGCAAGUGGGAUAUGGAAUUGGUCAAUGAUAUGUUCUGGGAUGAGGAUGCCAAGUUGAUUCUUUAGAUGCCAUUAAGGGACGGGGCAGUAGAUUUCUUGGCAUGGCACUUUGACCCAAAAGGUGUGUUCUCGAUUAAGCAGGUGUAUAAAUUGAAACGGGCACUAUCCGAGACCAGGGGUGCACAGGCGAAUGGUAUAUCCCAUGAUGCGGGGAAUUUAGAUGGAGGUGGGGAGGUGAGAUGGAAGAGACUAUGGAAAAUGCCAUGUCCUGGGAAGGUUGGGCAUUUCAUGUGGCAGCUUGCGCACAACACACUGGCCACUAAGGAUAUCCUAUGUCGAAGGGGAAUGGUUAUUGAGGAUCAUAAGUGCUUCUUGUGCAAUGCGAGAAACGAGUCGGCCAAACACCUGUUUGUUGAGUGCCAUGAGGUAAAGCAUUUAUGGCGGGGUCUCAAUCUUGAGUAUGUCAGGCAGCAGCUUGCGGAAUGUGAUUGUGUUGACACCACCCUGGACUGUUUGUGGCAGCUACCUGAGAAAGACUGGAUGGUUAUCAUCGUCAUGUGGUGGUAGUGGUGGGCUCAACGGAAUAAGGUCCGGGAGGGAGACAAGCCGAUAGAGCACGUGUAGUUUGCCGUUAGGGCUGCAUGUACUGCCGGCGAGUACCAGGGGUGUUUUUGUAAAACGCCUACCCCGCCGGCAAGCGCGCCUCGCUGGACCCCUCCACCACAGGACAUGCUAAAGUUCAAUGUUGAUGGAGCUUUUGCUGAGGAUGGCAUGCAUGGGGGCUGGGGAGUGGUGGUACGGGAUAAUACAGGUGAGGUGGUGGCAGCACCGGUUGGGCGACUUGAUCGUGCUGCGGAUGCAUUCAGCACUGAGCUGAGAGCAGUGGAGCAAGCGCUAGAUCUUGCGGCCGAACUGGGGGUCGUGCGGCUGACUAUUGAAAUGGACGCCCUGCUGCUUGAACAGGCCCUAAACAGACGUGCUCCAGAUUGUUCGCGACAAGCACAGGCGAUUUAAGACAUCAAGGUGCAGUCCCGGUUAUGGUUCUCUUCAUGUGUAUUUGCCCAUUGUAAGCGCGAGGCCAAUAUGCCAGCGCACCAUAUGGCCAAGUUAGGCCUGGCUCUCCAAGUGGGAGAUGUUCUAGUUGCUGAUGAUGUAAUUCCAGCCAUUGUUGUUGAGUUUGUAAUGGGCGAUCGUGCCCAGUACGUUUCGUAAUAAAGCUAUUUGCUUGCCCUAAAAAAACAAUUCACAUCUUAAUUUGCAAUGGUUAGUACAAUUCUCUUUUAUUUCACCCACAGAUUCUUUUGUUUUUCUUCAUCAGAUCCUAUUUGGUUCCAUCGUGGCAUGUUCCUGUGCAUUCUAGUGCUCACCGUGAUCCAUAUUCCGGUAUUCCCCAUAGGAUUGAGAGAGUGCCAAGAAGUAUACUAGUGUCCUACUCGAGUACGACACUGAACUAGAUACUGAUGUGCUUCGUGCUCGUCGAGACAUCACCGGGCUGGACAUCGCAACAUACAACAAAAAUAUAAAAAUUUACCAUUAAAAUAAUACAAAACCAAAGAUGACCAAUAUAUAUGAAAACUACUCCAAUUUAGUCAAAUCUUAAGCCCGAAACCAAUUACCAAUUUUUGAAGCCACUCUAUCUGCCCAACACAUAUCAGAUAUGAUCGGCCCAAGCAAUGCAACCGGGCACCCCAAUUGGGCCAAGCCGAAAAUAGUGAUUCUCAUAUUAUUAUUUUUCUGCGCCUGCUUCGUACGUGCAUGUGUAAACGUGCAGCGCAGCACGUUUUGUUCUCUUUCUCUACCGUUUUUAAUUCUUCAUCUUCUUCUGUUUAUUUUCCUUUUUUCAAGAAUACUCUCUAAAUUAACAAAGAAUGUGUGAAUACUUUCUUCAAAUCAUCUAAACCUUUUCUUUAAUGCAUGAACACUUUUCAAAACAACCAUUAACGGACUUUUUUUAAACACAUUGUGACAACUUUUAGUACGCCAUAAUCCUCUUUUGUAUUACGCGGUAAACAGACAUUUGAUAAAUGUUUCUUGCAUAUUUUAAAAAUAUUCACCAUUUAUUUGGAAAAUGCUCGUUGCAUAUUUCAAUAAUGUUUUCCAUGUAUUUAUAAAAUGUACAUGAAGUAUUUUUUUUAAAUGUGAACCACAUAUUCAAAGCAUGUUCUUCCUAUAUUCCAAAAAUCUUUGUCACGUAUUCAAAAGACUAUUCACAACAUAUUAGAAGAAGUCCUCAUUGCGUAUUUAAAAAAAAUUUGUUGUGUUUUUAAGAAUUGUUCACCGUGUGUUCAAAAAAAUAUUCACCACGUAUUUAAUUAAAUUUCACCGUAUAUUGCAAAAAGUUUCUUGAUGUAUUUAUUAAAUAUUUCAUCGUGUAUUUUAUAAAUGGUCAUCGCAUAUUUAUUAUUCACUACAUAUUCAAAAAUGUUCAUCACGUACUUAGAAAGACGUCCACCCAAUAUGGACAAAUGUCCAUCACGUCAUUCAAAAGUAUUCCUCUAUUCAAAAAUCUUUUAAUAUCUUUUAAAUAAUUAUGUAUCCUAAAUAAUAUUCAGAAAAGGAAAUGGAUCCAAAAAAUAGUACAAAGGGAAAAAGAAAAAAGAAAACAGAUAAAUGGAAAGACGAGAAUAAAACAUAAAACUAAACUGGAAAACCAGAAAAAACGGAAAAGAUAUAAUCAAACCAAAAGAAGAAACAAAAAACAAAAUAUGCAAUACACAAUACAGGGGAAAGAAAAAGAAAAAUUGUAAGUUUGUCCCGGAGCCCAACAUCCGGCCAGGAUUGGGCCUCACUUUAUCGCCCAUGGCCCUGCCCAAAGCCCAGGAAAAGCCCAAUGAAACAUGUUUUUUGAGGUAUAUUAACAAAUAUAGGCAUAGUAUAGUUUAUAUAGCACCAAAAUUAGCUGUUUUAUUAAUUUUAAAUGAGAAAACAGCCAUUUUCCUGGGCUACGAACUAGGCCGAGCGAGGCCCAUGCGUGCGAAAUUUGGGUCGGGCAUUGUACAGCCCGGUCUGAACCCAGCUCAUCCCGGAGAAUGCCCAACUUUAUCUGAAAACAAGUGUUCAGAAUGUCCGCCCAUGCGCGACAUGAGCCCUGCAUGCGUGAAGGAACACGGGCCCAUGUUGUGAUGUUCACUUCAUAUUUUUUGUUUUUCUUUGUUCCUCUACCUUUAGAAAUUCUCCACUGAUAUUUUUGGGAAACUACUUUUAGUAUCUAUAUUUAAAAGUAGUUCGUCGCAUAUUAUGGUGUAUUUCAACAUAGUUCAUCGCAUAUUAGAAAAUAUAUUGAUCGCAUAUUUCACAAGAUAUACAUCAUGUAUUCCAAAAUAUUCACCUCAUAUUCUAAAAUGUAUAUCUUUGCAUAUCUCAAAAUUGUUCAUCACAUAUAAUUUUUUGUCACAAUGUACUUAAAAAAUAUUCUUGUGUAUUUUAAUAGUAUUCACCAUUUAUUUGGAAAAUGUUAACUGUAUAUUUCAAAAUGUUUCUAAUGUAAAAUAAUGUACAUCAUGCAUUUAAAAAAUGUGCACCACAUAUCCAAAACAUUUACUUUCUGUAUUUGAAAAUGGUCAUCGUGUAUCCAAAAACUAUUCAAUAUAUAUUUGGAUAAACGUUUCUCCUGUAUAAAACUAUUCCAACGUGUUCGAAAAAAGUGCUUCGUGUAUUUAAUAAAAAUUCACCACAUAUUGAAAAACGUUUCAACAUGUAUUUUGUAAAUGGUCAUCACUUGUUUUAAAAUUAUUUACCACAUAUUCGAAAAAUGUCCAUCAUGUACUUAGAACAAUGCCCACCCCAUAUGAAAACAAGUGUGCAUCACGUUAUUCAAAAGUAUUCUUAUAUUAAAUAAAUAUUGUAUCCUUUCCUAAAUAAUUAUUUAUCGUAAACAGUAUUCAGAAAAGGAAAUGGAAGCCAAAAUAGUGUUUAGUAAAAAAGACAAAACAAAAGAGAUAAAUGGAAAGAAGGGAAUAAAAGAUAAACCUAAAUUAGAAAACCAGACAAAUGAAAAGUGAAAAGGUCAAAGAAUAAAUAAAAAGGUAAAAACACAGAAAGGAAAACUGAAAACAAAACAAGAAAAGAAACAAAAAAACUGCACAAAGAAAUAAAGCAGAAAAAAACUGCGUUAAUAGGCCUGGUCCGUGGGUGGAACGACGGGCGCGGUCACUCGUUGUACAUCGCAGUAAGUGAGAUAUAGCUUUUUUGUGUUAAAUCGACAGGUUGAGCGACGAUGUAUCCCCAUAAACUUUAGCCCGAUCACGCAUACGAAUCUUAACCCCUAGAUUUAGUAAAAUUUAUAGCCCAAGAAGAUAAUGUACUUGUUGCCAAUCGUGACCCAGGCAAGUAUAAGUUCAAGCCAAUUAGAGCAUCUCCAACAGCCGCGCUAAACAAACGCCGCACCGUAAAUUUGACCAUCUUAGCGUGCGCGCAACCCGGCGGGUGGCUCCAGCGGGUGCGCAAUAACCGCGCGUGUGGUAUAAAGAGUUAGGCGCGCGGUCGGAUUCGCUAUCUCGCGUGGUGUAUUUGGGGCACCCGCUUCCGCGCGCGGCACACUCGAGUGCUCGCGCCGCACUCUCUCCUCUCCGCCUCCUACGCCCCGCGCGCGCCCGCGCCGGCGAACUGCACCCAUGGACGCACGCGCCAGCACCCCGCUCACCCCAUCCUAUAGCCGCGACCCCUCCACCGCUGCCGCCGCCGCCGCAAACCCUAGCGCGGGUGGCGUUGGCCUCGCCUCCGCCGAAGCUCCUCCGACCAUCGGCCUCGCGCGCGGCCUCUUCAUGCCGUCGCGGAUGACCUUGGCGGCGGGUGGCGGCGCGCCGGCGCCGGCCCGAACCGCCGCCCUCUCCUCGAAGCUCCCCAAUGCGGCGCGGCCAAAGAAGGGCAAGACAUCGGCGAAGAAGAACAAGGCGGCGGACGGCUCCGGCACCUCGAAGGCAAGGAGGAAGAAGCUUGCAGGGCGUGCGACGGGCGCGGCGGCUACCGAAGCACCGGCGAGCUCACUCGUUGAGCCGGCGGCCGACGCGCACAACAUGUUCGACGAAAUGCCCCCAAGGUAGAAUUUUUUUUCCAACUUUUCUUUUCUUGUUAUUUUUUCAAUGCAUUCAUAUAGAUAGCUUAUUUGCAUUGUUCAAAAAACUUUGUAGUCUCAAUGAUGAUGCAUACAUGUCAACUAUGGGUGUUGGCUCCAACAAUUCGCAUUGGUCUCAAACCAAUGACAUACAUUUCGAAGACCAUGAGUUCGAGGUGGACGAGGAGGAUGAGGGCAUUGUCGACGUGCUGAAAGGAAGAGCGGGCAAUUACACCAACGCCGAUGACAUCUUACUAUGCAAUACUUGGUUGCAAGUGUCGAGGGAUCCAUCCGUUGGAGGUGAUCAAAGUAGAGAUGCUUUAUUGGGGGCGGAUGAAAGAACACUUUGAUGUUCACAACGUGAGUGGAAUUGACCGCUCCAAGAGAUCACUUCGGUCCCGAUGGUCGACAAUCAACUUGGACUGUCAAAGAUGGGCGGCCUGUCAAAAGGUGGUUGACAAGUUGAACCCAAGUGGCACAAAUGAGGACGAUAGAGUAAGUGGCAUUCCAUACAUGUUCAUCAUACUUGUUGUUGGUGUUCGAAGUGCUAACUUGCUUUGUUUUCAUGUAGUACAACAUUGCACAAAACUUGUUCAAAGAAGAGGAGAGGAAAACCAAGAAGGGGAAGAUCAAGAAAGGAAGGGUCUUUACCUUGCCUCAUUGCUAUAACGUGUUGAAGGAUGAUGAGAAAUGGAAGAAGCGUAAAGAUUUGGAUGAUUUGCUUUUGAGCAACAAACGCAAGCGAACAAUUGAGUUGGAUGAUGAGGAGGAGAAUGAUGCAUCAAGUGAUGACGGCAAGAGAAGCCCCACACCCAACUCAGUUUCAUACUCAAAGCCAAAAUGACCGGAUGGAUGCAAGAAAGACAAAACAGAAAAGAAAAAGAGGAAAGGAGAUGAUGAGCUCAAAAAUGCUAUGGAAGCUAUUGUAAAGGCAAGAAAAUAAGCCAACGAGGUGAGAAAAAUGGUAAGGAACCAAGAUGCCGCGGCCGAGGAGAGGAGGUUGGCGGACGAGGAGAGGAAGGUGGCGGCCGAGGAGAGGAAGGUGGCUUUGGAGGAGAGGAAGGUGAGAAAUGAGGAGUGAACAAGACUGUUGGAAUGGGAGAAGCACUUGUUCUUCUUGGACACAUCUAACCUCAAUGAGGCGCAAAAGGAGUAUGUCAAUCUUGCCAGUGAAGAAGUCUUAAUUCAAAAAAGAGCCAUGAUUCGUGCAAUAGGUGGCGGUGGCCUUGGCGCCAUGGGUGGCAUGGGUNNNNNNNNNNNNNNNNNNNNNNNNNNNNNNNNNNNNNNNNNNNNNNNNNNNNNNNNNNNNNNNNNNNNNNNNNNNNNNNNNNNNNNNNNNNNNNNNNNNNNNNNNNNNNNNNNNNNNNNNNNNNNNNNNNNNNNNNNNNNNNNNNNNNNNNNNNNNNNNNNNNNNNNNNNNNNNNNNNNNNNNNNNNNNNNNNNNNNNNNNNNNNNNNNNNNNNNNNNNNNNNNNNNNNNNNNNNNNNNNNNNNNNNNNNNNNNNNNNNNNNNNNNNNNNNNNNNNNNNNNNNNNNNNNNNNNNNNNNNNNNNNNNNNNNNNNNNGGCAUGGGUGCACCUCCGGCCGUCAUGGGCGGAAUGUCUUUUGAUGUGCCUCCUCACACACAUUCCCAUGAAGAUACCGUUGAAGAUCUUGUCAACACCGUCGGAGCUUCACGUGAUGCGGUGCGCGAUGAGGAGAGAGAGAAAGAUUCAUCUUCGGAGGCAGAAGAAUCGUCUUCCGAAGAUGAGGACGAAGAUGAGAACGAGGAUUGAUGUGUCUUUCAUUUGUGUGUUGAACUUGGUUUGCAUUUUAAACUUGGUUGGAUGAACUUGUGGGCAUGAUUUUAAACUCGUGGUAUGAACUUUUAUUCAUCAACUUGUUUGUGUGAAAUUUUAUAUGUCAUGUUCAUUGCAUUUUGAAUGUUUCAAAUUUAUUUUGUGUUCAAAUGCCAUAUAUGCAAUGCCCCGGCGAGUCGCGCGCGCUACAUUUUUUGCAAGUUGCUGAAGCGACGCGUGCGCCCUGCAUUUUAGCGCGGCUGUUGGAGCCAGCACUGGUGGCCACGCAAAACCAGACGAACGGCGCACGGCAAACUAAUUUUUAGCGCGCGGCGCGAAGCGCGGCUGUUGGAGAUGCUCUUAGGCAACUAGAGACAGCCAUCCCUCGUUGUAUUGAAAAGGGAGGCAGCUCAAGAUCAUCAUUUCAUUUUUCAAAAAAGAUAACCAUUUACCGUUAAAAAGUACAAAACCAAAGAGGGCCAAACAUAAAUACUGAUCAACCCGUUGUAUUGAAAAUAAAACGAGUUACAUGUUUUUCUAACUCAUCAAUUUCCUCUUUCUCCGACUCACAUAUCACAGUGAGUUUCAUGCGCCCACCAAUAAACCCCGUCAGAAAAAGCUCGGGUUAUGGAAUUUGGUGUGAAUGCCCAAUCCAUUAUGCAUCCAUCGAAUCUAUGAAUUUGGUGUGAAUUUGGUGUGAAUUUGGUGUGUAGUCAUGUACUUGAUCGGAUAUGUAAACACACCUUGCACCGAUCGUGCAUCCAUCGAAUCUAUGAAUUCUGGACAAACUCCAUUGAACUACGUAGUAAUUAAUAGAGUAGUGAAAAUUUGGCUCCUCUAUCUGUGCUAUACAUGGUAAAAUUUCACCAUUCCUUUUGUCUAGUUGUGUCAUAUACUAUUGAGUUUCAUAUGCCAACCAGUAGACUCCAUUUCUGUUGCCAGAUUCAGUGACCGCUACAUAAUCUGCUGGCUCAUGUAUUUUACCUCUGAAUUUUGAGAUGGCUCCAUGGAUUAAUGGACUAGUGAUUAGUAGUACGAGUAAUAAUUUUUGGUUGUAGCUAGAAGUUGAGGACGCUGCUGGCGUAGUAGGGAGACAAGCAGAGGCCCUCCAUCCAGGGGCUCCUCAGCUGCGUCAGGAACGGGUCCUGCAUCCACUCCAGCCCAGCGCCGCCCUUGGCCGUCUCCAGCUGCGGCAGCCGCAUCGCCGGCGGCCUCGCCACCGCCACGGCCUCCUCCUUCUUCACCCCGUGGUGGCCAUGGUGCUGCACGACGGCGUUGACGGCCUCGUUGGCGACCUCCGACGCGGAGGAGACGUCGGGCGAGCCGGCGCUGCAGUGGGAGGCCGUGGUGGUGGGCGGGGAGGAGCGCGUGCGCGCGAGCUCCUCCAUGGCGACCCGCUGCUCCAGCUCCUUGAGCGACACGGCCUUGCGGUACACCUUGCAGAGCACCACGUCCUGCUGCUCGCCGGCGCCGGCUCCGGCGAGGUCGGGCAGGCGGUACUCGUUCAUGACCCAGUCUGUCUUGGUGCCCCGGGGCGCGCGGCCCUGGUAGUAGACGAGCGUCUUCUUGAGCCCGACGAGGCGCUUGGGAUCGGCGGCGCAGCGCACGGCGCGGUCGGACCCCGUGGCCUUCCAGAACCCGCGCUCCGUGGUGCGGCUCGGGCGCCCGCCCCCGGCAACGCCGGACGCGUGCUUCCGGGCGCCGUCGCGGGGCACGAAGAAGUACCACUCGCGCUCGCUGGCGAUGGCGGCCAGGCCCGGGAGGUCCCAGGGGUCGUGCCGGUACAGGUGCACCGUGGGGAUGAUGUCGAACGGCGCCCUGAGCUGCUGCUGCUUGUUGUUUCGGGUGACGUGGUGCUUGAGGUAGAACUCCAGCAGCUCCUCCUCCGUGGGGUGGAAGCGGAACCCCGGCAGCUCCAGCGACGGCGCCGCCGCUGCUCCUCGCCGCUCCAUCUCGAUCAGAUCAGCUAGCUAGCUUGAGUAGAUUCCAGACUGGUAAGCGGUGGUGUUGGUUGUUGGAUGAAUGUGUUGGGAGAGCAGAGGAUGCUUGCCGCAUAUAUAGUCCGGCGGCGAAGCUCAAGUUGAUGAUGUAUAAGGCUUUACAAAAGGGAUUAAUUAAGAAAGGAAAUUGGUAGGAAGUUAUGUUCGUGUGUAGUGGUUCCCUGUUAAAAUCCACUAAGUUGUACUACAUCAUGAAGUUUCCCCUUGGCCAAUCCAAGUUAGUGGGAGAAUCAUGAUUGGUCAACCACUAGAGAGUAAUCAGCAGAGUAAAUUUUGACUUUGAAUCAGAAAUUUGCGGUAUUUUUAUUUUCGAACAUUGCGCAACAUUUUAGCUUCAUAAGAAAAACUGACCACAAAAAGGCUAAUGCAUGGCAAGUUGUCAUAGAAAUAUAGCAAAGAUUGGGCUCAAUGUCAAUUUUCAUUCCAUGCAAAGUAGAUCAUAGGAAUUGAAUUUUUUUUUAUCCUAGUACAAAUCAAACAAGGUCUAUGUAUAGAAAUAGAUCUAAAGAAUGUAAUCCUCCAAUAUUCUUAUUUUAUUCACAUUCACCCUUGAUGGUGAGGAUUUUCAUUUUGAGAAACACACCACAAACGUAUAAAUCCACAUACACGCACGCACAGUCACCCAAUAAACACACGCAUGUACACUCUCUCAUGUGAGCACCUAGAGACUGAGCUAGCAGGCCCGCCACAAAUGUCAUCAAAAAGCCUGGAAUAAAUUUAGGAAAAUGCGACCACUCGUGUCAAGUCCAGGACCUAAACCCAGGUAUGCACAUUCCACCAAAAGGAACCUAGGCAUCUCAGUUUGCUUAAUGGUGAUGAUUAAAAGGAUAAAUAGAAAGGAAACUAAGUAGAAGGUAUAGGUUGUGUUUUGCGUAGUGCUCCCCUGUUGAUGCCCUCUAUGCUAGCCUUUCAGGUGGAUUAUGGCAUUAUGCCAAAAAAGAAGGGGGUAGUCCUGUUCUUUUAACCAGUUCUUUUUGUCUAUUUUCCUCCGGCUAGACAACCUGUGUUUCUGUGUGUUUGUGACUUAUUUUUAUACUGUAAUAAUGAAACAAGUUUCGCAGCCCCCCUGACAGCAACCAUCAUAAGUUUGUGAUUAAUUAUGGAAAAUAGGUAUGUGUACGGAGCAGCAUCAUUUAACAGGGUUUUGCAGGAGCCGCCUUGACAGCUCAAGGUCGUGGAAGAAUCUAGAAAUCAAUCAAGCGUUGCAGAAUACUUAAAUUUGCCUGCUAUGUUUGUAAUAAUUAAAUAAUAGACAGUUUUGCUAAAGCACAUCUAAGUCAUAUGUCAUUGAUCUUAUAUUGAGAUUCGUGUGAAUAUAUUUUUUUCUCUUUUUUUUUCUCUUUUAUACUUGAUUCACUCAUUUAGAUGUGCAAUAACUAUAGCUCAUCUAGAUGUGCCCUAGACACACCCUUCGUAGAGUCACCAUUCCAAAUAAAAAUCAGGUGAGUGUGUGAUUGGAUAAUUAGAAGAUUUAGCGCAGCUAACCCGAUUGGGCUAACGUCGCUCUCAAGAGGCAUGAGGGGCCACUUGCAAAAUACUUAUAUAGGAGUAGUAUAUUCUGAGAAGCCACUCUUGACCGUAGGUCAAUCCUUUCGCAGCCAUACUUCCUUUAUGAAAAGGAUGCGGCUAAGCAAAGAUAAAUAAGCAGAGAUCCAUCCAUGCGUUCAAAUCCAGAUGAUUGGUCCAGCAGGCAAAGUGAGCAGUGAAGGUGAAGCAUUGCCUCGGUCGUAGGUAAGCUCCACUGACACUGACGCAUUUUGAAACGGUAAAAAGGUACUCCCUCCGUUUCGAAUUACUUGUCUUAGAUUUGUCUAGAUGCGGAGGUAUCUAGCACUAAAUAGAUCGUCAUGGUUCACAGCCUCAGCAAUGGAGUGCUGGAGUAGGCACAAAAAAGCUCACCAAGAUUUUCAGCAGGUCGUUGGUGCGUGCAUGUCCACCAGCGGCGAGCGGCCGUGACUUUCCACAGCAAAUUCCAAAAGGGGGUGACACACCGCACCACAUAUCCCCAAAUAUCCUUUUCCGUCCGUCCCUCCGGCCGUCGGUGUCGCUGAACGCAGAAAACCGUGUCGAAUUGUUCCAAAGCCUUGAACUUCUUUCCUCCUCUUUUUCCCCUGUGUUGACGAGCAGGAAAUUCAAGGUGGAAAAUCAUUACACAAAGACUAAUACUAAAACAAAAUAAAAUAACAUAAAUUAUACCGUAAUAAUAAUGGUUUUGAUGAAAGUGGUUCCACCUUUUUAGGUGCAUCGCAUUUGCAUUUGGCUUUGGGCAACUAUCCCUGGCCAAAUGUAGUGCUCCAUGUUGGUUGACACCAUAUAGAGGAAAAAAGGGUAAAGGAAGUUGCCUUCGACUUCAACGUCGUCUUGUGCCUCUUCGCAGGAAGCAACCUUGGAACCCUCCCAGAAAACGGCUCGAAAAGAAAUUCUCUCCUACAAAAAGUGAAGCGAUUAGGCUGCUGAAAUGCACAUUAUAUUUUGUGCUGCAGAAUAAAACAUGUAGGGACUAGUGUGUGUGUUUCACUGUCACAACCCACAGCCAUAGACUGGAGACUGGACUGCCUGCUGCUGAAAAUCAAGAAAGGGACGCCAUGCAGCAGCAUGCACACCAGCAAGCACCCAUCCGUCCAUCCAAUCCACGUCGCGUAGAAUCUAGACCGUUUCUCCUGCCAUCCGGCCCAGGCCGCUGUCGAUCUCAUCUCGGCCGGUCAAGUCCAUGCCUGUGUCGCCUCUGUUCAUGCCAAAAACGCAGUGCAGCCACUCACCUGGCACCACGGGCGCAAAAGGAGCAGAGGAAGAAGAUGGCCAUGGCAGCUUGCGGUACUUUGAAACGGUCCAAGUCUUGGGCGAUGCGCACUUCUCAUGCCCACCGUGGCCUCGAUGGUCAGUGCCGUGAGCGAUGAUGACGACAAUGGUCGCCUUUUGGUUGUGGAGGAUCCAACACCUGGAACAAGUUAGUGAUGGGUUUCUUUCAACCGGAGAAUUUUGGGACAUGAUAAGAUGGCUUACCUUUGUGUGCCACCAUGACGCCUUGUCUCAGGAAAGGAAACAAGGACUGAAGCUUCCCCAGCACUGCAGUUAUUAGCACAAAAAGAUAUGUACAAUCUAGGCUUUCUUGGCCCUGCAGUUAUUAGCAAAAGAAGAUACAAUCCAGGCUUAUAGCAAUAUGCAUCAAUUAUCAUGUAACUAUGUAAGGCAAAAAGAAAUUGCAAACAGACAACUGUUUUUAUUCUGGGCUGAAAGCCCGAAACUUCCUUUAUGACAGAGGACUCGGGAUGGCGCAUAUUUGGCACAUAUAGCCGGACUCGACCCGCACCAUCACCUCUUAUUUACCUUUCUAUAUAGUAGGUAACCUCAGCAAAGUCCAAGCCAGAAUCUCAAGUCUGCACAGUUUGACAGUAUUGCUACUACUAGCAAUAGCAGGAAUAUUACAAGGACGUCGGUACACGGUUCUGAUCAAGCGUUGAUAUGGUGCUUAUUUGUUAUCUUUGUCAGGUGACCCGAAGACAAAGUUAAUUCCCUUCUUGCUGGAGUCACCUCCUGUAGACGCCUUUUUGGAACCAGAAGUCGCCUCACCAUCUGCUGCGUCUUUGACACGAGUGGCUUCAACAUCGAUGUACCCAGGAGCAGCUUUGCCCCAAGAAGCAGCUCCUUCAUCCUUAGGCUUUUCCGCUUUUUCCUCGACGCGAUAGUAAGCCUGGCAAGAGAGCAUUUUGUGAGGUUGUGCUGCGGUUUUUUGUUGCUGUUAAUUAUUUAUUACUAAACCCUCUCAGUAAUUAGCAUUACCACACAAGUGCGGGGUGGAGACAGGACUUUGAAUGAAUUAGGGCGGUUGUUGAAGUUUGUUUCAGGUACUCCUGGUACUCCUUCAGGUGACGUGAAGUGAUCGUUGUCAUGGGCCACCUGCGAUGCAGCACAGAUCAACACUGCAAAUAAGAUUAUCUGAUGCAACCUUGAUGGCCCCUUCUAUAGAAGAAUAUAGGUGUGCAAAACAGAUCUUGAACAAUAUUAACAUUGCUUACUCUUCCAUGUCCACCAAACAUCAGAGCAUCGGAGUCCAGAGCUACCUUGUACUUCCCAGGCAAAUCACAUCCGACUUUGUAACUGCGUAUUUUUAAAGUGGAAACGAUUAAGCACAUUAUACAUUAUAAGCAGAAGAAAUAUUGAAAGGCAAAGCUUGCACAAGAGAUCAGUUACCCAUCAUAAGUUUUACUGGGAUGAAAAUUGAAGACGAAGACCAGAUCUCCACGUUCAAAUACAAUAAUCUGGAAAGGAAGUUGGAUUGAGUCCAUAGGCCAUUUUGAGACAACAAUUGUUCAUAUCAAAAAGAUACGGUUUCAACUUGUUUGGUAACAUAAAACGCACAAGUCAGAGUUGCUAUUCUUAAGAGUAGGAGUGAAUCAAAUGAUGCAACAACUGCCCUGACUAAACAUUGUAUAGUUAACUACCUUCUUUUCCUCAUUCAUGUCGCUGACAAUCUGCUUUGAUGACGAUAGGAAGGAAAACUUGUCGUCGAGCGCAUUCAUUGCUUGAUCAAAUGCGUUCAUGUACUGCUCAAAUUAUAUAUGUUAGGCGAGAAAUACAAAAUGCUUGAAUGCAGAAAAGCUGGAUAAAAUAUGAGAAAAUUCGUGAAAGGCUAUUAUUAUUUAUCAUAUGCAGAGAAAAAUAACUUCCUGUUAACAAAAGAACACAGCCUUCAAAUAAAAUUUGGGAAAAUGCAACGUCAAUUUCUAUAUGGAUAAUGUAUGUACUGCAUAUCAAUAAUGUGUAAGAAUCAAUAAAAUUAGUAGGUUAACACAGGCAAGAUUUGGUCAUCGUACUGACCAACAACUAGUAGAUCAGCAAUUUAGUUUAGUUUGAAAGGCUUAAUAUGAAAUGUUAGAAGGGAGAAUUUAUCCCAACACAGAAGUUGGAACACAGUGUAAAUAAGCUACAGUCAGAGAUGAAGGAACUAAGUGAGGUCAAGAUCCCAAGAGAGCUACCAGACCAGAAACUGUAAGAAUGUACAUAGGCAUUACCUUGUAUCGUAGGUGAUCAAUGUCUGAGAGGCUCCACUGGCGUCUGCAUUUAUCAUAACUCCAGUUGUUGCCUUCUCUUGGAAAGUCAAUCCAUUCUGGGUGGCCAAACUAAAAGGAAAUUGCACCAUCAGUACGAGUUAGAAAACAGAUAUAAAACAUGAGUAGGUUAAGAAAGACAUGCCAACAUCUCUAUCAUGUUUGCAUCAUUUACGGAGAAACAUUGGUAUAAAAUAAAAUCUUUUAAACAGGGAAUAUUCAUAAGUGUGUGAUGUCGGCAUAUAUGUAACUGGAAUAAGAGGAUCCAACAAUAGACUGCCACGCUAAAAAACAACAAUGAUUAGAAUAAAGAUUAACUACCGGCACAGCUAAAUCAUAUGUGAUAACAUGGAAAUAGCUGGGGAGUACUUGGCUAUCUUAGAAAACAGACGUUUAAACUUUUCGCCCUGCCCAAAGGAUUUUUUUAAGGAAUCCUGAAACAUAUUGAUCAGAAAUAAGUUUUGACAGAUAACCAGAUAUUACCUCAUUACCCAUAAAAUUCAAGUAGCCAUCACCUCCAAGGGCCAUGGUGAUGAAGUGAAUCAUCUGAAAUAUUUGUAACAAAAUAAGCCCAAUGUACCAAAAGGGACUGGAAUACAUUGUCUUCAAAGGCUAAGCAGAACUCUGAGUAACAACCAACAUUACAAUACUCGCCUGGAACUAGAACAUCAAAUUCAGGAAUACUUAAAACGAAUCAAACCUUUUGAAGUGCAAUUCCACGAUCAAUUGUAGGUGAAGCAGGCUGCAAGUCUGACAUGCCAGUAUACAUUUCCUUGUCCAUCAAGAGAAAUGCCAUAGUCUUGUCGCCAACAAUAGACUGAAAAUUUGCGUGAAAAAUAACUGCUUAGUUGUUUCAAUAGACGAACACAAAGUCAACAAUAUAUAACUGCAGAUCUUCGGACAUUCUUACAUAGUUCAUAAUAGCUGGUUAGUGGGUACUAUCACUAGUUAUCAGAAUAUAACUAACCUAAUUCGAACUUGUGAAGUAACUAAAAGUCACCAAGCGAAGUGUUUAUUCUCAAAUUUGUCUACCAGGCAAAGAAAGUGUCUCACCUUUGAACUGUAUGUUCUUAGUCCAGAGCCCCAUAAAAAAAGAACACAUACUCAUGCACAGCGACAAAGGAGGGAAAACAUACCUGAUCGUGGCUCUCAGCAUAUGCAAUGCACUUUUCCGUAUAUCUCCUGUUGGUCAGAGUAUGUGCUAUUGCACUCAUUGACCAUUCAAGGUCAUCUUUGUUCUUCAAGUAGUCAAUCCAUCUAUCAGGAAUAGCCAUAGCAAGGCGAUAGUCAAACCCUACUCCACCUUCAUCAACUGACCGACAAAGCACUGGCAUGCCUGAAACAUCUUCUGCAACAACAGUUGCUUCUGGCAAGAUUUUGUGCAUUAAAUGGUUCGCAAGCAUCAUGUAAACAACUGCAUCUACAUCGGUAUCCAAACCAAAAUAUUCCUUGUAAUUUCCAGCGAAUGACAUAUUGAUACCAUGGUGAUUAUAUAGCAUGGAUGUUACUCCAUCAAAUCGGAAGCCGUCAAACAUGAAUUCGUCCAUCCAAUAUCUCAGAUUAGAAAGAAGAUACCGUAAGACCUCCCAAUUGGCAUAGUUGAACAGGCGACUAUCCCACAGUUUAUGAUAACCCCUUUCUCCUGUAUGGAAAUAGGACUCCUGUGUGUUUUGUCCAACAUCAUAGCCAUUUAGACCAUCUGUCAUAUUACUGCUCGCAUGGCUAUGGACAACAUCCAUCAGAACACGCAACCCUAAGCUAUGUGCCUUGUCAACAAGAUAUUUGAGGUCCUCUGGUGUUCCUGAUCUGCUGCUAACUGCGAAGAAAUUCGUCACAUGGUAUCCAAAAGAAGCAUAAUAUGAAUGUUCCAUGAUUGCCAUCAGCUGAACUGUGUUGUAGUUGUUUGCCUUUAUGCGCGGUAACACAUUGUCUGCAAAUUCUCUGUAUGUGCUUACUUCAGGCUUUUCACCACUCAUCCCCACAUGAGCCUCGUAAAUACGUGGAGCGUCAGGCUUUCGAGGCCGAGGAUGCUUAAACACAUACCUGCAAAACGAGCAAUGAAAGUAUCAUGUCUCCACAUUAAUUUAAGUUAAUUGUGUGGAUUUUACUUAGAUUUCUUGCUCUCAAGCCAGUAAAAGUAGACCUUUCACCAGUUGGUGGAUCCCAGUGAACACCGUCAUAUGGAGCUCCAAAUUUAGAGGCAUCAAAAGUUGCAUAACGAAUCCAUGCAGGAACCCGAUCGACCCAUAGUCCAUCUCCACGGUGAAAUCGAAAUUUAACCUUGGAAUUAUGGGGGAUGGCAGGUUUCCCAUUGACAUGGGAAAUCCUGAUUGACCAAACACCAAAAUUAUCCUUUGUCAUCCUGUGCCCAGAGCCAUUCCAGUUGUUGAAGUCACCAAUAAGUUGUGCAUCCCUACAUCCAUAAAGCAAAGACUUGCAAGUAAAUGCCUGAAUCAGCUAAAGAUAGUUAGAAGCAAGUAUUGCCAUAAAAGAAAUGAAUACCAACAAACUAUGACCACAAUCAGAAAAGGGAAAAACAUAUUUCAUAUUUUCUUUCUAGCACAUCAUGAUCUACCUGUCAUGCUUAACUUAACAGCAGAGGUCAUGCCGUGAAUGAAAACUUGAAACAGCUAUCUACUCUUUACUAGCCACAACCAGAAAAGACAAGACAUCUUCACUGGAAAAAAAAAUGGAAAAUACUCAAACUCUUAAGACAGUUUCAUCAGCACUUCAUAGGUUAACCAAUGACCAUUACAAUCAGCUGUGUGACAUCAUUAGAACUUACUUUGCUGCAGGGGCCCAUUCCCGGUACACAGUUGCGUCAUUUUCUGUGUUGAUCCCAAACUUCAAGUAGCCUACAAAACAGAGUUACAUUAUGCCCUUUUGUGCUGCGGACGCCACGAAACGAGUAGUAUUGUUUCGAACGCAUGAACGAAAGCUGACCUUUAGAGAACUCUUCAAGGCCCCCCUCGUAUUUCUCGAUCGAAUGUUUCUGUUCAAGAUACUUUUUCAUCCUGUAACUGAAGUGGUCCUUGAAGCCGGCGAACUUGGGAUCCAGAUCGUAUAUCGGAAGGUCGCCGAAGCCAUCUUCAGCUGUUGCCAUGGUGUAGUCUCUUGGCGCAGACACGGGAACAGAGAACUUGCUCUUGGCCUUCCAAAAAUGAACGACAGUUAGAGCGAGCGGCAGAUUUACAACAACUAAAGAAGUAAUGGAGAUACAGCACAUGAACAUUUGCCUAUAUCAAUUAAAUAUAUUUGUCACAAUGCAGCAACUAAUUUGGUUGAUAUAUUCAUCACAGAUUAUUGGUUGAUAGAUUCAGCAAAGAUUAUACGCAUUUGGGUUGUGCAGAAAGUAAUACGGUUGAGAUACCGCAGGAGGGGAUAUUGUGCGUACGGAUCGCGUAAAGGCAGAGAAAUUCAAUCGAAAUCGCAUCCACUUGUUCCUCAGUGGACGGCGUCAGGUGGACGAAUCCCAGCCUCAGGUUUAUUAGUAGUAUAUAUACUACAGUAUUUCCAAUAACCAGCGUGGAUCAGAUUCAGUUUGCCCGGCGACAACAGGGGAUCAGGGUCGCAAAUCUGGGUAGACAGGGGAGAGGGCUCACCUUCCGCGGCCACGACCAGCGAAGCGAAGACGGCGCGGGCACCGCGCUCAGCCGCACAUUGCCGCCGCCCUGCGCGCGCGCGGCAUCGCAUCAGGGAACCUCCGGCUGGCAGAACGGAGGCCGGAAACGAAAGAAAAGAAAAGAAAUGAAGAUCCCGAGUGACUCACCGAGAUCCCCGGUCCGGGCCGGUCAGCAGCGGGACGGGAGGGGCGCGGCGGGAGAGAGGGCGAGGGCGAGGGCGAGGAGGAGGCGGUGAGGCAGAGCAUCUUCGUCGAUGGCGGCGGACGGGGAUCCCAUUGUCCGCGGGGCCCGUGGCCCGGCGCGCUUUAUAGCGGCCGGAGGGAGGAGGAGGAGGAGUGUGGCGCCGGAGACGCAACGGAAAGCCGUGAUUUUUUCCGGUCCGUGGCCGCUUUGGACAGGGGAGGAGAACAGUGGAGUGGAAGCAACGAGAGGGAGGGAGGGGGAAACGGGGGCGAGGGAGAAGCGGAUCUGUGGGCCCGGGCGGGCCGGGGUCGUGCGCCGCUGGGCCGGACGGAAGCCAUGGGCCCUCACGUGUCUCGCCACUUUCAGCCUUCGUCACUUCUUUUUUCCAGCCUUCGUCGUCGGUUUUGCCAAAAAGUGUAAGAUGUUUUUUUUUGCUCUAAAAAGGAACAUCCCAAUCGCUAAAAAGGCAUUGCUUUCACAAAAGAAACUAUGGAAGGACUGCUUUUUCUAAAGAAGGAAAACUAUAGUAUUCGCAAAAAAAAGGAAGGAAAACUAUAUAAAAAUAUCACUCCUUGCAUUGUCCGGCAAAAAUAAUUACUUUUUGCGAAGACUAGAAGGACAUGUGAGACGCCUAUGGUAUGGUAUGGCUGGUUGGAGCUUGUCGGCGUGGGAAAACCAAACGAGAUUUUGUAGGGCCUGCCUAUUCGCUAGGUCGCUGGAAAAAAAAUGGUGUACAAUGUUUCGCCGGCUACUGCUCUUCUUUCUCCCUUAGUUCUUCUACCCUCUCCCUACUUUGCUAACGUGUUGUCUCACGCAUCUCGCAACCCCCUCACUUCUCUCGUGUCAACCGCAAUGUCCCCGUCUACGGCGAGGUCUCUCUAGGGGCGCCAUGCUCGUCCCCAUCUCAGCCUCGGAGCUUCACGCUACCUGACUCUCUUUCUUUGAGUUGGAAACCGGAUAACAUUACUUUUGUUUUGAGGCAACCGCCAAAAUAGCAGACGUGGUUUCAUAUGGUACAAGAUUAUAGCAUGUGGUUGGGCUAGAUCGGAGUUUUAUCAUAUACCUUCCUCAAAAAAAAUAAGAUCGGGCGUUCAAAAUUUGAAGUGGUUGCAUUGGUCGUAUCUAUAUAUUCAGAACUAUAUCCCAUAUUGGUAUGUUUCGAUUAAAUUAUUUUACCGUGUAAACAUACUUCUCACGUUAGUGUUUACACUUUCUAUGUUUGUGUGUGCAUUUCCAUAUUAGUACUAGGAAAGGAUGAAAUUCGAAGAAAACAAGAAAAAAAAGGGGGAAUGAAAAAAGGAUAUAUAAAUCUGGAACAACCAAGAGAGAGAGAGAGAGAGAGAGAGAGAAAACCAAUAGUCCAACUACCAUCGCUCCCGCGAAUCAACCAAUGGUUGGAUGGUUAGAAGGACUGUGGUCUCCCUAGCUCACCAGGGUUCAAGUCCCCGUGCUCGCCUUUAGUGCUCACAGGGAUACGGUGUGCGUAUGUGCAUUCAUAGAUGUGAGUGUAUGCGUGUGUAUAUGAGUGCUUGCAUAUGUACUAUGUUAAAAAAAACUACAUGGGACAACCCUGCACGACAAGUGGAAGACGCAAAAAGCGGCCUUAGAGCAACUCUAGUAGAGUCAUCAUAUUUCCGGUCACCAUAGCUGUGGCGAUUGUGCACAACCACGUAGUCUCUAUAUGCGCCUCCAUAUUUGUAGUUUUAUUUGUUCCUUUUUUCAUUUGCUUCAAAUUUGUAUGUUAAGUUUAAGGUACAUUUAGUUGAACCAAACCAGCUCAAACCAUCAUCAAACAUGAUAACCUUAUAUUACUGGCCAAAAGCUGUUGUAUUACAUUUUUUGCGACUUCAAAUGUCGUUGAGUGACAUUUUUGGGAUGUCGCUAUUCGACAUUCCUAUGUUCUACUAUUUGUUGUACUAUUGCCUCCGACGUCCUCUAGCCCCCCUCCUCCGAGAGAUUGUUGAGGAAGAGGUGGAGGCAAGCUCCCGCGACUCCUUCUCAUCGAUGGUUGCAGGGCAGAACUCCCGACUGAUGCGCUCCUGGUUGCGCUCUUCGAGGGUGGAGAGCCGCAUCAGGACGUCGAUCGGGUCGUCGACCUCCGACUAGUGGGGAGAUAGGCCAGCAGUGUCGAUGGGGACGACCUUGUUGACGGGUAUGAUGGCGCCUGAGGCACCAUAUCAACGUUGCACGCCGCCAUGGGAGCCGAUAAGUCAGCCACGAGAGAAGGAAGCGCCACACACGCCAUUGUGGGAGGAGGGAUCGCCUACUGCCAUUGGGGGGAGGGCGCACCGCCGGUGCACUACAAUUGGAUGUGAUGGCAUUGUGGCGAAGAGGGGAGGACAUGACUAGGAGGAGACAAUGAGGAAGGAGGAGACGACAGCUAGGGUUUCAAUGAUGCCAUCGAGCUUUUGUAGUCGGGGGUGAUGCCAUGUGACGGCCAUCUGAACUACUUCCUCAUGAUUCUGAGGGGAGUGGGUGCACCACUAAUGGGAGGGUGCUUAGCCGUCGUGUCGCCCCACUCUCUGGUGAUUAUCUGAUCGUUGUAGAGCAUGUACAUGUGGCGCUCUGUGUAAUAUCCCGUCAGCGGCGCAAGGAGGAAGAAGCUAAGACUUCCCUUAUGCGCUUGUGGUUGGAUAUGGAGUGAGCGCCAAACGAGGCAUCCAUAGCCUCCAUAUUGGGAGGCUAUAUAAAAGCUUAUUUGUGGAGCAUAUGCCGACUCUGCUAAAGUGCCAUUUCGGGCCAAAAGUGCCAUGUGUGCAUUAUGGCGAUUGGGCCGAUAUAGCAACUUUUCUAGAGUUGCUCUUACUAGCCUUAGCUUAACCUUGUGUGGAAUUACCUUCCCCGAGUCAUUACAAAAGACAAGAAGGAUAGACACAAUAUUUUGCAACACAGAGAUACAUGGUUUAUAGAAUAAACAUGAGAGAGUGCAUGGUCAUGCAUGAUGACAUCUUUUGUUUGUAAAUCUAUGUUUGAUUAACUUUUAGCUUAAAUGGAAGUAAUUCUUUACGAUUGCAGUAAAAAAAUCAUUUUUAAGUUAAUGUUGUGAGAAUAUAUCUUCCUAUCAGCCCCACAUAGUCCUAUAUGGCAUAUAUGAGGCAAAUUGUCAAAGUCAAGUCAAGUAAACUAAAGUCCAAGCAACGAAUCAUGGUUAAUAAGUCCAAGAAGAAAUCAGGUAAGAGGAAAAAAAUCAUAGGAUGAAGAACUAAUAGAAAUAAACUUGUUAGGUGGUGGGGAGGGGUAAAUAUUUGGGCUAGUCCACCAUGUAUCAUGCACCACCCUCCCUCUCCUCCCCACUCUAACAUGUACUAUGUUGAAUACCAACAACCUUUAUGCCCCCCCCCCACCACCACCACAAAUUGGUAUUUAAGCAUUCACUCUCACUUGAAUAAAAUGCAAGAAAAUAGACAUCCAGGGAAUCCAAUGAAAAGCUUAGAGAAAGGACUCGAAUUUGAGAGACCUAGAAGGGUAGGUGCUGAGGACAUGGGAAGCGAAGGUUCGAAGCAACAUUUGUUAAGUGGGUCUAGCCAUUAGUUGAAUCACUUCACUCUUCAGGAGAAGGGAAGUCUCAAGGAGGCAUUUCCUUAAUCAUACCUACUUGCUAGCUAAGGCGCUUCUGUUGGAAAUAUGCCCUAGAGGCAAUAAUAAAUUAGUUAUUAUUAUAUUUCCUUGUUCAUGAUAAUCGUUUAUUAUCCAUGCUAGAAUUGUAUUGAUAGGAAACUCAGAUACAUGUGUGGAUACAUAGACAACACCAUGUCCCUAGUAAGCCUCUAGUUGACUAGCUCGUUGAUCAAUUGAUGGUUACGGUUUCCUGACCAUGGACAUUGGAUGUCAUUGAUAACGGGAUCACAUCAUUAGGAGAAUGAUGUGAUGGACAAGACCCAAUCCUAAGCCUAGCACAAAGAUCGUGUAGUUCGUAUGCUAAAGCUUUUCUAAUGUCAAGUAUCAUUUCCUUAGACCAUGAGAUUGUGCAACUCCCGGAUACCGUAGGAAUACUUUGGGUGUGCCAAACAUCACAACGUAACUGGGUGGCUAUAAAGGUACACUACAGGUAUCUCCGAAAGUGUCUGUUGGGUUGGCACGAAUCGAGACUGGGAUUUGUCACUCCGUGUGACGGAGAGGUAUCUCUGGGCCCACUCGGUAGGACAUCAUCAUAAUGUGCACAAUGUGAUCAAGGAGUUGAUCACGGGAUGAUGUGUUACGGAACGAGUAAAAGAGACUUGCCGGUAACGAGAUUGAACAAGGUAUCGGGAUACCGACGAUCGAAUCUCGGGCAAGUACAAUACCGAUAGACAAAUGGAAUUGUAUACGGGAUUGAUCGAAUCCUCGACAUCGUGGUUCAUCCGAUGAGAUCAUCGUGGAACAUGUGGGAACCAACAUGGGUAUCCAGAUCCUGCUGUUGGUUAUUGACCGGAGAAUGUCUCGGUCAUGUCUGCAUGGUUCCCGAACCCGUAGGGUCUACACACUUAACGUUCGAUGACGCUAGGGUUAUAAAGGAAGUUUGUAUGUGGUUACCGAAUGUUGUUCGGAGUCCCGGAUGAGAUCCCGGACGUCAAGAGGAGUUCCGGAAUGGUCCGGAGGUAAAGAUUUAUAUAUGAGAAGUCCUGUUUUGGUCACCGUAAAAGUUUCGGGUUUUUUCAGUAACGUACCGGGACCACCGGGAGGGUCCCAGAGGUCCACCAAGUGGGGCCACCAGCCCCGGAGGCUUGCAUGGGCCAAGAGUGGUAAGGGACCAGCCCCUGAGUGGGUUGGUGCGCCUCCCACAAGGCCCAGGGCGCAGCUAGGAGGAGAAGGGGGAAACCCUAGGCUCAGAUGGGCCUAAGGGCCACCCUAGGGGGCGCCCCCCCUCUCCCCCUCUUGGCCGCCCCCCCUUUCCCAUCUAGGGCUGCCCCCCCCCCCCAGGGGUGGGAACCCUAGAGGGGGCGCACCCUCCUCCCCUCCUCCUAUAAAUAGUGAGGCCUAGGGGCUGCCCAUAACGCGAUUUGAUCUCUCCUUGUUGGUGCAUCCCUCCCUCUCUUUCUCCUCAUAUCUCGCGGUGCUUGGCGAAGCCCUGCUGGAUCACCAUGCUCCUCCACCACCACCACGCCGUUGUGCUGCUGCUGGAUGGAGUCUUCCUCAACCUCUCCCUCUCUCCUUGCUGGAUCAAGGCAUGGGAGACGUCACCGGGCUGUACGUGUGUUGAAUGCGGAGGUGCCGUCCGUUCGGCACUAGGAUCUCCGGUGAUUUGGAUCACGACGAGUACGACUCCUUCAACCCCGUUCUCUUGAACGCUUCCGCUUAGCGAUCUACAAGGGUAUGUAGAUGCACUCUCCUUCCCCUCGUUGCUGGUUUCUCCAUAGAUAGAUCUUGGUGACACGUAGGAAAAUUUUGAAUUUCUGCUACGUUCCCCAUCAGCUUCUCCUUUCGGCUCUUCUAACAUAGGAGUACUUUAUACUCAAAGAAGGCAUGACCGGGCGUAUUUAACAAUUGUCGAUGUGUCAACUCUGUCUGGUAUAUGAUAUCCUUCACAUAAUUUCGCGUACAUUCUCUUCCUCUCGAUAAAUUUACAUCAUGAGUACUACCAUAGGAUCUACCCCUAAUAAUUUGUUGUCGCCAUGAUGACAACAAAUCUUGUGAUUUUAUUUUGGAAUCAGGCCGUUCAUUUGGGAUAGGUGACUUUAGUCGAAUUGUAUCCUUAAGUAUUAUCUUUAUCUUGAAGAAUCAUAUUUCCUUUUUUAGCGAAUAAUAAUAUAGAACCAAACAACAUGUGCAAAUUAUCUCUAUUUAUUCAUGCAAUUCACUGGUUUGGUAGCUCAUUUGAGUAUGGACGCUCACAUGUUAGGGCAACAAGGGUAUUCACCUAGAGACCUCUCACCUAUAUAUGAGGCCUAAUCAAUUGUACAUGGUUACAUUGCCCCUACCAAGCAAUGUAGCUAUUACAUUCGAUGAGUUUUCGAAACAUCUUGUCAAAUACAUGAAUAAUGGUAAGUUAGGUUAGUUUCUAUUGGUUAGUGGUCAAGUGGUGUUUUGAGUUUACUUUCACAAAAGACAUGUUACACUCGCCAUAUGGAAAUUAAACCAUGUAAAAAUACAAGAAUUAUCCAUUCAAAUGAACACACAAACAAUGCCAAGUAAGAAAGGCUACAUGCCGGAAUCUAAAGACAUACCCGUUGUGGACAACUCAUACAUCUGAAACUAGGAUUUUGUUCUAUUAGCAUGUAUUGUAUUACUAGUUAGACCUGUGUACUGUAGAAACAUCUAACAAGAUAUUUAUAGACAUUACCAAAGGUGCACACACACGCAGACACACAUACAACCUAUUGUACUAAAUCUAUGUGACACAAGCUAUUUCAUAUGUGAAUUUGCCAUUCUUUCAUGGUUUAUUUUAUUAAUAGGUCGGAUUCAAGUUCACGGAAUGACCUAGCAUAAAAUUUUAAAAAAAUAGCACAAUUUCAUAAUAAAAUAGAGUUCUACAUUAAUAUUUAUAUAUUUAUAAUUAUAGAAUUUGAGUUUUAUAUCCAUAAAAUUCCGAGCUUAAAACAUUCUUAAUGCUAUUAUGUGGUAACCUUUGUUAUAUAUAUAGUUCAAUGAUUGUUCCAAUUAUAUGAAAAAUGUAUUGGUUAAAAAGCUAGCAUAGAUAUAAUGGUGGUGACUUAUAACGAAGUAAAGAAAAAUAUUAUAAAUAGGCAAGAGCCCAUUGUGAAUGAUAUAUUCUCUCAAUGUAAUUUCCGUUCUAAAGGGUAAAUAAUUCAAAAUUCAUGAAUUUAGUAGCUUUUGAAUAAUCUUUUGGUUUUGAAGAAGUAUGAUACUUGAGUAGAGUCAACCCCUAAGCAAAUGGAUGAUAGUUAUGCCGCAAUUAUGUCUUUUUGCGGGAAAAUUUUCAUAUUGUGAUUUUUUAUAUUUGAUUUUAAUAGAACUUGAGGAUUUAACUGUUAUCUUAUUUGGAGAAGCACAUUAAACCAUAAAGAUUAUGUAUACAAAAUAAACAUCAACCAUUUGUAAGUCUCGAUUUAUUCUCUAAUUUCUUAUAUCCCAACCUAGUUCCGCUAAGGUUCUGAUCUUGCUGACCUCAAGCAGGGGCAGAUCUAUCAUGGAGCAUGGGUGUACAUAUAUACACCCUAUUCUUUGCAAAAAAAAUAACAUAUAUAGGUGUACAUACAUAUAUGACAGAAAUAUCAGCCUAAAGGCCUAAUAAACCCAGUUUAGUAGCAGCCCACUAGCCCGCAAAAGGCAGCAAAUCAGCUACUUUACUGUCCAUGCAUGCACACAUGAGGCUCACGUAGCCAGAAGCCAGCUUUGCCUCAAAAGAAAAAGUCAUCCAGCCAGCUAAAGUGUCACUUAUUACGGAUAUACGUAGAGAUGAGGUGUUUACAUUGGUCAAGCUGUUCAAAAUGGUCCUAAUAUUACCAGUAGCAAUAGCGAGUGUUGAGAAAAGAUUCUCUCAUCAUUGACAUUUGUGAAGAACAAUCUACAUGACAAUUUAUAUUUCAUAUUUCUAUUACAAUUAACCAAUUGGAUUCUCUAUUAGGGAGCAAAAAAUAUUUUGAACACCCAAUGUUGAACUCCUAGGUCCACCACUGACCUCAAGGGUUUCAUAACUAUUAGAUUAACCUAAAACAAUCAUCUCGAUCAUUUUUUUUCUUCUGAAAUCAAGUAGAUCAUAGUAUAUAUUUAAUUUAUCUUCUUUAGGAAAUUGACAAGUUAGACCGUCAAAAACUAAUCAGGAGAAAAAAUAUUUUGAAAUCUAUUGGAAAUAUAGCAUUAAAAUAUGUUAUAGGAGUGCACAUUAUCUCGUAAAAUGAAGAAAUGAUGGCAUUGAUAUUGGUGCAAUUGACUAUGACAAAUAUGUAGUUAAGAAGCACAAAUCAGUCUUGACAAGGAAAAAGUUGCAUUUGAGAAUGACAAAGAUGCAGUCACCCAAGUCUGCAUGUGUCAAAUGUAUCAUCUCAAUUGCAUCACGUGUCUCGACUAUAUCAUGUGCUUAUUGCACCACGUGUUUACUGAUCUUGCAUGUUUACUAUAUCUCACAUGUUUGGAGCACUUUAUUUGUUUAUUGUAUAAUGUUUACUAGUUAAGGAAGUACUAAACAUUUACUAGGGAGUCAUACUUGUAAACAGAGACAAACAUUUGCAACUCAAUAUAUGUGAAGUACAUGCACCACAAUGAGAUUGAACAUCUAGAUACCAAGGACUCCGAUGAGCAUAACUUACUUCCAAGCUUUCGAUUCACCCUGCCAUUUUAUGAUUUUAUCGUGAUGGGUGUUUUAUUUUUCUACAGGCAUACAUCACAUCUAGACCAGCCUAAUCAUGGACCUUUCUUGUAGUAGUUAAUUUAAGGCAACCAACAACUGGUAGAGAGAAGUUACGAUGAAUAGGACACGAUAUACUAGUCUGCAAGUUGGCCAACCUGAGCCUUGCGAAAGAUAGCAAGAAAACAAGUCGAAGGAGAAGAAGAAAAAUGAAGAAUAUGAAAACAUUAGUGAUUGUUUCCUUUUUUAUUUGGGAAUAAGACAACCAAAUAAAAUGACGGCCUGAUGAAAACAUCGUCGAGAGAUAAUGUUGUUGUGUGGGUUCUCUAGACAAUUGUUUUGGCAGUGGAGCUCAAGUGCUUUCUUUAUUUUGAAAAGAAACACAAAAAAUAAAUAUGUACAUGUGUCAUAAUUAAUAACUAUCAUGUAGAUAUGAGAACACUAUGGAUGGAUGAGCAAAAUUUAGCGGAACGGGAGAAGCAUUAUCACCGAGCUUAGAGGAAGAAACAAAGCAUGGUGACCCAAAAUUUUAAAUUUAAAUAUCAUCUUCAUUGCUUGCUAUUUUGCAUCACCAUAUUUGUCGUGUUUGUGCAGGCGGCUUUCGAAAAAAAAUCAUAAUAUCUAGCAGGUGGCUUGCAGUGCAUUCUAGUACAAAUACUUUGGAUCUUUUAACUUAUAAUUUUUUUUGAAUAUUUCUAAAAUUAAAGAGCUUACUGGAGCUUGGCUGCUAAAAUUUCAUGCUCGUGCAUUCCGGCAUAAUACGAAGAAACUAAAAAACACCAAAAAAUGCAGUCAUCUACUACAUGUGAUUGCACUCAAGAACAGAAAAGGCUAAAAUGUUGGUGGCUUGGUUAUUUGCAACACAACACCAUAGCCGACUGAUGUCCCAGGGUAAAAGAGGGGAUUUAUUCGAGAGAAAACUCACAAGAGGAGAGAUGAUCGGGAUGGGGGUGUUGUGCCACAUUGACGGUCCAGGAGAGCCCGUGCGUAUCUAACAAUUUGUCACUUAAGAGUUGUUUAUUGGGAUCCACUAGCUUGUGCAGCAAAAAAGAACACUAAAGUGUACUUUUUCCUACAACUGUUUUUUUGUUCAUGUGGGUGAUGCUGUUUGUAGUGCAAAGUGGUUGCCAUCUGUUCAGAGCUUUUGGUGACUCGUGAUGGUGGAGAGAAAGAACUAGCUGCUCGUGUCGUCUUCCGUCUAAAGCUUCUAAACAACUGGAGAUGAAACAAAACGGGCAGAAGAUUGCCCAUGCCAUGCCACUUUACAGCUUGCAAAGUGUGGAUGCAUUCUCAUGGCACAAACAAGCAACAAAAAUGGUACCUCAUCGUUUAAACAUCUACUGAUUCUUUUAUAGCAUGGCUUUGUUAUUUUAGCUACAUAAAGACAAUCCAAAUAAAGGAAGGAGGCAAGGUAGGUGCGCUCUGCCUCCUGAGGAGGUAGGGCUGCUGUUGAGGAGGGCAAUGGCGCCUUGCUAGAACCGGCGCCAAGGUCAUCCAGACUACGCGUAGCGCAGGACAGUCGACAAGACUAGUUGCAGCAAUAUAUAUGGAUAAUGACUUUGUGAAAACGAUUAGGUUUGAACACUUCCUGAGAGAGAGGCUAGUGUAAAGGCGGAACUGUAUGUGUUGUUUAUUUAUCAAUGUCAGUAGACCGUGCAAGACCAUAUAAUGGCAUAAAGAUAUGUCCCUUUGACAUAAGCAGAUAUUAUCACACGAGUUCUAUGCACAAGAACUACACAUCUAGGUGCAAAGGAACCAGAUCAUCGGAGAUUAAGAAUUGACAUGUUAAAAACAUAUCCUAGUAAUCCAGAGGUACGAUGGCCCAAAACCCGAAAAGUGGGAAACACAAAAGGAAAGAGAGUAAAACUUUAACAAAAAAGGAGAAAAAGAUCAAUGCGCAGUGCAUAAUCAUUGUCUUGAAUUGCCCUGCAUAAGUUUUACUAUGAUGAAACCGAAGAUGGAUACCAAAUCUCCAUGUUCAAAUAUAAUAACCGUGAAACUUGGAUUAAAUGCAUAGGCCAUUUUGACACAACAAGUAUUCAUAUGAAAUGGAUACGGUUUCACCUUUCUUAGUCACAUUAAAUGCACAAGCAAGUUAGAGGUUCUAUUUUAAAGAGUAUAAGAGUGAAACAAAUGAUUCAAACGAGUCCCUUCACUGAAGAUUGUAUAGUUAAAUACCUUUUCUUCCUCAUUCAUGUCGCUGGCAGUCUGCUUUGAUGAUGAUAGGAAGGAACAUUUCUCGUCGAGUGUGUUCGUUGCUUGAUCAAAUGCAUUAAUGUACUGUUCAAAUUUAUAUAUUAGGUGAAAAUCAAAUAAAAUGUUGUAUUGCUAACCAUAAUAUGAAAGUUUUAGUGAAAGGGUAGAUUAUUUAUCAUGCAUAGAGAAAAAUAACUCCAUGUCAACAAAAUAAGCAGCCUUCAAAUAAAUUUUGGAAAUGCAAUGCCUAUUUAAGUAUCAAAAAUACUACAGAUUAGUAAUGUGUAAGAAUCAAGAAAAAUAGUAGGUUAACACAUCCAAGAUUUGACCAUUGUUCCACCGUCAAAAAAAGAGAGAAGAUUUGUAUCACUGUCUUGGUAAUUUCGACAGGACAUUUGAGCCCAACUGAUUUUCUGCGUUGAGCAAUCGAUUCUCUGUGUUAGGAGGGACAUUUGAGCCCAACUCAGUCCAUUAUAGGUGGCCAAACUGAAAUAUAAAUGUCAUGGAUAGCGCCAAUUUGAUAUAUACUGCUAAUUUUUAGCAAGAAGCUUUCCUUAUUUGUGAAACAUUACCAUCAGAAUGACGACUUUCUAACUGAGGAUAAUAAGGACUUGAAAAUAUCUCUAUUUUGUUUGCAUCAUUUGCGGAAAAUGUUAGUACCCACAAAGCAAUUUUGUAAAAGGAAUCAUGAAACAGAUAAAUCGAAAACAAGUUUUACACAUCACUAGAUAUUACCUCAUUAGCCAUAUAUUUUAAGUAGCUAUCACCUCCAAAGGCCAUCGUGAUGAAGUGAAUCAUCUGAAAUAUUGUAACACAAUAAGUAUAUACCUAAAGGGACUAGGACACGUUAUCUUCAAGGGCUAGCCAGAGCACUAAGUAAAGGUAGAAAGAAUACAAUACUUAGAACUAGAUUUUUUUGCAGGUCGCUUAGAACUAGAUAGAACAAUUAAUUUCAAGAAUACUUAAGAAAAAUCGGACCUUUUGAAGUGCAAUGCCACGAUCAAUUGUAGGCGAAUCAUGAUCCAUGUCCGACAUGCCGGAAUACAUUUCCCAUUCCAUUAAGAGAAAGGCCAUAGUCUUGACGCCAAUAGUAGGCUGAAAGUUUAUGUGAAAAAAAACUGCUCAGCUGUUUUUUUUGAAACUGUUGUUUGAAUAAACAAACACGAAAUCGGCUGUACACAAAGGGGAAUCUUUGGACAUGCUUACAUGGUCCGUAAUAGCUGGUUAGUGGUCCUUUAACUAGUUGUGCACAUGGAAAUGUGAUUGCCUGUGCUAUUUUUUUAAUAAGAAGGUUACNNNNNNNNNNNNNNNNNNNNNNNNNNNNNNNNNNNNNNNNNNNNNNNNNNNNNNNNNNNNNNNNNNNNNNNNNNNNNNNNNNNNNNNNNNNNNNNNNNNNNNNNNNNNNNNNNNNNNNNNNNNNNNNNNNNNNNNNNNNNNNNNNNNNNNNNNNNNNNNNNNNNNNNNNNNNNNNNNNNNNNNNNNNNNNNNNNNNNNNNNNNNNNNNNNNNNNNNNNNNNNNNNNNNNNNNNNNNNNNNNNNNNNNNNNNNNNNNNNNNNNNNNNNNNUUUAUUUAAUAAAUUUGCCAACCAUGCAAAGAAAGUACCCGCCAUUAGAACGACCACCCCGCCCUCAGCCCUCAAAGAGAACACACUCAUGCACAACAAAAAAGGGGAGAAACAUACAUGAUUUUGCCUCUCAGCAUAUGCAAUGAACUUUUCCGGAUAUCGCUUGUUAGUCAAUGUUUGUGAUAUUACACUACUCAUUGACCAUUGUUGAUCACCUUUGUUCUCCAAGCAGUCAAUCCAUCUAUCGGGAAUAGUCAUAGCCUGGCGAUAGUCAAACCCUAAUCCACCUUCAUCAACUGGCCAACAAAGAACUGGCAUGCCUGAAACAUCUACUGCCACAACAAUUGCUUCUGGGUAGAGUUUGUGCAUUAAAUGGUUCACGAGCAUCAUAUAAACAACUGCAUCUACAUUGGUAUCCAAACCAAAAUACUCUUUGUAAUUUCCAGUGAAUGACAUAUUGAUACCAUUGUGAUUAUAUAGCAUCGAUGUAACCCCAACAAAUCGGAAGCCAUCAAACAUGAAUUCGUCCAUCCAAUAUCUCAAAUUGGAAAGAAGGAAUCUUAGGACCUCCCAAUUGGCAUAGUUGAACAUGCGGCCAUUCCACAUCUCAUUAUAGCCCUUGUCUCCUGUGUAGAAAUAGGAUUCGUGUGCACUUUGUCCAACAUCAUAGCCAUUGAGACCGUCUAUCACAUUAUUGCUCGCAUGGCUGUGGACAACAUCCAUUAGAACACACAAUCCAAGACUAUGUGCCUUGUCAAUAAGAUAUUUGAGGUCCUCUGGUGUGCCUGAUCUGCUGCUAACUGCGAAGAAAUUCGUCACGUAAUACCCAAAAGAAGCAGCGUCAGAAUGUUCCAUGAUUCCCAUCAACUGAACUGUGUUGUAGUUAGUUGCCCUUAAGCGCGGUAACACGUUGUCUGCAAAUUCCCUGUAUGUGCCUACUUCAAGCUUUCGACCACUCACCCCCACAUGAGCCUCAUAGAUACGUGGAACAUCAGGCUUUGGAGGUCGAGGAUGGUUGAAUACAUACCUGCAAAAUGAACAGUAAAACUAUCAUAACACUGCAUUAUUUUUUUGUAUUUUAUUUUAAUUGGGCAUUAUUUAGAAUCCUUGCUCUCAAGCUACUAAAAGUAGACCUUUCGGUAGUUGGUGGAUCCCAGUGAACACCAUCGUAUGGAGCUCCAGAUUUAGAGGCAGUAACAGUUGCAUAACGAAUCCAUGCUGGAAUCCGUUCAACCCAUACUCCAUCGUGCCUACAUCGAAAUUUAACCUUGGAAUUGUGAGGGAUGGCAGGUUUCCCAUUGACAUUGGAAAUCCUGAUUGACCAAACGCCAAAAUUAUCCUUUGUCAUCUUGUGCCCAGAACCAUUCCAGUUGUUGAAGUCACCAACAAGUUGUGCUUCUCUACACCCAUAAAGUAAACAGUUGCAAGUAAAUGCACGGAUUUACUAAAGAUAGUGAAAGUAAGUAUUUGCAUAAACGAAAUGAGUGACAGCCAACUAUGGCCACGAAAGAGUGGAUUAUGACGUGAGUGAGAAACUUGGAACAUUUGUCUAUUCUUUAAUUACUAGCUAGUACCAGACAAGGCAAGCCAUCUCACUAGCAACAAAUAUGGAAAAUAGUUCUUAGACAACUUCAUCGGUAUUGCAUACUUAACCCAGUACCAUUGAAUAAUAAUAGUUGCCAAUGUGCUAUGUGUUGAACUUACUCUGCUGCAGGAGCCCAUUCCCUAUACACGGAUGCAUCAUGCUCUGUGUUGAUCCCAAACUUCAAAUAGCCUACAACACAUCGAAGGCCAGAAACACAAAAGUAGAUAAUGUUUGUACUGGUAUAAACAAGUCAUUUCGUGAUGUGAGCAUUUUGAAUGCAUGAACAAAGCUCACCUUUAGAGAAUUCCUCUAGGCCUCCCUCAUGUUUCUCAAUCAGAAGUUUCUGUUCAAGGUACCUUUUCAUCGUAUAGUUGAAGUGGUCUUUGAAUUCAGCCAACUUUGGUUCCAGAUCGUACAUGGGAAGGUGGUCAGAACCAUAUCCAGUUGUUGCCGCGAUUUUGUUUCCUCGUGCAGUCACAGAAACAGAAGACUUGCUCUUGGCCUUCCAUAAAUGAAGUACAGUUAAUUAGAGCGAGUGCAUAUUUGACUAAACAAGCAAUGUAUAUACAACAAAUGAUCAUGUGUGUCUAGUAUAGGACUUCCAGGAUUAACAAUAGAGGAAACAUAGAAAACUGAUAAAACUAUGUUCUUUUUGACAUGUUCAUGUUUGGUGUAUGUGUUGAUGUCAAUUUCCAUGCAAUUGUUUUUUUCUAAAAAAAAGAUUUUGAAUGCUAAACUUGUUUCUCAACACAGGUCACAAUAUUUGUUCUUUUAUUCAUGAAGAUUUGAUCUUUGCAAUUUUUAAGUCAUAUUUAUGAUGACACAUCGAGACACACUAACAAAAAUCCAAACACACGAAAAGAAACGGGGACAACAUUGGAUACUAUGUUUAAAUACAUAGAGUGCUUCACCUGCAAAAAAAACAAAGAGUAGUUAGAGUUAAGUAGUCACAUCAAUCAUCACUUAACAAUAAAAGCGACACAUAUAUCUCCGAAAAAAAUGUCAGAGAAUGUGUGAUCCGGAGUGUAAGCACGGGUGGACUAUGGCACAGAGCAACAUUUUAUGGUAUUGCACAUGAUCAUGUGCCUAUGUAUUGACACGGUACACGUAUAUAUGCAUAUUUGGGCACAAUCAUUACAAGUAAUACGGCAGAAAACUUGAAAUACUGCAGGGAUAAAAUAUGAACCGCAGAUAUGUAAAGAAAUUUAAGGGAGUCUUCAUCCAGUCGCUGAACCCGGACCCAAAACGGUGUCCUGCACAGCGAUAACACAGCGACACAGGGAAAGAAAUGAUGUCUACCUUCCGUGGCCACGACCAGUGGAGCAGAAACGGGACGGACGGCACCACGCUCAGUCGCUUGCCACCGCCGCCGCCACCCUGCUCGAGAGGAGACCCACCGCAUCAGGACCUCGCCGGGGCCACGCCGGAGAACGCAGAAACAAUUAGUAAAACAUAACAAAUCUCGGCUCACCGCGAUGAUCCCGGGAGGCGGCCGGUCAGCAGCGGGAGACGGGCGCGGCAGGAGAGAGGAGCUGAGGCACAUCAUCGUCGUCAACGGCGCAACCGAGGGCGGUGGAGCUGUCAGCCUCGGUGGCGGACGAAAGUCCCAUUUUCCAUGGAGCUCGUGACCCGGCGUGCCUUAUAACGGCCGGAGGAGGAGCUUUUCUCUCUGCUUGGCCGCUUCCGGCAGAAGAGUGGAGUGGAAGCAACGAGCUGGAGGCACGAGGACGACGGGGCCGGAGUGCCAGUGGACGGUCGGGGAGAGCCCGUGCCGUUUCUGGGCAAGCUUGGGCCCUCACUUGUCUAGAACAGCACAAAAAUAAGUACAGGUUUCGUGUCAGUUAGCGAGAGAAAGAAACUAGACUUUUGUCCCACUAUUAUAUAGUAUAUAAUAUAAAAAGCAAGCCAGGGCCAUCUGCCGCCAAACCCCUUGUGGUCCACAUGACCAAGAAGUGUAGCCACCAUCGCCACCGCGGAGUCCGCCUGAGAGUUGACCGGGUACCCCAACAUCAUGUGCCAAACUUCUCACCCAUGCCAAAACGCGUUGGCGCCACUCGUUGAAUCCAUGGGGCCCUCCACGAUAGAAGAGCGGAAGAAUGCCGUAGCCGCCGUCACCCCCUUGCGUCAUCACCGCCCUGGCACACCGUCGCGCCCCUACACAUGUGUUGCAUUGGCAGCACCAGCCCACAUCAAUCCCACCUUGUGAAGAGACGAGGACGCCCUGCCGUCGGGGACGCCCGUCGGGUUUAGCGAGGCCGUGCCCUUUGGCGGAGUCCUAGGAGGAAGAGAGGAGAUGACCGAGGGGAGGGGGAGGGGCUAGACGGCGGCUAGGGUUCCUUCCCCGUUGCACGUGGAGCAACAUGAGAGGGGGUAGUUUUCUUUUUGUUAGUAUUACAAUACACCAUUGAGAAAAACAUUAUCACCACUCGCCAUGAGGGACACACCAGUAUCCGAAAAGGAAAAGGAACGCGAAAGUUUCACGGAACAGUGAGAUACAUACACCAAUUGGGUCUUUUUUUAGAUACAUACGGCAAAUUGGGUCUUCUAGUCUCGCGUCUAUUGGGAAUUCCCCAUAGAGAGAAGGUGCACGCUCCAUAUUAUGCUUACAGCAUCGAAUUAAUUGCCACCUCCACAAUGGCAAUGUCGCGUCAUAGAUGGUUUUUUUAGACGAAACAUCUUUUUUCUCAUCAUAGGCGCGCGUGACAUUUUCCAUGAUGAAGAGGGUUCUGUGAAUUCUAUGACAGAAAGUUCCUGCCAUGAAUAUACUAGGAAACCGUCACUAUUUCCAUCAUAGAAUAGCUCGGCGUCAGACCCUGAUUGCUAGCACGCCAGUUGACUCCACGUGGAGAACAAUGUAAUCAUUCAUGUGGCGCCCUUUUAUGACAAAUGGCGCCCUUUUAUGACAAAUGUCUAAGAGCAACUCUAGCAGACCCCGCAUCCCGCCCCGACCCGUAAAAUAACCGUCAAAAUGCGGGCCGGAUGGAAAAACCCGCCCGAUCAGACCCCGCAUCCCGUCCCAGCCCGCAAAAUUUUUUAAGGGGCGCGGCAAAAUCCCGAGCCCAACCCGGGAAAACGCGGGUUUCCCCCUCGCGGCUGUGGUGCACUGUAUAUAAGCGGAAGCGGUUGGUGGGGGGACAUUUCAUCCCGCGCUUUCUCCCACCAACCACCUCUCCUCUCCCCUCUCGCACCGCCGCCGGCCGCCGCCCAAGAUUCCGGCGACCGCAGCCGGCAGGAGCACGCCGGAAGGCCGCCACGCGCACGAGGCCUCCCCCCUUCCCCCCUGCGUCGGCGGGCCGCCCGAUUUGCAGAUCUGCGGCAGUUCAUCGCGGGCCGCCGGAUUUGGCUUUUUCCGGCCGUUGAUUGCUGCCCCAAGCUAUGGAGUGGUCGGGAGCCUCUCCCGCAGCCCAGGCAAGGGCGCAUCGCCGCAUGCAGGUGCGAGUUCGUCCGCCCGCCGUUGCCGAAGGUUUGCGGGCAUGGACUCAUCCGGCCGUCCACCGGGCUCGGUGCUCGCGCAGCGUCUUUGUGGCUUGCCGAUGCCGCUCAUAGAGUGCGACGACUGCACGCGGAAAGUGCUGCGGCUCACUUUGAGCACGCCGAAGCACCCCGGAUGGGUGUUCUUCAAAUGCGAAAAUGGCGGGGUACAUGCACUUGCGGUAGCUCGUUUCAUGACUCAUUCUUUAGUUCGAUUGCGGUAGCUCACUGUGAGCUUCUUUUGUGUAGGACGAAGGAUGCUCAUUUUGGUUUGGGGAAGGCCAAUACAUUGAUUUGUUGAUAGAAAGAAAUUUAAUAGAUGUUAGUGCACUUCUUGGUACAAUCCAUGGCAAUGAUGCGGCUGCAUGUGCAACUAGAGGGGAAGCAACGUCUACUUCUUUGAAACCAAAGAUGAAGAAUGAAGAAAGCAGGAUCAAGAAUUCGCAGAUCAACAAUGAGUGCAUGGAGAAGAUAUUGCUUCAACUAGUGGGAGCAGUUAUGGAAGUUGGAUAUCUUCUGAAAUGCAUACUUGUGGUUCUUGUUUUCUUUGGUUUUGCUAUUCUAGCCAAGAUUUGGUGAUAUCUUUUGUAUCUAAUGUUGUUGCAAAAGCAAAGAAAAGCAUUAUGCUAGAUCAAUUUAUGUUGCAAAUUUAAGUUUUGCGGGCCGGGAGGGGCUGCGUCAGAUCAGAACCCGCAGAAGCCGACCCGUAAAAAAGCAUAUUCCACGAAUAUGCUUUUUUACGGGUCCAUUAUACGGGGUCUGCAUCUGUGCCAGCCCGCGCCGGCCCGCUUAGGUGGCAUCGCUCUAUGUCAAACUUUAAAUUGUCGUAAUCAUAGAACCCAUUUAAGACAUAUUUAGGUCAAUGGGGCCAGCCCAAAUUGUCGUGGUAUUAAUAUACUUUGUGAUGAAAUUCGUGUGUCAUAACAUACAGCCAAUUGGCGACCUGGAUUUGCUUCGGACCAUUAGCUGCCCAUCCUUGCACAGAUCAUUUCUAGGCAACCUUGUAAUUGACAACGCAUCUUAAUCAAGCAUAUGCAAUAAAUUAUCACACAAUUUGAAUUGAUUAUUACAUAAUUUGGAGAAUGAAUAAUUUCUAGUUCACACCGUAUUACACUCACAUACGUUUGACAUACAUCUAAGAGUUCAUGCAUACACAUCCUCACAUGACAAGCUCACAAAGAGAAUCAACAUUUCAACUAAGAUUAUGAUGUGGGAUUGCCCUGAGCUCCGGAUAUUAGAAGCCUAAGAAUUUGGUCGGUCUUCGCUUGCUUCUUUCUAACUUCAUCCAUCUCUUGUUUGGUUUUGGUGAGGAGUGCAUCUGAUUGCUCUAUUUGCCUCCUCAUGAUGUCAGUUGCAUCUCGGAGUGCAGCUGCACCCUGUCUUUCAGCCAGUAGUAGAGCCUCAAGAGCUUGAAUAAUUGGCAACUUCAAUGGGCUUGUCUCUAAUUGGGAAUUAUGUCCGAACGUGCUUGUGGAACUUAUGUGGGGGGGUAUCUCGGAAGCAACAUCCAAAGUUGAUCUUGGAGUCGUCUGUUGUGCAAUCAUAGUUUCAAUUGCAUCCUAUUAAGUUUUAGUUACUAGACAUGAGUAGGGUUGAAAUAAGUUACAACGGUGAAUCAUGAAAAACAGACUAACUUCUGUAUGGCAAAUUAAACAUUAAAUAUUUUGCAUCCUACAAUUAGACAUGGAAAGUUAUGUUUCUAUACUUGAACUUGCAAUAGCCGAACAUAAUUUAAAAUGGCACGAUGCAUCUAGACCAAUAGGGAUAAGAUAGACUCUUUUUAGAAAGGAUUGCCUAGACUUUACGUGCUUGUACGUCUAAAACGUAGCAACACUUACCAACCUAGACCACACAUUAUACCUUGCUGGACAUCAAAUGGAUGGAUAUUCUUUGUUGCUUGAGUUUUAAGAUUUUCAUAUAUCCGCAAAACUUCAUUAUGCCAGCAUCGUCAAACAUUCAUUAUGCCAAGGUUUUAAACAUCAUCAUUGGCCUAUGGACAUGAUGCAAACUUGUUCUAACAUGAUAAAGAGUUUAUAUACAAAUAAUACAAGAGGGACACAGAUUUACAAGAUAAUAGUCAUGCUUCAGUCUAAGAUUGUUUUGCUUCUUCAAGGUUUAUACCAACAGUAAAGCAACGAAUCCCAUCAGAAUAACAAAGUUAAGCAUGCUUGAACGAGAGUAGUACUAGAAUGGGUGACGCCCUGGAAAGUCCUGGUGUUGCGUGCCUCAUUUUUUGGUCAAAGGUUUCCUCCAUGCCAUCGCAUCGGUCCUGCUCUUCUUCCCCGUCCAUUGGCCUCGUCGACCACAAGAGUGGGGACCCAUCUGUCUCAUUUUUCUUUUCCCCUCAGUUUUGUAUACCUGGCUGCAUUAACGAAGUGAUGGCGAUGAUGGCAUGUUGGAACAAGGUCUCUUCGGCAUCUCUCUACAUCAACGAUGUUCGACCAGGCACCGAUGAAGGGCCUGUAAGAGUUUGCGUCGCCAAAUUUGUUGACUGUCUUCGGAUUUUUACAAUUGAUGUGCCUAUCAAGGAGAGCAAAUGGUUGGCUAUUUGUGGAGCGACUUCGACAUCUUCUUACGUGUUCUUCUACGGCAUGAUUUGGUUUCUCCAACUCUUGUACUAAGUGGGGUGAUGCACCAACCGAUGCUUCUUCAGCGUGUUUUAGAUCUUUUCUCAAGCAGAGAGUGGCUAUUGCGGUCUUUAAAGCCUAGUAUGGCGAGGGUAUUUUUAGGCGUCCCUUUCCUUUAUUGUCGGUUGAGUGCAAUUUUUAAUCUCCGAAAGAUGGUGUACAAUCUGAAGGAGGCUAGUAUGAUUUUUAAGGUAUUUAUUUCUACUUGUCAUUCUGUGUCUAAUUGUCAUUCCAUUGUACUGUUUUUUUGUUUUUGUUGAUAAUUAUCAGAUCUAAGAUGCCUUUUGGGUGUCUUUUUUCCAAGAAAGAUAGUUUUGCUUCUUUGAGGUGACAAGUCCAAAAAUAUACUGUAUUUGUUUGCUUGUUCCAAUUGCCAACUAAAAUGACAUCUUUAGCCCAAAAGUAGGAUUCGGUGAUAAUGACGGGCUAUUGGGGUACUAAUGAUAUUCUAGAGUGGAUGAGUCAUUUAUUAGAGACCACUCAAGGAAAAAAAAGACUACAUCUUUAAAUUUAAUCAUAGAUUUUUUUUCAUAUCUUUGAGUCAUAGGGAAGCCGUACUAUUGACAGGAGUCUACCAGAGGAACAAGAGUGGAGAUUGACGACCUAAAAAAUCCUACACACUCCAAAAAGAUACCCUAGGAAUUGAGGAAUUGUCAUUCUUGCCAGCAAAAGGACCCCAAAACAUCCCNNNNNNNNNNNNNNNNNNNNNNNNNNNNNNNNNNNNNNNNNNNNNNNNNNNNNNNNNNNNNNNNNNNNNNNNNNNNNNNNNNNNNNNNNNNNNNNNNNNNNNNNNNNNNNNNNNNNNNNNNNNNNNNNNNNNNNNNNNNNNNNNNNNNNNNNNNNNNNNNNNNNNNNNNNNNNNNNNNNNNNNNNNNNNNNNNNNNNNNNNNNNNNNNNNNNNNNNNNNNNNNNNNNNNNNNNNNNNNNNNNNNNNNNNNNNNNNNNGGGGGGGGGGGGCUAAAGAGAGUAUUUCCCAGAAGGACCCAAGAUAUCUGGGAUGCACGGGAGGCUGCAAGCUGAUCUGAAUUGCCGAGUAAAGUUCAAAAAUCGAGGACCAUACGAAAGGUUGCCAUUCUUCCCCAACUGAAGGAGGCGACCAUACAUGAGCUUUCUAUCAUUGUUGAGCACUUUGAGCUUCUAUCUGUUAGACCUUUCAACCUGAGCAUUGAUAGUUGUGGAUGACACUAGGAGAGUUGGGACAAUUUUCGUUGGUUUAUUUCUCACACAAUGCCAUACCAACCCGAGGGGUUGGGGAUACAUAUUUAUAGGCUGCUAGCCAGCCAAGGCAUAUGCUAAGAUGCUGCUAAGAUGCCAGUCUAAGAUGCUAGUCUAAGAUGCUAGUCUAAGAUGCUAACUGACAGUCCUUGAUGGUCAAGAACAGAACUCUAUCCUAACAGCCAGUCCUUGAUGGUCCAGGACUUUAUCCUCCUAACUGCCACAAGGACCAUGUGCUGCAGCCCCACAAGGACCCUAGUACACAGACUUAUCCAUCAUUCUCCCCCUAAGUCUUGUACGUCGUCUUGUGGGAGAGUUGAAUCAUCCCAAUCCUGGAGCAAAGUUCGAGGAACUUGACCCUCCCAAGGGGCUUGGUGAGCAGGUCUGCGAGCUGAUCCUUGGUGUUGAUGUAGCUUGCCUCGAUGCUCCCUUCUUCCACACAGCUGCGGAUGAAGUGAUACCUCAGUCGGAUGUGCUUGCUCCGUUCGUGGAACACGGGGUUCUUUGCCAGGGCCAGGGCGGACUUGCUGUCCACCAGGAGCUGCACCGUUCUGGUGUCUUGAACGAGAAGAUCACCAAGCAGUCGAGCAAGCCAGAGCGCCUGAGUACAGGCGGUGGAGGCCGCUAUGUACUCAGCCUCACAGCUGGACAGGGCCACCACCUGCUGCUUGACUGAUUGCCAGCUCACGAGACACUUGCCGAGGAAGAGGAGGAUCCCGCUCGUGCUCUUGCUGGUGUCGAUGUCGCCGGCGUGGUCGCUGUCGCUGUACCCGACGAAGUGUGCCGCCCCAGGGCACCUAGGGUAAUGGAGGCCGUGGUCGAGGGUCCCUGCUAUGUAGCGGACGAUCCUCUUCACUGCCUGCUGGUGUUCCGACGUUGGUCGCUCCAUGAACCGACUGACAUAGCCGACGGAGAAUGCCAAGUCCGGUCGUGUGUGAGUGAGGUAGCGAAGGCUCCCCACAAGGCGUCGGUACUACGUAGCAUCCACUUCCUCCGUCGUGCUGUCGCGACUUAGUUUCAGCCUCUCCUCCAUCGGAGUGAGAGCUGGAUGGCAGUCGGUGAGCCCAGCUAGCUCAACGAUGCGCUUGGCGUAGGCGGACUGUCGAAGCGCGAUCCCGGAGUGGUCCUGGUGCACCUCAAUCCCUAGAUAGAAGGAGAGGAGCCCCAGGUCACUCAUCUGGAACGUGGCCUUCAUGUCUUCCUUGAACGCCGCCACCUCUGCAUCUUUGGUGCCGGUGAUCACCAGGUCGUCAACGUAGACGCCCACCAGCAGGGCAUUUCCUCCACUCCCCCGUCGGUAGACGGCAGCCUCAUGCGGGCUCUGCUCGAAACCCAUCUUCUUCAGCGUGGAGUCCAGCUUGGCGUUCCAUACCCUGGGUGCCUGCCGCAGGCCAUAGAGAGCCUUGCGCAGGCGGAGCACCUUGCCCUCCUGGCCGGGAAUCGUAAACCCCGGUGGCUGAUGCACGUAGACUUCCUCCUUCAAGUCGCCGUUGAGGAAUGCCGACUUAACGUCCAUGUGGUGGACAUGCCAGCCCUCCUGGGCAGCCAGCGCAAGGAGAAGUCGCACGGACUCCAUCCGUGCCACGGGAGCGAAAGCGUCGUCGAAGUCGACUCCUUCCUGCUGCAAGAAGCCUCGGGCCACCAAACGAGCCUUGUGCUUGAUGAUGGCGCCGGCUCCAUCCCUCUUCAGCUUGAACACCCACUUAAGGGUGAUUGCGCGGUGACCUCGAGGGAGAUCAGCAAGCUCCCAGGUGUGGUUUUGCUCGACCGCAUCCAUCUCCAACUUCAUCGCGGCGCGCCAUGCCGCGUCUCUCUCGGCCUCUGCAAAGGACCGUGGUUCGCCGUCUUCACACACGAGCUGUAGCUGCCCCUCCAGGUCACGUGGCACCAGUCCUGGCACCGGCUGGUCGCCGAGCACAUUAUCCAUCAUACGGUACCGCAGCGGUUCGCCUCCAUACCAUGCGUCGACCCGCUCCUCGUCGUGAGUGAGCGGGGAAGCGAACUUCAUCGGGUUGUGCUCUGCGUGAGCUGGUGCUGAUGAAGACGAGCCCGGAGUGGCGACCGCCGGGGCUGGAGUAUGCGGCAUCGCCGGUUGUGGUGUCGUCGGUGUAGCAGGCGCCGGAGUCGAUGUAGUUUUGGGGGCCGGGGUAGACGUGCCCGGUGAAGAGGAGCUGCUUGCUCCCCCAGCUUCCUUGAAGUGAGCGUACUCGACAAUGAAGUCGUCAUACGUCGGCGUCGAGCCGUCGUCCACCGCCUUGUCCCAUUGCCACCCUCGCCCUUCGUUGAACACGACGUCUCGCGCUGUGCGCACACGUUGUGUCUUUGGGUCGAGGAUGCGGUAGGCCUUUGAGCCCUCCGCGUAGCCGAUGAAGACUCCCGGAGUGCUCCUGUCGUCGAGCUUGCCGAUGUGGCCGAGCUCCUUGGCGAACGCAAGGUAGCCAAAGACCCGCAAAUGAGAGACCGCCGGCUUCCGCCCAUGCCAGGCCUCGUACGGAGUUCUGCCGUCGAGUGCCUUAGUAGGAGAGCGGUUGAGGAUGUAGACGGCCGUUAGCACCGCCUCUCCCCAGAAGACAGCCGGCAUCCCUCUCUGCUUGAGGAGAGCCCGAGCCAUCCCCACAACCGUCUGGUUGCGCCGCUCGACGACGCCGUUUUGCUGCGGGCUGUACGGCGCGGAGUAGUGGCGCUGGAUGCCCUCAUCGGCGCAGUACGACGCGAAUUCAGCCGCCGUGAACUCGCCGCCGUUGUCAGUGCGCAACACGCGCAAUUUGCGGCCGCUCUCCGCCUCCACACCAACCUGCGCGCGCCUGAUGGCGUCCGCCGCUUCUCCCUUACUGCCGAGGAUCAUCACCCACAUGUAGCGGGAGAGAUCGUCGACGAGCAGCAGGAAGUAGCGUCGACCUCCUGGUGUGGCUGGCGUCACCGGGCCGCACAGGUCUCCGUGCACGAGCUCCAGCUUCUCCUUAGCCCGAAAACUCGCCUGUUGGGGAAAGGGGAGUCGUCUCUGCUUCGUCAGUACGCAGAUGUCGCAGAACUGCUCCACAUGGUCGAGGCAUGGCAGGCCUCGCACCAUCUCCUUGGCACUUAGACGCUUUAGGGCCUCAAAGUGAAGGUGCCCAAAGCGCUCAUGCCACUGCCACGCCUCGUCGUCUCGACGGACAGCGAGACAGACCGGUUGUGCCACCUGCACAUCAAGGACGUAGAGUCGAUUUUCACCUCUGGGCACCUUGGCGAGAAGGCGACGCUGGCGAUCCCAGAUGCGUAGGACCCCAUGCUCAAUCAGCACGCGUGAGCCGUUCUCAUCCAGCUGUCCCAAGCUGAUGAUGGAAUUCCUUAGCGCGGGGAUGUAGUAGACACCGGUGAGCAGCCGGUGCUCUCCCAUCUUGGUGGUGAAGAUGACGGAGCCGACGCCCUUUAUCUCCACAGCGGAGGCAUCCCCGAACUUGACGGAGCCUCGCGCAUCGGAGUCGAGCUCGGCGAAGAAUUCCCUUCGACCGGUCAUGUGGUGGGUGGCGCCGGUGUCGAGGCACCACCCCGUAGCCUUGUCCUUCCCGGAGCCAUCGCCGAGAAGAGCGUGUGCUUUUGGCUCAUCGAGGUGGAUGAAAGCCUUUGCGACUGGAGUCGCCGAGGGUAGCUCAAUGCUUGCAUGCGCCAUGAACAGAGCCGUCUCCUCCUCCUUCGCCUGUGCGACGUGAGCCUGGCCUUGUCGUGGUUGCCGACACUCAUUGGGUGCUGAGAGCGACCUGCAGACAUGGCUCGCUGCAGGGGGGCUGUUGCGUGAAGAGGAGGCUGAUGAAGACGAGAUGCUGCUCGACAGUCCGGAGGGAGGAAGGUAACCAGAGGCAGACGGAGCAGCUGCUGCUACCGACUUGGGCUGCUCACAGGAAAUGCUCAGGGUGCAGGUUAACGAGGCUCUGAUACCACUUGUUAGACCUUUCAACCUGAGCAUUGAUAGUUGUGGAUGACACUAGGAGAGUUGGGACAAUUUUCGUUGGUUUAUUUCUCACACAAUGCCAUACCAAUCCGAGGGGUUGGGGAUACAUAUUUAUAGGCUGCUAGCCAGCCAAGGCAUAUGCUAAGAUGCUGCUAAGAUGCCAGUCUAAGAUGCUAGUCUAAGAUGCUAGUCUAAGAUGCUAACUGACAGUCCUUGAUGGUCAAGAACAGAACUCUAUCCUAACAGCCAGUCCUUGAUGGUCCAGGACUUUAUCCUCCUAACUGCCACAAGGACCAUGUGCUGCAGCCCCACAAGGACCCUAGUACACAGACUUAUCCAUCACUAUCCUCCCUCUACAACCCAUCAAUCUUUGAUUUGAGUGAGAGAAAAAGGAACAGUAGAUUUGUGAUUCCACUUGGCCCCUUUUGAAUUUCCCUUGAGUUCUUCCUGAAGCUUAUGUCACUCUAAAGUUUGUGGGGAACCCUGGAUGGUUGGAGCCGUCCAAAAGCUUCCAAAGUUGUGGAUUUUUUACGACCAAUUAUAGGUGAUCGAAGCAGGUUCCAAGUUCGAGAUACCAACAUAUGUUUCCAUGCCCAUCCAGAGAAACGUCAUAGUCUUAUGGCCAACAAUAGACUGAAUAUUUGCGUGAAGAUUAAAGUUGUUGUUUCAACAUACCAACACAAAGUCAAGGAUAUACAACACUGGAUCCUUGGACAUGCUAUGGUCCAUAAUAGUAGUUGGCUAGUGGUUACUAUGAUCAUUUGUCUGAAUAGAAUUGUGAUAGCCUAUGCAAAGAAGGUACUAAAAGUCAUCCACCCAAGUGUUUACAUUUAUUAAAAUUUCCAACCAUGCAAAGAAAGUCCCCCACCUUUGAACCAUAAGUCCAUAGAAUAGCUACCCCACCCGAGAAAACAUGCACCCAUGCACAACAACAAAUGAGAAAGAACAUACCUGAUCUUUGUUCCUGUUAUUCAAAGUCUGUGAUAUUCCACUCAUUGAGAAUUCAUGGACAUCUUUGUUUUUCAAGUAGUCGGCCCAUCUCUCUGGAAUAGCCAUAGCCUGGCGAUAGUCAAACCCUACUCCACCUUCGUCAACUGGCCGACAAAGAACUGGCAUGCCUGAAACAUCUUCAGCAAUAAUAGUUGCUUCUGGCAGGACUUUGUGUAUUAAAUGGUUAGCCAGCAUCAUGUAAAUGAUUGCAUCUACAUUGGUAUCCAAACCAAAAUACUCCUUGUAAUUUCCAGUGAACGACGUAUUGAUUCCAUGGUGAUUGUAUAGCAUGGAUGUAACCCCAUCAAAUCUGAAGCCAUCAAACAUGAAUUCGUCCAUCCAAUAUCUCAGAUUGGAAAGAAGAAAUCUUAAGACCUCCCAAUUGGUAUAGUUGAACAGCCGGCUAUCCCACAGUUUAUGAUAGCCCCUGUCUCCUGUGUAGAAAUAUGACUCUUGUGCGCUUUGACCAACAUCAUAGCCAUUUAGACCAUCUGUCACAUUUUUGCUUGCAUGGCCGUGGACAACAUCCAUUAGAACACGCAAUCCUAAACUAUGUGCCUUGUCAACAAGAUAUUUGAGGUCCUCUGGAGUGCCUGAUUUGCUGCUAACCGCGAAGAAAUUCGUCACAUGAUACCCAAAAGAAGCAUAGUAGGAAUGUUCCAUGAUUGCCAUUAGCUGGACCGUGUUAUAGUUUUUCGCCCUUAUACGUGGUAACACAUUGUCUGCAAAUUCUCUGUAUACUUCAGGCUUUUCACCACUCAUCCCCACAUGCGCCUCAUAGAUACGUGGUGUAUCAGGCUUUCGAGGUCGAGGAUGCUUAAACACAUACCUGCAAAACAAAGAUAAAAAUAUCAUGUCACCACAUUAUUUUAUUUUAUCUUAUUUGGGUUUUACUUAAUUUCCAGCUCUCAAACUACUGAAAUUAGACCUUUCACUAGUUGGUGGAUCCCAAUGAACACCAUCGUAUGGAGCUCCAAAUUUAGAGGUAUUAACAAUUGCAUAACGAAUCCAUGCGGGGAUCCGUUCAACCCAUACUCCAUCAUGCCUAAAUCGAAAUUUAACCUUGGAAUUGUGAGGGAUGGCAGGUCUCCCCUCGACAUGAGGAAUCUUGAUUGACCAAACUCCAAAAUUAUCCUUCGUCAUCAUGUGCUCAAAACCAUUCCAGUUGUUGAAGUCACCAACAAGUUGUGCUUCCCUUCACCAUAAAGUAAAGACUUGCAAGUAAAUACAUAUGAAUCUACUAAAGAUAGUGAGAAGUAAGUAUUGUCAAGAAAUAAGGACUAGUCAACCAUGACCAUGAUCAGGAAAGGGAAAACUUUUUUCAUAUUUUCUCUGUAGUGCACCAACUUAACAUCCCAGGACAGUUUCAUCAGCAUUUUAAUGAUAUGCACGAGUUAACCCAGGACUAUUAACAAGUAGCUGCAUGGCAUUAACAAGUAGGAGUAACAAGUAGCUGCAUGGCAAAUCACACACUUACAUUGCUGCAGGGGCCCAUUCCCGGUAUACCGUUGCACCAGGUUCUGCGUUGAUCCCAAACUUCAAAUAGCCUAAGUAUGUGCACAUAUGAAGGCCAGAGACACAGAGCUAAGUAUGCGCUUUUGUGCCGUGGGCGUCACAAAUUAAAUACAAGCAUUUCGAAUGCAUGAACAAGAGCUCACCUCUAGAGAAUUCUUCAAGGCUACCCUCAUGUUUCUCAAUCAAAUGUUUCUGGUAAUGAUACCUUCUCAUCCUAUAAUUGAAGUGGUUCUUGAAUUCGGCCAGCUUCGGGUCCAGAUCGUAUAUGGGAAGGUGGCUGACACCAUCUUCUGUUGCCACAGUUUUGUGUUCCCGCGCAGUCUCGGGAACAGAAAUCUUGCUAUUGGCCUUGCAUAUAUGAAUGACAGUUAGAGAUGGCAGCAGAUUAGAACUGAACAAGCUGCAGAGAUACAACACAUAAUCUUGUGCUUAUAUCAGUUAAUUAUAUUUACCACAAAUGCAGCAAUUAAUUGGUUGAUACAUUCAUCAAAGAUUAUGCACAUUUCUGUUGAAUAGCAAGUAGUACGGUUGAAAUAUCGCAGCAGAGAUUAUACUAUGUAUGGACCACAUAUAUGUAAAGAAAUUUGAUUAAAAUCACAUCCACUUCUUGAAACAUUUGAGACCCAAAGGGGUGUUUAAUGGACGAAUUCAGGUUUAUUAUUAGUACUAGUAUUAUAUUUUGCACAAGAAUUCCAGCGAAUCUGGACAGGCAGAGAAGAAGUUUACCUUCAGUGGCCACGACCAGCGAAGCGAAGACGGCACGGGCACCACGCUCAGCCGCACAUUGCCGCCGGCGCCGCCGCCACCCUGCAGGCGACCGGUCAGCAUCGUCGCAUCAGAGCCGUCAAGAACUUCGCCAUGGGCAAGCAGAACAGAGAACGUUAAAAGAAUAAAACAGAACAGAUCUCGGAGGCUCACCGAGAUCCCCGGACCGGGCCGGACAGCAGCGGGAUAGGAGGGGCGCGGCGGGACAGAGGGCGAGGCGGAGGAGGAGGCGAGGCAGAGCAUCGUCUUCCACGGCACGGCGGGGCGCCGCGGAGCUGUCAGCGUCGGCGGAGAAUCUCCGCCGGGCUCGUGGCACUGCGCGCUUUCAAGCGGCCGGAGGAGGAGCGUGGCGCCGGAGACGGAACGGGAGAGUGGAGUACAGAGUGGUAGCAACUGACGAGGGGAGGCACGAGGAAGACGAGGCGGAUCUGUGGGGCCCGGUGGGCCGGGUGCCACGUGGACGGUCGGGGAGCGCCCGUGCGUAACGGGCCAGCGGUAAAGCCAGUGAAAAGGUUUGGGCCCUCGCGUGUCUCAUCAGUCUGCGACUUUUUGCUAAAAAAAACAGUUUGUCAUGUUUUGAUGACUUUUAUAUAGCAUUAAUAAGGGAAAAUGGUGUCCUUACGAUUAAAAUAGAAAAUCUCCUGUUUUAGUUACUUUGUUAUUAUAUUAUUAUGCUACGCCGCCCACAAAAAGUGAUUUUGCCUUUUCCCCGCAAAAAAAAGAAGUGAUUUUGCCACCUGAACAAACCCCCUAAACGACUCCAACAUGAACUUUUUUAAGGGGCACAGUAAAAAAAAGUCCUCCCGAUCUGCAAAAACACAGGUUUCGCCUCCGCUUCUACGGGGCCCUGCAUCGCGAGAAAGCAGUUGGCCGGAGUCCAACUGCCAUCGGAGCUUUCAAGCUCGUUCCAGGCCACCGCCCCAUCCGUCCCCGGCCGCCGCGUUGCUCAUCCGAACCGCCGCCCCAUCCGUCGCUGGCCACCACGCUGCUCAUCGUUUGUCCCCGGCGGAACUACGUGUACGCGCAGACGUGGGAGCCCGCUGCCAGCUACGCCUGCGAGACGGAGCGCCGUGAGCCUCUCCCACCUCGCCCCCUUCCUCGCAGGACGAAUGGAGCCCGGUCACACAUAUCUCUAACUUCCUCGUAAUACAAAUGCAGUGGUUCCGCCGAUUUCAAAAAAGAAUAUUGCCGCCAACUCCCUCCGUCCCACAAUAUAAGAUUGUUACAAAUAUACUCUCAAUUAUUAUUUGAAAUAAAGAGCUUAUUGGAGCUCGGGACCGAAAAAAGUCGCACUCGUGUGUUUCCAGCCGAAUAUACUGUUUUUGGUUUGACACUAGUGUCUGAAAAAGCUAGAAAAAAGCAAGCGCAUAAUUUUUUUUGCUUGUUCCUUCGAUGUAAGGCUAGGCUGCACCACAGACAAAAACAUUUAACGCUCUCGUUCGUUUACUUGUGAGAUGAUCUUCAAUCUUUUCACUCGAGUCUCAGGAGGGCCGGGUGCGUCAUGUGACAGAUUAUUACUGCGAAGAUGUUUAUUUAUGGUGGGGUUUUGGGUGGGCCAAAGGUGUCGGAGUUCUACGUAGCCAAACAAGGUUUGCUUUUAAUAAACACUCAACUUAGCAAAAAAUCCAAUGAAAAGAGUGGCUUUUGCACCAACUGUUUGUUUUCCCUUGGUCCAUCUCAUGGUGAUGCAGUUUCUGUUGGGCACUUUUAGAUUGUGGCUGCUCGUGUCAUCAUCCGUCUAAAGCUUACAAACAACGCAGAUGAACAGACAGCAAGCCAUGUCCAUCCUGUCUCCGCUUCAUAGUUCUUACACCCACACCUCCGGAUGGCAAAAAAAAAACAUUUGUUGUAUGCAAGUUGCCUGAAAUUUGAAUUCGGUUCAUUCGAUUCAAGAGAGAAGAGGAGGCGCACCUCGAGGGAGGGCCCGGAGCUACCCAAAGAUAUGGAAGAUGUCCAGAGUUGGGGGUUUAGAUGGAUGGCCAAGGAUGGCAGCAGGACAGGGCGGCAAGGCGCACGAUGGAGCACCGCCAGCAGCAGCAGGUGACAUACAACAGGUGGAUAAGAGGAGGGAGAAGAAGGCUGGGGGUAGGAGAAAGCACAUCGCCGUUCGAUUCAGAUCGGACGGCUCAAAAAACCGACUCGGGAAUAUUCUUGAGGCAAUGGUAGUAAACACUUCACUAUCUGCUCCGACGGGUCAUGCCAUAAUAACAGUGUGACAAUGAUGACAACUGAGCAAGACCUGACGCCUCAUCGACGAAACAUCUAUUAAUCCUUUUAUUUAUAUCUUAGUCUGUACAUUACAGAAGAAGAUAUUCAUCCAAAAGGUUUAUGAAUGAUGAUGUAUGAAACCUGUCAUGACCAUCCUUCUCUUUGCUGUAGUAAUCCUGCUAUACUGUUCAAUAUGUGAGAUUCGAUGUCAUCAGCAGCUGAAAUAGUCAGCCAAAAAAUCGCUAGCUCGAUUCGCCGUGUCAUGGGGUGAUUGACACAUAUCUUGCUUCUGCAAGCACUGCCUCCCGGAUUCAUCAAGAAUUUAGGUGAUCUGAUUACUGCCUUUCAGGCUUAGCAGUCCUCAAGAUCCAGAGCAGCCAGCGCUUCAGUUCGAAAGGAAUUCAAUGCUGCAGUGCAGACCGGGGUUCGAUCCUGAUCCUCCUCACUCCUUUGUGAUCCACCUGUGUCCCCGGAUCUCGUACCCGCCCAGCCCAUGGUCGCUGGUCUCGCCGCUGGUCCCCACACCCGACCUCCUGCGCUGCUGCCUCCGCGCUCUCUUGGGGCCGCUGUUGUCGCUGAGGCUCCCGUUCAGUAGCGGGUCAUCGAUCCCACUGAUCACCCUGUGCAAGGAUCGCGGCGAGUCGAUGCAGCUGUCGUCGUUCGUUCUCUUGUCUUUAUCGUGCUUCUUCAUGUUCUGGGAUAUCUGGUGGAUCUUCUCGUUGAUCGGCUCCACCGCGUGGUUCACGGUGAACUUCAAGUCAUUCACAAUCUGCAAGGUUCAGUCAGAUAAGGUGUUUCAGGUUUAGCUACAGUUGGUCAAAAUGAAACUUGGGCUGAAGGGGGUAACAGAACAAAUAACAUAUUUUCCUUACAUAUUCGCCUCCUCCAAGUACAACAUCGCGGACGCUUUCUUUUAUGGCAGUGGAGCAUCUGACGUGAUCAUCUGGCUGGGGAAGCCUAAUCUUGGUUGGGCGCUCGCUAUCUUUAACUUCGUCUGGAUCUAGAGGGCAGUCAACUGAAGCAUAGUCUCCCAGAACUGAAACAUCUCCGAUGUAACGAUCGCCCAUUAGCUCGUAUGGCUUGGCAGGGAAGACGUAAAGGUGAAUAACAGCAGCAAAACCCAUCUGUAUUCAAUGAUAAAAAAUAACUUCGGUUACGUUGUUUCAUUUUCAAUGGAAAAUGGGACAGGGCUGAGGCCUAUUGAUCUAAAUAUAAAUAUUACUUCGUUAGGAUUAUUGCAAAAUUGAGAAUGCAAGCAUGCUUAAACAAGGAUUUGUCAGCAUCACGCAAGGAACUGAAAUGGUAUAAUCAGGAACAUGUCACCACCUCUAUGCAGAUGAUAAAGUCCUGAAUGCUGGACUUGAACUGCAACUCUUGAGCUAUAGGGCCUCUCAACAAGCCCCAGCUGGAGAGCAACGCUAUUGCCACACCUUGCCACCAUGUUAAGAACACAAUAGACUUGAAUGUCAGAAACUUCGCUAGGGGCUUUAUAUGGGCUAGCUCGUCCUUUAUGACGGCGUAAAAUUGAACGAGACAGUAUAAGGCCCAUGACUGACUGAAAUUGAGAGCCAUGGCAGUGUAAGAGUACCUGGUAAAUAAGAUAGCAAUUCGUAAGUAGGAAGAGAAUGCAUUUAAAGUCUGAAGCUACUGGAUCAUCAGAUGCACGAACAGGUUUUCCGAUCCUACCACAUGCCCACAGAACUAGUUCAUCAGUAGCAAGAAAAUGUUUUUUAACUAAACAUCAUUAGACGCAUGAGUAGGUUCCAUGAUACUAGCAGUACAUAUGAAAGCAGAGGUGAGGAAAAACAGGUAAACUUACUGUUAGUUAUGUUGGUAAACCAAAGAUAGCAUAAAUGUGUUCCAUAUUUCCCAUGCAGCUUGUAAGAUUCAUUUAUAAGUGCUAACCACUAAAAGUUGAUGCCAAAAAAUCAAGCCAUUCAUUGAAAUUUGUAUUAAAUUCGACAAAUAUAUGGUAACAUAAUGUUCCAAGUUGUAACUGAAUGACAGCUGCAGGACAACUAAAUCUAGGAUACAUGGUUUGAUAUACCAUACAACCUUCUCAUGAAUAUCAACACAGACCAUGAAUGUCACUAGAAUAAAGACUUGUCAACAAAAUGGUACGACCUCGGUUUUCUUUUACCUGUCAUUUUGGACACUAAAAAUGUCUCCAGUAAACGGCUUUGAUGACGGUUAUUUCAGAUUAUUAAUGUCAUUUUUACUAUUUAAAAUAAAAUGAGACUAAAGUUUGUUUUAAUGAAAAAAAUCAAGCAAUAUGUUUUACACGUGGCAUAUCCAAACACUUGUGUGUAUAUUAAGUCAUUUACUGAACAUCGCAGUCUAAAACAUCAUUUGAAAAGAGCAGAGGUAGUAGUACAAUAGCAGUAUAGCUGAAUGAGACGAGUUCAUUAUAAGUCAUUUACUGAGCGUCGCAAUCUAAAACAUCAUUUGCAAAGAGCAGAGCAGUAUAGGUUAAUGAGACAAGUUCAUGCAAGGAUUGUUGAGUGAAAAAAAAAUGAGGUUGCUUCAUGAGUAUGUAUCUUACCCACAGCUCCAUUUAAACUCUCCUUCGCAGUACACCCCAAAGGAUUCAAGAAUCACCGCAAGAAGAGCACAUAUUGUCUUUAUUAUCAUCUAUCCAAGAAAAAGGAGGACAUAUUAUUUUGAUUUUCCAUCAGAUGCUGCAAAAUCAAAUGGAAUGGGGGAGCUAAAGAGUGGCUUACAUAUUGGACAAGCCCAAACUUAACUACCAAGUAGAACCAUUCGCCAACGGGCCAUGGGUUCAACAUGUAAUUCAUCGGAAAAGGGUGGUUCACAUGUCGUUCUUCGGAUGCAUUGCCUAAAAGUGGUGCAUCAGAACCUGAACUGCCCUCCUUCUUCAGAAAUUCAAUCGUCCUAUCCUCUCCACCUAGCAUGAAUAAGAUUACAUUAUAAGGAAGGGCAGAGACAUGGAUGAUAGCGUUGCAAUGCUAGACAGUCGCGUACCUAAGCACGCAACUAGAUACCGCCCGAAACAGUACAUGGCAAAUGCCUCGUAUCCGUCUCGCAGAAUCUCAAUAUCUACACCAAUUGUUGGAUUCACCAAUGAUAUAUACUGCAACAGUGGAAUAAGAAACAAGAGUUAACGGCUGGAUCGACCUCAACCAGCCAACAACACUGUGGCCGCACACUUGAACAAGACAUGGCAUAGCACCUUACCGACUCGAUUGCAUAUAUCGGCACCAUCAGAACAACACCGACGAGGAACUUCUGCUCCUGGAAAAGAAGAAAUGCAGCAGCGAUGAGUCCAAAAACAAAUACAGCUCCAGCGACAAUUCACCCUGCUGUAUGGAAAAUAAGAAAUUCAACACCGACUGAUCGCUAGCGACCAACAGAACAGACCUCUGGGUUCUUGUAGGCCGAGAGGUGGUUCAAGAGCAAGUAGAUGGACAGCGAGACCGAGACGACGACGAAGAGCCCCGAGAUGAUGGUGGCCCAGACAGGCAGUGAGUAGCUCCGGAGCACCAGGAGCAAUUUGUCGGCCAAUUCAAUUGCCAUUGCCAUCGGCCCUGUCUGUCCCGCCGCUUGUCUGUACUCAAGCUGAUGCGCCCUCCUCUCUUGCGCUUUCGCCCGCACAUUCGCGACCGGGAUUCACCGUUCCAGGUUGCGGUUCAUAGAGCAUCAUAAUAUCAGGAAUUUGAUCUUGGAAAUGAAACAAACAAUCCCAGUGAUGCAGACUGAUACUGAGGUCCGUUUGGGUGAGACCGAAAAAGCAGAGUGGGCUGCCCCGUUUUUGUCCCUUAUAUUCCUCCGCCCGCCUAAUAAUAUUCGGCGGGAUUCCUUGAGCCCCUGCAGGCAAGCAGAAUUUUAAACGAGGCGGCAAGCGCUCCGCUAGAUCGGAAGGGAGGAAAAUAAAUGAGCUCGUAAUCGUGGAAAACGAGGCCGAAUUGGCGUCGGAGGAACGCGGGUGGAUCGGGCAAUGCCCCGCGAAUCCGGGGCCGGCGGCGACGGUCGAAUCGGGCUCCAUGGACGGGGCGGGGCGGGGGAUGGGAGGGCGAGGGAGAAGGGGGAAGGGGCGCGUACCUCUGACGGAAGGAUUGCGGGGGAUCUGCGGUCCGCAGCCGGCCCGCCGUUGAGGGAGGGGUCGACGACGAGGAUGAGAGGGUUAGGUGAGGUCAGGAUAGAUGAGACAAGAGGAGAGGAGAAGGUAUUUUCUCUCAUCAGACAGAGACGCGCAGGUUAUGGACAGGCGACCUGACCUGACAAGCAUCCGCAUCACACCACAUGGUUUUUUUCCGUUCCUUCUAUGGUUGUUUAACGUUCUUUUUUCAUUUAAAAGGGGUCUCACUAUCACUCCACUAGCACUAUCGUACUCUCUCCAUUCCUAAAUAUAAGUCUUUUUAGAGAUUCAAUCAUAGAGACUAUAUUCGGAUGUAUAUAGACGUUUUUUAGAGUAUAGGUUCAUCCAUUUUGCUCUGUAUGUAAUCUAUAGUGAAAUCCCUUAAAAGACUUAUAUUUAGGAACAAAAGGAGUACUGAACUUUCCACUACUUGCCAUGCACCUAAAUGGGCCUUAGAGAUUAAACACGGAUUAUUGUCUUGUAUGGGCCUAAGCCCAUCUAUAAUCCAACAAUUCUCACCAGAUCUCGAGGCACAUGAGUUUGUCAACGGUUCCAAACAGUGUUUGAUAUAUCAGAAUUUUCAGUGGAGACUGUUAAGUUGACUUUCACCUAGAGCAACAAGACUAGACUUCUUCACAACUAACCAAUUGACUAUGCCUUCAAUUGUCAAUUCGGCAUGUACAAGUUUCGCCUAUUGUCAGCUGGUACAUGGUUGCCGAAAGCUAAACCCCAUGGGUGGAGCUUAUUAGUCAUACUCUUUACCUUCUUAUGAGUUUCCUAGAGAUUACCCAGUAUCAUAGACUGUGACCAGCAAUCGGGCUCGCAUAUGUGUGUUCCUCCAAAAAGUGCUUUAUAGGAUAGCAUCUUGCUUACACAAGCUCUGAAACACAUUAAGACAAAAGUCAGUGUGCCUUGCAGAUUAUGAGAGUAUUGCAUCUCCAACGGAGUGGGUUAGUAAGGAUACUAUACUCAGUUGACCAAUGGAUUGUUUUCUCAAAUCCUAAUUCACGGGAUCUCCGAUCACAUAUGUGGGUCUCAUGUCCAUCUCCCUCGAUGCAUUUUCUAUCAUAAUCUGUGAUAUCCCUUUUGUGAAGGGUUCUGCCAGAUUUUUAGCCAUCUGGAUAUAAUCCAACGCUAUGACUCCGAAGUUUCUUGAUUUUCUGACAAAUUUUAAUCUUCUUCUUAUGUGCUUUGUGGAUUGCAUGUUGUCCUUUGAACUUUUAGCUUUGGCAGUCACUGUUUGAUUGUCACAAUUCAUAAGGAUAGCUGGGACUAGCUUAUCAACCACUGGAAAAUCCAUCAAAAGCUCUCGAAGCCAUUCUGCUUCAACGCAUGAUGCGUCUAAUGCUAUGAGUCCUGCUUCCAUAGUCGAUCUCGUUAAGAUUAUCUGCUUGCAAGACUUCUAGGAAACAGCACCACCACCAAGUGUGAAGACAUAUACACUUGUGGCUUUCAUCUCAUUAGCAUCAAAUAUCCAAUUCGAAUCUAUACCCCUCAGGUACCGUGGGUACCCAAAAUAAUGAAUUCCAUAGUCCACAGUACCUUGUAAAUAACACAUCACUCGCUCAACAUCAUGCCAAUGCACAUUUCCCCGAUUGGAAACUAACCGGAUCAGUUCAUAAACAUCAAAUGGGAUGUCAGGACAAGUAGCACAAGCUAGGUACAUGACUGAACCAAUCACUUGGGAAUAUCUCAAUUGAUCUACAGUUGUGCCUUCUAAUUUUCGAAUCCACACGCUAGGAUCAUAUGGUGUUGCAGAAGGUUUGCAGUCUGAAUAUCCAAAUCGACUCAAAAUCUUCUCAAUAUAGUGGGAUUGCAAAAGUGUAAUUCCGUCCUCAUUAUCUCUCAAUAGCUUGAUGUUUAAGAUAACAUCAGCCAGACCCAAGUCUUUCAUCUCAAAGUUAUGAGAUAGAAAAAAGCAUUGACCUCCUUAAUGACUUUGAGGUGGGUCUCAAAUAUCAGUAUAUCAUCGACAUACAGAUAAAGUAUAACUCCUUUGCCCCCACCAUAGCGACAGUAUACACAUUUGUCAGCUUCAUUAACAACAAAGCUAGCAGAUGUCAAAGUGUUAUUGAACUUCUCGUUCCAUUGCUUAGGCACUUGUUUCAGGCCAUACAAAGAUUUCAAUAGCUUGCACACCUUUCUUUCCCGACCAUUUACUACAAAGCCAUCUGGCUGUUGCACGUAAAUUUUCUCGUCUAGCUCCCCGUUGAGGAAAGCCGUCUUAACGUCCAUCUGAUGAACGAGAAGACCAUGCGAGGCGAGAUUAACACUUGAAUGGCUGUCAGUGUAGCCACAAAUGAGUAAGUAUCGAAGAAAUCUUCUUCUCCCAUUUGGGUAUAACCCUUGGCCACAAGCCUAGCCUUGUACUUCUCAACAGUACCAUUGAGCAUAAGCUUUCUUUUGAACACCCACUUACAUCCCAAUGGUUGGCAACCAUAAGGAUGAUCGGUGAUCUCCCAUGUCCCGUUAGCCAAUAUGGAAUCCAUCUAUCUACGGACCGCAUCCUUCCAGUAGCCAGCAUCCGGAGAUGCAUAAGCUUCUGAAAUGGAACUGGGAGUGUCAUCAUCCACAAGGUACACGGGGAAAUCAUCACCAAAAGACAUUGCAGUCCUCUGUCUCUUGCUCAUAACAGGAGCUUCCUCUGUUGGGGAACGUAGCAAUAAUUCAAAAUUUUCCUACGUGUCACCAAGAUCAAUCUAUGGAGUCAUCUAGCAACGAGGGAGGAGUGGAUCUGCAUACCCUUGUAGAUCGUGCACGGAAGCGUUCAAGAGAACGGGGUUGAUGGAGUCGUACUCGUCGUGAUCCAAAUCACCGAUGAUCCUAGCGCCGAACGGACAGCACCUCCGCGUUCAACACACGUACGGAGCAGCGACGUCUCCUCCUUCUUGAUCCAGCAAGGGGAAAGGAGAGGUUGAUGGAGAUCCAGCAGCACGACGGCGUGGUGGAAGUAGCGGGAUUCCAACAGGGCUUCGCCAAGCACUGCGGGAGGAGGAAGGUGUGCCAUGGGAGGGAGAGGGAGGCGCCAGGGCUUAGGUAUGGUUUCCCUCCCUUCCCCCCACUAUAUAUAGGGCCAAGGGAGAGGGGGAGGGCGCAGCCUUGCCCCUUCCUCCAAGGAAGGGUGCGGCCAAGGGGGGGGGGAGGAGUCCAUCCUCCCCAAGGCACCUCGGAGGUGCCUUCCCCCUUUAGGACUCUCCCUUUCGCUCUUCUCUUGGCGCAUGGGCCUCUUGGGGUGGUGCCCUUGGCCCAUAUAGGCCAAGGCGCACCCCCUACAGCCCAUGUGGCCCCCCGGGGCAGGUGGCCCCACCCGGUGGACCCCCGGGACCCUUCCGGUGGUCCCGGUACAAUACCGGUGACCCCGAAACUUGUCCCGAUGGCCGAAAUAGCACUUCCUAUAUAUAAUUCUUUACCUCCGGACCAUUCCGGAACUCCUCGUGACAUCCGGGAUCUCAUCCGGGACUCCGAACAACUUUCGGGUUACCGCAUACUAAUAUCUCUAUAACCCUAGCGUCACCGAACCUUAAGUGUGUAGACCCUACGGGUUCGGGAGACAUGCAGACAUGACCGAGAUGACUCUCCGGUCAAUAACCAACAGCGGGAUCUGGAUACCCAUGUUGUCUCCCACAUGUUCCACGACGAUCUCAUCAGAUGAACCACGAUGUCAAGGACUUAAUCAAUCCCGUAUACAAUUCCCUUUGUCUAGCGGUACGAUACUUGCCCGAGAUUCGAUCGUCGGUAUCCCGAUACCUUGUUCAAUCUCGUUACCGACAAGUCUCUUUACUCGUUUCGUAACACAUCAUCCCGUGAUCAACUCCUUGAUCACAUUGUGCACAUUAUGAUGAUGUCCUACCGAGUGGGCCUAGAGAUACCUCUCCGUUUACACGGAGUGACAAAUCCCAGUCUCGAUUCGUGCCAACCCAACAGACACUUUCGGAGAUACCUGUAGUGUACCUUUAUAGCCACCCAUGGUUUCUGGCGGUAGCAAAAGGGUCAGAUCUCGAAAAAAAUUCAAACUAGGGUCAUAUCUCGAAUAGGUUUCAAAAAUGGGUCAAAACACGAAAUUUAGCCGGUGUUGGUGGGUUGGUUGGUCAGGCUGAGGAGUGACACUUCAAUCGAAUUACUAAUCCAGUUAAUCCACCUUUUCUUUUCCAGAUCUUUGCAAGGAAAUUCGAAUCUCUGGCAAGUUCACAAACCACCAUCUGCUACCACCCACACAUCUGCACGUUCACCACCGUUCACAUCUGCAUGUUGGCUUCUUCGGAUCACACCCCUUCCAUUCAAAUUUUCUAAGGCAGGCAUGCAAGGGAAGGGAAUCAACGGAGAACGCUGCAAACAUGCCCACUGCAAACAUGCCCACAUGUCUCAGGUUCCUGCUACUACAAGGUCACUGCAAGUCAAAGUGACACCACCAAUAAGUCCAUCCACAAGGGAGAAAAAAAACGUUCACAAAUCUAGGACCACUUUGUACUACUAGCUAGCACUGCCAACCUGCCCGGACAAGCCAUCCAUGCGGAAUUUGAAUUCGAAUUCCAACGGUAACCGGUAGAGAUUUUGCUGCCAGGGCACAUUGUGAGGGGCUGUUAAUUUUCCUUGGCAUUCCAGAUCUUGCAAUAGUAGAAUCAUAUCUACAGGCUUGGCAGGUACUACACGAAUUACAAUGCCUUGCUAGUUACUACUACCAGUACAAGUUUUCCCAAAGUCAAAGCAAGGGCAAGUACACUUAUGCCCAGAUUCCUCCUACUUACUGCUAGUCAAAGUUCAAAAUUCUGAGACAAGCUCCCCAUGCUAAAUUUGAAUUCAAACCCAAAUUUGAAUUCUGGGACCAUUAUUUGCAGACUUUGCUACCAGGAAAUUCAAAGAUGCUGAACAGGGAGUUCAAAUUUGGCAUCAAAUAGUACUGCUUACGUACAAGUUUUCCCACAAGUCAAACAAGUUCACACAUCCAUCUUCACUUCAGAUCUUCCCUCCCCCUUUCAUUUAAAUUUUCAGUACAACUCAGCCACAUGUUUCAGGUUCCUCCUACUCUACAUCCAUCUUCACAUCAAGUCAAAUUUCAAAUUCUGGGGCCCAAGAAUACUUGCUACCAGGACAAGAUCAAUAAUCAAAGAUGCUCAACAGGACAUAUACUGAACAGGAAAUUCAAUUAAUGUUUAUUUGCAAGUUGUUUUGCAGGUAGGUGUCAUCAUCGCACAACAAAUCCAAGAAUUAAAUACACAAACACAUUCCAACACAUGUAAUUGGAACCCAUCAACACACACACACAAACUCAACUCAACUCGGACCGGAUCGAUGUUAAGUUAUACCGAGAGAGCAGUAGCAGUAAAAACGCACGCGACACGGCCAACAGCGAACGUUGGUCUCCCUUCUUCCUUGGUGUAAAUCUCAUCAGAACAGAGCACCUCAAUGUACACCACCACCUCUUCCUCUUCUUUAGCUCGCCAUCUUUUUAGCAGUUGUCACAGACACGGUGAUGUAAGUUGUCGGUCGGUCAGGCCUUCCUCGCGUCGAGCAGGAAGGCGGCGGGCUCCGACUUGGUGGCGCACCCGUAC